This 114367-nucleotide long non-coding RNA is filed under the name Cucumis sativus (cucumber). RNAcentral's name for it is "long non-coding RNA (CSAT_LNC001810)". Lineage: Eukaryota; Viridiplantae; Streptophyta; Magnoliopsida; Cucurbitales; Cucurbitaceae. The record is from RNAcentral.
UUUUUUUUUUUUUUAAGGAAAACUCAUCCAAACAUAAUCGAUAGAACGUAAAAAAGAUGUCAUACCAUCUCUACCUUUCUUAAAAUAUCAAUAAUUGAAAAAAAUUAAAGUUAUUUAAGAGUUUUCAAUCUAGUUGUUUAGAUUCUUAAUGACAAAUGCAAAUAUCUUACACUUUCCUUAUACUCUAGAGUUCUAUAAUAACCACUUAUUAUACUAAAAUGAUUAUCAAAGUAAAAUAAACAAAUAAUAUCUUGCUAUUCAUACUUUAUAAAAUAUAUAUGUUUGAAGAUUUGGGCAUCAUGCAUAAUUGUGCCUAAUUUUCUUUAAGAAGAUUCUUAAUUGAAGUCAUUGUCUAAAAUUAUAGGUGCCCACUUCCAAAUGGGUAUUUAGUAGAAAUGAGUAAUCUAAGUAAGAAGAUGAUUUCCAUUUUAAUCUAUAAUCCCCCCUUGACUUGAUUGUGACGAGGGCUUUUAAAGGAAGAUAUGUAUUAAACACUUUUUAUUCUCUUCCUGGUAUCAAUAUCCAAUUGGAAUAUAUUAUUUGUUUAUACUGUUGAGAUAUAAAACCGUGCAGAAAUAGCUAAGCAAAACCAAAACUAAAGAUCCACCGAAAAGUUUUGAAAAUGAAAGUAGAUCUAACACAGAAUACAUAAGUCAAGUACAUCGUUUCUCCAUGCAAAAUUGGAAAGAAACUUAAUAUCAAACAAUAAUAUAUAUUAGACAUAGAAACAUACAAAGAUUGGUAAAACCAAUUUGGUACAAUAUUAUCUACUAUGGAGAUUGUUCCACGUGGAAAGAACCUUUACUGUACUAUAAGAAGUUUAACAAUCAAAACAAAAUGCUUAUGUGAUAGAUCCCUUUUCAAUUACUCACGUACAACAUAUUUUUUAGUUUCAUAUUAGGUUCUCCCUAAGUUUAAGCAACUCAAACCUCUAGAAUAAAGUUUCUCCCAAAUUUUGUAUUGAAUCCUCCUAUACAAUACAUUCAAUAUAUAGCGAGGUAUACAAGCUGGAUAACAAACAAUAAGGUACAUGAUUAUAGAAGAUGUAUUUAGGUAUGCUUUAUUUUACUUCGAACAAACUCUAAAAUCCUUCAUUAAUAUCUACCAACUCUUUCAACAAUGGCCUAACCCUAAAAAAUAUUUUAGACCACCAUGUAUCUGAUUCAACGUUGAGAAGAUCUUCAAGGUAUGAGAAUAUAUUUUAAGCAAAGUAGGAAAACAAACCACUAAAUCUGCACUACAUGUCGACAAAUAAGAAAAUAAUUUAGAUACAUAACUUGCACACAUGAAAACAUGUUUGACAAAAGCCGAGACAUAUUUGUUUAAUUUUUAUUAUAUGAAUUAAAAUGAGCUAAAUUUAUUACACUAAGGAGUUUGUUUUCAAUUACUUUGUUUAUCAACCCUAGCCUGCCCAGCAAGAUUGUUGGGUUGGUUGAUCACCUCAAGCAAAGAAGAUCUGCAUGCAAUUUGUUCCAUAUUAAGAUAAAAAGAAAAAUAAUAGACGAAGAUGAGACCGAGGUCGGCCUUCUCUCCAUUUGGCACACCUCGGGCCAUUCUACUUGAGAGAUAAUUUAUUUAAUCAAGGAUUAGAAAAAUCAUAUCCUAAUCCUACUUGAACAAAGAUAAAUCUUAUGUCAAAUCCUCUAUAAAUACACUCUUGAAAAUAUCGACUUCUUACUUUUUUUCUAUUAUACAAUUCUCUUACUGAUUUAGGUAUCAUAACCUUUUUUCUUUGUGUUGCAGGUUCUUUCUUCUCCAAAUAACAAAUAAUUUAACUAUUAGUAUUACGUGAGAGAGUCAUGUAUGUUUUCCUUAGUUAAAAUUUGGCAUGAGUAGUUUGGUGCUAUCUAUAGGAACGAGAGUGAUCUCUAUGCAAAAUCUUUAAGGCAAAGUCAUGUGAUGAAGACAAGUGAAAAGUGAAAAGUCAUUGGUUACCGUAAUCUGGAGGAAAAGUCAAAUUGAUUUCUAUUGGAACUUGUAUUGGAGAAUAUGGUGAAGACCGAUAAUCUUAAUACCAUUGUAAGAGGCCUUAUAGUGAAAGAGAAGUCUCUUAAUUAGCUUAUUAUAUAUAUAUAUAAAGAGAUGAAAAAACGCCUCGAACUUGGUCGGCUACAUGGUGGACACCUUAACGCGUGUACGUCUGGAUGGUGGUUGCCUAAUUACAUUGCCUUUAGUUCUUUUUAAAAGUACUAUGUAUUGUAUUGAAAGUUCUUGUAUUUAGAACAGUUAUAUUUGCUGCCUUGGUUUAAUAUCAAACUCAUACAAACACUUUGAACUAGGCUGAGAAGCAAAGAAACAAGGUUAACUUUAUGAUGUGAAUUACCUUUAAACAUCUUUUUUCUAGUGUAUCAUUAUGAUAAAUCUAUCAAUUUUUUUUUUUUGUGGAGAUUUAGAAUGAUUUUGACCACAUGGUUAUAUUGGUACGAUAUGUAGUUUAUUGAAAAUGGACUUGAAGGAGAUGUCAAUUCUGACGUUGAAGAAGAUAAAAUGGAGGACACUGAUGGUGUAGAAGUGGAACAUCUAUACAUUUCAGAUUACCAAAGUUUUGCACUAAUAUCCGAUUGAUUUACUAUAGUGAUGAAGCUACCAAGCAAGUGAUUGAUGUUUGAUUCAUGACAAGACUUGAUGUAAUUUAGUUAUCUACAAAAAUACAUUGUAUUUAAUUUCUUUGUAAAAGUAUAUUACCAAGGUUUAGUUUCUAUUUUACUUGUAUUUAUCCCUUUGAGAAAAUUCGAUAGAUUUCGUGUACUUAGUUUCUUUGUAAAAAAUUUUAUAUAUGAAAGUUCUUAUUUAUAUGUGUACUAGUUUUGUGUUAAAAUAGAAUCAUUGAAUUACAGGAACAAAAAUAUAAUUGAAUUACAAUUUUUUUUUAAAAAAAAUUCAUAACAUACUUGACGGUUUUAAAAUGUCAUAAAUGAGUGCAUCAUUGACAGUUUUUCAAUGUCAUAAACAAUCAAUUUCUUGACGGUUAUUAAAUGUCAUGAGCACUUAUACUCUUGACGGUUUUAAGAUGUCAUAAAUAUUCAUACUCUUGACGGUUUUUAACUGUCAUGAACAUUUGUAUACUUGACGUUUAUAAAACGUCAACGUUCAAUAUUCUUGACAGUUUUAUCAACCGUCAAGAACUUUAGCUUUCUUGACACUGGCUUCAAGGACGGUUUUAAAACCGUCAAUAAUAAUGAUUCUUGAUAGUUUAAAAACGUCAAGAGAGCCUAUUUUUAUAGUAGUGUAACUGUAAAACAGAAAACAAUUAGAUGAAGGAUGAGUCGCGGAUCAUGUUUUCCUUACGACGUUUUGUGAUUCUGCUUGGAGUGCAAAUAGUUUGGUAUUGCCACGUUGUCCCAAGAUAAAACAAUAAAAAAAAAAACUUGAUCGAAACUACUUCGAAACUGCAUAAAAACUUGUUUUAAGAAUUGAAUUUAGGUCACAUUUACCACACAACACGUAAUUACACUACUACAAAUUUGGUCUUUCUGAUGCACGCAAAUUUUGAUUUUUUUAUGGUCAUAACAAAGGACCAUCAAGAAAAAUAUUUUUCUUGAUGUGUUACUUAUUUUGACGGUCAUGUAUAUCAAGAAAAGUUUUCUUAUUUUGUUGAAAAAAUACGAAAAAACGUAAAAAAAUGUGGAUUCUUGAUUUCCUUGAUGAACGAAGUUCUCUUAUAUUUUUGUUAAGAAAACUAUUUCUCGAUAGACAAUAAGCAUCAAGGAUAAUAUAUUAGUUGACUGACAAUGGCUAUCAAGUUAGUUAGGUUUUCUUGAUGGACGAGGCCAAUUGAAGAGAUGAAUUUUCUUUAUUUGCAAUGACUAUCAUCGAAAAAAAUUAAUAUAUUUGUUUUAAAUUUAAUUUCUUGAAAGUUUAGAAUUUUCUUGGUGGUUUAGAAUUUUCUUGAUAUGUGUAGGGUUGCUUGAUAGACAAAGACCAUAAAAGAUCAUGGAUAAGGUCCAUCAAGAAAAAUGAUAUCUUGAUGGGCAACUAUUUCCCACCAAGCACGAAAUUUAAACCAUCGUUAAUGGGCUCAAAAAACACGAUAUUCAUCAAUAAUAUUUUUAAAUCUUUGCUAUAUUUUUUCCAAUUAUUAUUUUAUAUUCAUCAAUAAUACAAUAUUACUUUUUUAAAUUAGUUAUUGUGAGUUGAAUUAAGUUUGUAAUUUAGGGUUUUUAAAAUUUGUUAAAGUUGGCUAACAUGAGUUUAGCUCUAUUGACACAUGUACGUACUUGUGGACAAGAGAUCCCGAGUUCAAAUCAUCAUCAUUGCAUUAAAACUUGGAUUUAUGAUUAUUUACAUAAUCCAUCAUAUAUUUAAUUUAACUUUUUAAAAUAGAAUUUAAGUUAUUUAUAAAUAGUGUGAGUAAUAAUUUGAUUUUUUUUAAAUUUUUUUGGGCACUUUUCUCUUAAAAUUUUCGACUACCAAUUUAAAAAUAUUUGAGAAUUCGUUAUUUCUAGAUUAUCGAGGUGAGAUAUCAAUAUCUUUAGAGUUCGAAAUUUGAUAAAAAAAAGAAAAAUUUAUCAAAGACUAUCGUAUAAUAGAUUUUGAGAAAUGAUAAUAAUCUCGUUCUUUUAAAGAUUGAAGAAUUUUUUCUCAAUAUAGUCUGAUUGACGAAAUGUAUUUCACUUAUUUUGUGAGAUCAUUGCUUCAAAUAUGACAUUUUUUUUAAAUCUUACUUUUUCAAAUGAAUUUUAUUUAAAUAGCAAUUUCAAUUCAAGACAUAAAGUUUGACCAUCCUUUUUCUAAACGGGUGUCGUGGGAGCUAACAUCUUUUUCAUACACAAAUGAUACUUGAACUCAACUCUAAUUUUUGGUAGAUAAUUUUUUUUAUCGAUUUUAUUUAAAAAUUAAUUAUAUUAAUUCGGUGUUCAAUCACACUACAAACAAAUCGGUGACAACUCUGUUUUGUUUUAUUUUAAAAUUAAUCAUUUUAACUUAAAGCAUGAUUUAAUUAACUAACAUAUUCCAUAAAGUUUAAAGGCUGGUGGUUAAUUAGUUUGAAUCUUGAUCCAUAUAAAUUUAAUUAACUAAACUAAUUAUUAAACUUACGGCUAAAUCAUUGGGCUUUUUGUUAGAGAGAGUUAAAUAGUUAGGUUUAUGAAUGAUGUGAGUUUAUGGUCAAGAAAGGGUUAGAAAACAAUUCAGUAUAAAAUAACUGAAGGUAAGUCAUGACAUAGUUGAAUUGUGUUGAUGUGUAAUAAUUUUUUUUUUCUCAUAUAUCACAAUUUUCUGUGUCUUAUUGGAAAAGGACUAAUGUUUUUUAAGUUAAGUUAUUUAAAUUUAUCAAUCUUUUGUUAAAUUAUUUGGGUUAUUUUUGGAUUUAAACACCAUGUACUAUACAUCUAUUUGUGUAAUGUUUUCAGUUCUUAUAUAUCAUAUUUUUCACCAAUAAAAUAUUCUCCUACUACACAUCAAAAUAGAUCCCAACUGAAAGUGUCCAAGGGACUAAAUGAUUUUACACGUGAUUUUGUGAUCGGCUAAUUUGCCAAAAUUGUAAGACGUCCACGUCUUAACUAACUUCAACAUUCUUAUCUACACAACGGGCCUAACAACAAUCAACUUCACCUCCUUUGCUUUCAACAAAUGCACAACAAUCAAAGUAUCCAAUUUCACAACUAUGGAAGCUCUCAAAAUCCCCAUACGCAAUAACCUUCUUCUCUUUUAUCCAAACUUCCAAUAACUAUCCAUCCUACUUCACUGAUAUGCUAGAAUUGUCACAUACCUAACAAACUUUCUUAAAAGGUGUUUGGAGUUAGGAGUUAAAUAAUAAAAAGUAAAUAAUUAUAAAAUAUAGGGAGUUGUGGACUCUUAAAACCUUUGAUCACAUAAGAAGUUGAUAAGAUAUAAAAUUGAGUGGGACCUACGAUCUUUUUGGUUUAAACAAAAAGUGGAGUUUCGUACUCCUAUACUUUCAUACUCCCAUUUUCUAACUCCAUGAGUCAAACAUCAUCUUCAUGAUUUUGUAAAACUAAAUCCAAAGUCCCCACCUUAUUGCUCUAUUGCCAUUCGAUCCAUUACCCAUAAUAUAUAUAUUUUUCAUUUCAUCAAUUUAAACAUUAAAACGUGAAAAACAUAUCAACUUAUAGGUUUUUGUAUUCGAAAUCGUUGUUAGAAAGAUUUUUCACUUACACAAUCAAAUCCAUUUUUUCUAUAAUAUGCAACUUCGUUGUUAUUUUCUUUAAAAAAAUAAUAAAAGAAAUGAAAGAAAUUUAUAUUAGACGAGCUAGAGUAAUUUUCAUUUACAAGAUGGAGCUUUCUCUUGCCUUCUACUUUCUACGAUUGUGUUGUUUUCGUUCUUUUUCAUUAAGGGAGAGUCUUUCAUUAAAAAUAUAAACCAAUAUACAUAGCAACCUUUCACGAAUGUACUGAGCAACCCAUUCACAACAAUGAGAGUCUCAUUAUCGAAUGGGUUGCAAAGGAUAUUGAUUUACUUUAAUUUUCUUUUAAAUUUCUUGUAACCCCUCGAGUUCAAUUUUUCCUCGAUCCACAACAUUGGUCGUACAAGAAUUUCAAAAGUUACCCUAGCUGAAACUCAAAUAACUUCUCAUCAUUGUAGCUUGAGAAACUACCAUGGCCAUUGUUAUCUUCGGUAAUAAUGUUGUGGAUUAAAACUUCCUGAGACCUUGCCACCACCAAGAACAACACCAAAGAUGAAGGAGAAUCUUUGGUGUUCCCAUCAUGAAGUAAAAAAGUACUAUACAUCAAUUACCACUAAACUAUACCCACAUUUUUAGGAUUUUAAUUUAUUACUUUAAAUUUAAAAAGAAUAUACAUUAAUUAUCACUAAUCUAUACUUACGUUUCAACCAAAUACACAAACUUAUUAAAAGAAUUGGAAAAAUGAUUGAAGUAGUACUCUUAAUUGGUUUGUGAGGGGAGAGGAAAAUUUUGUUUAUUAUUAUUUGUUUAUGUUUGUACUGAUGUUGCAUCAUUAGAUAUAAUCAAUUUUAAUUUCAGAUUAAAUAGGAAAUUAUUCAUGAACCAACCAACCAAAUAUAAAGUUAAUUGGAGAAAUACUCUCUCCACCAUAAGAAUGCUAAAUCCCUAAGUUAACUCCAACCAUAAACCCAGGAGGCAAAAAGAGCACCCAAACUCAACCAAAAAAGAACAACAAUACAAUAUCACAUACACAUACACAACAAUGGAAAGCAAUACAACCUACCACAAUUAUCUCAUCCCAUCCCAAAACAAUUCUCACAACUUCCUUACCAAAUCAACAAUUUAGGACGGAAUUUGAAUUUAGAAUGAAUUCAGAAUACUCCACGUCAACAAAAAAAAAGAAUUGUUAAGAAAAAGUAUCUUUAUAGUUAUUCCGUUGAAGAUAAGAAACACGUUUUCAAACUUGAGUUUAGUGAAAGAAACUAACAUACUACGAUGACAACCUAUUUAAGUUCUCUACACGACUCGUAAAAAUGUUACAAUUACACACCAAUCAAAUCUAUAUUACAAACCUUUUUUCUUAAAAAAAUCUCAAAGUCCUGCUUUAGAUGCCAAAUCCACACCGCAAAGUGGGAAAAACAUAUUAAUUUUUCCUAUUAUUCUAAUCCUUAAGUUAUUGAUUUUGAUCAAACUCAAGUAAGAAAAGAGAAUUGCUUUCUUAAUUUUAUAUACUGCGAAUACCAACCCACAAACUUUUGAAUUAAUGGGGCCUGCAUAAAGAACUCUAUGGCCUACAAAACCAAAAUAAAAUAAAAUCAUCAUAAAAUAUGAUUUUUGGUUCUGUGGUUUGGAAUUUAUUCAAUUUUAAUUCAAAUGGUUUUGAUACAACUGAAAAGUAUUUUCAAAACAAUAAUUAUUUUUGUUCAUCACACCAUAAAUUCUUUUCUGAAAAUUUUAAUUCGUUAAUUUUCAUGUAGUGAAAGUGAGAUGUAUAAAAAAUAUAUAUUGUUUUUAAAUAAAUCUUAAAUUUAAUUCAUUCAAUUUAAUUUUUGUUGAAAUUUGUUAUAUAAUAUGAUAUACUAAAUACAGUAGUGAAUAUCAUGUUUUCAAAAUUUAUAAUAAAUAGUAAUGAAUAACAAUUUGUUUUUAAAAAAUCUGCAAUAAACUAGUACGGACUACAUUUAAGUUCUUUUUUUCUUUCUUUAAGUAUAGUGAUUACGGUAUUAAAAAAGAGGCAAACAUAAAUUAAAAUUUAUGUCGAAGUGUGUAUAAAUUUUGCAAACAUAUUGGAUUAAAACUAAGCUUGGAGAAGAGAAAUCAAAUCUUUGAUUUCGUUGUAUAGUAGUUUGAAUUUUGUUUUAUUUUUUUAAUAUUAAUUUAAGAAUCGUUUUAAUAAAAAUUAGUUAAAUAAUAAUAAUAAUAGUUAUCAUCAAAGAAAAUUGGCCAAAAACGUGUUUUCAAAAAACAAUAAAAUAACUUUGUGUAAUUAAUAAUAAAUUAGUUGUAGAAAAUAAAUUUAAAAAUUUAAUAAAAAUAUAAUUUCUAAAAUUAAUAAACACAAUAGAAAUUGUAAAAAAAAUAGGAUAAUUGAUCAAUUUAUGAUGAUAAUAAGUUUUUGGUUGUUUUGGUGUAAAUAGUUUUGAAAAACCCUGUUUAAAAGUAUAUUUCUAUUUAUCUAUUUUUCUAUUAUUUAAGAAAUUAUAUAAAUGAUAAAAAUAUUUAAAAAAACCGCUCAUAACAUAUUGCGAAUAUGAUCAAAAUUAGUGAGAAUAUAUGACUAUCAAAAGGCUAUAGGACGUUAAUUAUAAUUUUUUUUUACUAUUUUUACAUAUUUGUUAAUGGUUUUCGAUAUUAUUGGUUAUUGAAAGUAAAAUAGUUUACAUCCUAACAAAACUAUUAUAAUCUACGAAUUGUAUUUUAACCAUCACUUUUCAAGUACAAACCAUUCUCUCAUCGAACCUCGAAUCCCUCUCCUCUGUUUUCCUCUGCUUAUUGCAAUCCAACAAAUUCAAAUAACUGAGAUUCCUCUUCUUCAACCUCUAUUUUCCUUUUUAGAGUUCUUUUUUGUUGUUCUGUUUCAUUCAUUUUUGCACUUUCUUGAAACUCCCAAAAUUGUGUUUUCAUUUCAUUUUUAGAGAGAGAGAGAGAGAAACAUGAAAGUAGCUUAACGACAGUUUAAGCUUUAAAGCACUGCCAAAGCUCCGGUUUUUCAUGGUUUCUUUUACUGAAAAAAAAAAAAACACAAGUUUUUUAUUUUAUAAUUCCCAACUCUCCUCUAAAACCUACCUUCUCAAGCAAAGCUGUAAAUCGUAACUGACCUCCUCUUUUCUCAAGAACUCUCUCUUGCUAUUUCCUUUUCGAAUUACGAGCCAAACAAACUCAAUUGUCCUGAAUCACAAGUUUUAAACACACCCAUCUCAUUUUGAAUCUCUGUUUUUCAGUUUCCGGGUUUUAUUUAAUUCGAGGGAAUAAUGACGCCUGCAAAGCGGAGUACAGAGGAAGCCAUGGUUUCCAGCUUCAAUCAAACGAUCCAACAAGAAGAUUACAGAGAAGAAGAACAGAGAGGAGAGAAAGAUGAAUCAAUGGGUGGAUUCAAGAGCUUUCUCUGGCAUGGUGGCUCUGUUUAUGAUGCUUGGUUCAGUUGUGCUUCGAAUCAGGUAAUUGUAAUAAUCCAUCCGCUCAAAAUUUUGAGUAAAAGGAUUUGAAAAAUUGGAAAGUUGUGUUUGUGUUUUUGUUUCUUGGCAGGUAGCUCAAGUUCUAUUGACUCUGCCAUACUCUUUCUCUCAAUUGGGGAUGGUUUCAGGGAUUAUUUUUCAGAUUUUCUACGGAAUUGUUGGGAGUUGGACGGCGUAUUUGAUUAGUGUUUUGUAUAUUGAAUAUAGAGGGAGGAAGGAGAAGGAGAAUGUUAGCUUCAAAAACCAUGUGAUCCAGGUUUGAAAAAACAGAGUAGUUUGUAAAUCUUUGUUUUUCGUUUUCUUUAAAAAAAAAAAAAAAGAAAAGAAAGAAAAUAUUUUGAUUGGUUUUGUGGUACUCUGUUUUUCGACAGUGGUUUGAAGUGCUUGAUGGUCUUCUUGGGCCUUACUGGAAAGCAGUUGGAUUGGCUUUUAAUUGUACUUUUCUUCUCUUUGGCACUGUCAUUCAACUUAUUGCUUGUGCAAGGUUCGUUCUUCUUCAUCUUCAUCUUAAUUCGGUCCUAGAAACUAUGUUUAUUUUAUUUUAUAUACUUUAUUGAACUUUGAAAUGUUUCAAAUAAUCUGUCUUCUUUUAUGGGUCUAUUCUGCACAUUGUUGUAUUGAUGAAUGUUUCAAUCUGAUAGUGUUUUCGUUUCAAAUGGUCUACUACUGUAGAUUUUUUGUUUGCUCUGCUUUGAAAAACGGGAAACGAAAUAGUGAAGAAGAAACAAAUAGAACUAUGUUUGGUGAUCUCCCUCUAAACGUUGUGUGGAAGAAAUUUUAUAUUAUGUUUUAUUUUGGUAGAUAUUUGUUUCUGCAUUAUAAGAGUAAAGAAAGAUAAAUAAUAAUUUUGUUCAUGUUUUGUGUUUUGAUUUCUUCAUUUUUAAUUUUGUUUAUGUUUUGUGUUUUGAUUUCUUCAUUUUUAUCGUCUGCGUUCUAGGAAGAUUUUGAAAAUAUAAACUAAAUUUUGAAAGCUAAAAAAAAAGAGUAGUUUUCACCGUAGUAUUUAAAAUGGUCGAGUUGUUAUUGUUUUGAUUUCUUCAUUUUUAAUUUUGUUUAUGUUUUGUGUUUUGAUUUCUUCAUUUUUAUUGUCCGCGUUCUAGGAAGAUUUUGAAAAUAUAAACUAAAUUUUGAAAGCUAAAAAAAAAGAGUAGUUUUCACCGUAGUAUUUAAAAUGGUCGAGUUGUUAUUGUUUUGAUUUCUUCAUUUUUAAUUUUGUUUAUGUUUUGUGUUUUGAUUUCUUCAUUUUUAUUGUCUGCGUUCUAGGAAGAUUUUGAAAAUAUAAACUAAAUUUUGAAAGCUAAAAAAAAAGAGUAGUUUUCACCGUAGUAUUUAAAAUGGUCGAGUUGUUAUUAUAGUUGGUAUUAUUAUAGUGUGUGAGUUAUAAUAGUUUGUAAAUUAAAUAGUUUGGGUUUGAAAUGUAUACUAUUUUAUUCUCUUUGAUAUGCAUGUUAUUUUUGUACGAGUAAGAAACAGUAAACAAUAUAUUAGGAAAGGAAAGAAAUGAUGAGUAGAAACCGUGAACACUAACAAAAAAAAGGAUUUGGAACAGUAAUAGUGUAGUUAACUUUAAGUUGUAAAUAGUUAGAAACACGUACUAUUAUAGUUGAAGCCUAAAACGUGGAGUGUGUUAUAAUGACUUACUCCACCAACUUCAAGUUGUGAUCCAAAAACAACAUCCUUAGGUAAGAUGAAAACUAUAAGGUAAGAAAUUGUGAAAAAAAAUAAAAUGUUUAUACAAGAAAAAAGACUUGUUCGUUUUGUUUUUCACAAAACAAGUGGAUAGAAGACUUGAGUAUAUAAUUUUAAGAGAAGAAUUACAUGUCAAUUACUGCUAAACAACACUCACUUUUAUAAUAAAUAAAAAAAAAAAAAACUUUGUUUUGUUAUCUUUGAACUGGACACAGUUUUGAAAAGAAGAAUGUUGUAAUCUAGCAAACUCUAACUAAACUUAACAAGGUUCUUUCACAUGUGUGAUCAAUAACCUGUACUUCUAUGUGUUAAAUAAAUUGUAUUAUGUGUUUGUGUUUGCAGUAAUAUAUAUUACAUAAAUGACAAAUUAGACAAGAGGACAUGGACUUACAUAUUUGGGGCUUGUUGUGCCACUACUGUCUUCAUACCCUCUUUUCACAACUACAGAAUUUGGUCAUUUCUAGGCCUGGGAAUGACCACUUACACUGCCUGGUAUUUGACUGUUGCUGCUCUCGCUCACGGUCAGGUAAUUUUAAUAACUCGAAUUUCCAUUUGAAACGACUACUACAAUGUGACCCCUAUAAACCACACAAGAAGUUAGAACUUGAAUCUAAUGAUUUAUUAGAACAUGUUAAUUUAAUUUCGAGUUCAAACAUUUAUUUGGGUAUUAAGAUAAAAUCACAUCCCGCUAAAGAAACAAAUGUCUUAUUUAGGUUUUUUUUUUUAGUUUAACUUUGUGUGUUUCUGUGUAAUAAGUCCUUUCAAAUUCAUUUUUAGGACUAUAGCUAAUAUGUAUUUGACAUUUUGUAGUUGUUUUUUUAACAAAAAAAAAAACUUAUACACAUUACAAAAUUAAAAGUUUAUGGUCUCUUGAAAGAAAAAGAUCUAUAGUAUACCCUAAAAUUAAAAGUUUAUAUAUGAAUAUAUCAUAUAUAUUUUUAAAGUUGACGAAAGUUGUUAUUAAAUAUUUCUUAAAAUUCAUGAAUCUUAUAAAUACAAUCUUGAAAGUUCAUCAACUAAAUCUCUAAUCUAAGAUUGAUGGAUAAUUAUUUUAUUCAUAUUUGUAGACCUAAGUUUGAAUGACUUUCUUCUAGGUCGAGGGUGUGAAGCAUUCAGCCCCAACCGAGUUGGUUCUAUAUUUCACCGGUGCCACGAAUAUUCUUUACACAUUCGGUGGUCAUGCCGUCACCGUGUAAGUCUCAUUAGUGGUCAUCGUCACUGUCAUCUUUUAAUUUCAGUUGAGUAAUUUGAUUUUAUAAUUGUGUUUGUAGGGAAAUUAUGCAUGCAAUGUGGAAGCCUCAAAAGUUUAAGUACAUAUAUCUUGUGGCAACUCUAUAUGUAUUUACACUGACCCUCCCGUCGGCGGCCGCAGUGUAUUGGGCUUUUGGCGACCAACUUCUCACCCAUUCCAACGCCUUCUCUCUCCUCCCCCGCUCCCGGUGGCGCGACGCCGGCGUCAUUCUCAUGCUUAUUCACCAGGUAAUAUUAUUUUAUUUCCGUAAUCAACUUCAAUUUUUAUUCUUUCAUUUAUGUUCUAUUUUUAAUCUAAUUAUUUCAUUAAAUUCAAAUAUAGACAAAAUAUUACCAAAAAAAAUGAAAUGAUUCAAUUCUUAAAAAUUUUCAUUUCAUCUACUUAAAGAAAUUUAGUUUUAGAGAAGUUUAAGUACAAUCUCUAUAAUUUAGGGCAGGUUUUAAUUACAUUCUUAAUUACCCUUGAAUUUGUUUAUUUUAUUAUUAUUUUCUAAUCUUUGAACUUGGACAUUUGUUCCAAGAAAAUACCUUUAUUUGGAGAAUUUUUUUCCUUUAAAAUAAGAUGCAAUUUAAUGUGACGGUUAUAAUAUGUAAAAUUGGAAGGUAUUCUGUAAUCAAUUGCACGACAUUCAUAACGUAAAUUAUCAUGUAAACUGACAUGAUAAUUAAUGUGUAAAAAAGUUAGGUAAAUAAUUAUAUUUUAAUGAUAUCAUUUGGUAACUUGAUGUCAAUUUCUUUCUUUGGUAACAACACUAAUAAUCGUUUUUAACAGUAGAUAAUCCGUUAGAUUGUUAUCUUGGUUAUCGUCAAAGUUUAUUCAAUUUUGGUUUUUUUUCUUUUAAUAAAUCUUAAAUUUAAAUUUAUAAUUUGAAGAUAUGUAUAACAAAAUUGAUUAAAUAAUAAUAAUAAUAAUAAACAAAUAAAUACAGAUAAUUUGUAUCAAAAUUUAGCGUGAAAAUACUAAUACAAGUUCAAAACAAAUAAACCAAAAUAAUAUUUCAACCUCAAAAUAUCACGUUCACUUUUUUAAUUUUCACACAUUAAUUGUUACAUCAAUCUUCAACUUUUAUUUUAAGAGAAAAAAUACAACUGGGACGAAUUGUAAAAUUCAAAUAAAGAAUAAAGAAAAUGAAUAUUUUCAGAAAUUUAAGGACAACCAAUUAGAGUACUUUGUAUUAUCAUAACUCAAUGAUUUAGAUAAAAUUAAGAAAGUAUAUCUCAAAAUUCAUAUACAAUUAUAAGAAACGACCUUAAUAAUCUUUGUUUUUCCUUCUCAUAAAUCUCAUCUAAACCUAAAUUUAUCAUGUUUUUGCAUGGGCAGUUCAUAACGUUUGGUUUUGCUUGUACACCACUCUACUUUGUGUGGGAGAAAGUAAUAGGAAUGCACGAGACUAAGAGCUUGUUUUUAAGGGCAAUAGUGAGGCUUCCGGUUGUUAUUCCCAUUUGGUUUUUAGCCAUUAUUUUCCCUUUCUUUGGCCCUAUCAACUCAGCUGUUGGUGCCCUUCUUGUUAGCUUCACUGUUUAUAUCAUCCCUUCCCUAGCUCAUAUGCUCACUUAUCGAUCUUCCUCCGCCCGACACAACGCGUCUGAAAAACCUCCUGUCAUCGUUGCCCGUAGCUGGACCGUCAUGUACGUCAUCAACACAUUCAUAGUCGUUUGGGUUUUGGUAGUUGGUUUCGGCUUUGGUGGUUGGGCUAGCAUGACUAAUUUCAUCAAACAAGUUGACACAUUCGGACUAUUUGCCAAGUGCUACCAAUGCCCUUCUAAGACGCCACCAGUGCCCACCGCGGCAGCUCAUCGUUGAUGAUGAGAUGUUUGAUGCUUUUUCUUUGUUAGAAUCCUUUGUUAUAUGUUAUAUUAUGUUGGUUUCAUCAAUAUAAACAAGGUCUAUAUUGUAGGGUUAUGUAUUCAUAUAUAACAUACACAUAUAUAUACAUAUUUGUAACAUAUGGUUGAAAUUUUCUAUCUUUCGGUUUAUGUUGUGAUCAUUGUGUGUAUUGUUAGAAGAAUAAUGAAUCUAACAAUUUACCAUAGUUAUUCAAGAAAAAAAAAACGUACUUUUAUCAUGUUUAGGUUUGCCUGUAGUCAACGUUAUUAACCCUAACUACCAAUAAAAAUUAAGUUCUACACCAAGUUUAGGAUUCAAAAUAGGGCCCAACCGGGUUCGAACCGGUGACCUCUUGAUCUGCAGUCAAAUGCUCUACCACUGAGCUAUAGACCCAAUUUUGAGAAAAGAGUUCAAUAUUUCAAAUUUAAACAUAUAAUAUUUAAACUUACGCUAAAUUUUUAGAAUCUAUGGAAACAAGUCUUCUAAAAUGAUUUUAUAGACUUAUUUUAUAUAUUGUGUUAGAUAUGUAAAUAUAAUCUACAACUUUAUUUGUAAUUUGUAAUUUUUCGUUUUGAGAAUUAAGGGUGUUGUAUAAUUUAUAAUGACAAUAUUAAUUUUGUAUUGUAAUUUUUAAGAUCUGUUUUGAAAUAAUUAGAAACAAAACAAACUAAUUUUAGUAUACCAAAUUGCUCAAAGCCAUUUUAAUUCGAAUGAUUUGAAACCAUAAUUAUAAAUGGUUGCACUUGUUUGAAGUCUAUUACUUUUUAGAUGUAAGGUUUCAACUAUUUUAACAUUAUUUUUUUAAAUAAACCCUACUUGAUUAGAUUAGAAUACUAUAAAAAUGGAAAUUCUUCUAAAGAAGGUCUAUGACGAUAUAUGAUAAAUAUACAAAGCUGAUAAACACUUCAUAAAGUUGAAGGCUUGAUACAAGAGUAAUUUGUGUUAUCCAUAUCUUUCAACAAUAAUGAAGCUAAUUCACCUCAACACAACAGGAACUCUGGUGUUGUUAUCCUUGUGCAAUAAAUACGUCAAUUUAGCGAGUUCAGAUCUAAGUUCACUUAUCUCUUGUAAUGAUGUAUGGAGGACAUGGAGACUCGGUCUCUAAUCUCGAAUUGUUGGCCAUUAGCACCCAUUGGUGGAAAUCAACUAUAACGACCCGAAUUUUUCAAAACCAAGUUGGGGUUAUUACUGAUCUAAUUAUCUUAACUUUGUAAAAACAAUAGCGGAAGCAUAAACCAAGUAGUUCCCUAUAGCUAGUCACAAGUCCUUCUUGUUGCUUGCCAGCUUGCCUUUUCUCUUACCUUGGCCUGCAAAAUUAAACAUGGAAAGGGAAGUACCCUCAAUCGUAACAAUCUUCUGAUCUCAAAGGAAUACACAUGGUCUACUGAUCCCGUAGGAAAACUCUUUAGUCUGAUGAUUCCAUGGGAGCGUACGUCAACCUAGUCAGUCUAAUGAUCCUGUCAGACCAUACAUGAAUUAUGACAAACUAGAGGUUCCAGCCUCGAACGCACACAAUCAUAAUAGUGAAUGGUGGUGAUCCCGAGGGACACCGUACAUGUAGGUACACAUUAUAAUAGCCAAAGCUAACAGACACCAAUAGUCUAAAAGCAUGUAACAAUCAAAAUAAGCAUGAAAUGAAACAUCAGUCAUAACAAUCCAUAAGCAUAUAAUUCAAACAUGCAUAAACGUCACAUAAGAUCAGACACUCGUACGUACUAAACUAUGCAAUUUAGUUACCGUUAGUGCAUAAUCAAUCAACACAUGCAAACUCUUAAUUACAUUUUCAUUUGAAGGUCGAGUAGUCUCUUACCUUAAAAUAGAAUUGGACUCCUUUGCAAAAUUCCUUGAUGCAAAUUAAAGCACAAAUUAACCUAAACAUAAGGAAAACAAUUAAUAAUUUUACUAAAUAAAAUUGUAAAUUAUGCCCGGACAAUAAUCUAUGAUAGACAUGCAAACAUCAUCGUACUUUUCACAAUAAUCAUUUCAAAUCAUUGCCUUUUACACAUUCCACAAUAGCCUUCAACCAAACCAAUGACUAACCCUUCAUAAAUUAUCAGUAAAACUAAGCUAAUAGUUAUCCGCCACAAUUAUUACAAUAACCCAUAGACUAUGCAAAUAACUCCCCCAUAACGGUUAUCACAGUAACCCAUAAGCUAAGCAAAUAAUUAAUUAGUAAUAGACUUGCAGUAAACCGUCACAAUCUAAUUCAUAACAUAAAUCCAUAAUAUAGGCAUGUAAACAAUCGUCACUUCACAACAAUUAAAGGCAAUUCCCAUAGUAAGCAUAUACAAAUAAUUAUCCUUUACACCUUAGCCUAAUCCAAUGGCUACUCUUCACAAGUUAAAAGUAACCUUAGGCUAUACAAAUAAUUCACCAUCACAAACAAAUCACUAAGCUAUGCAUAUAGUCAUAUAACCAUUAUCACACACAGUAAUCCAACCCUCAAUCAGGGAUCCAAAAAUAUAGUAGAACCAUACCUUAGGUUAUCCUAAAGUUUCUUGCUGCAAACGAAACCACAAUUCCACCCAUGCAUAACAAAAAUUAAUUUAACAAUUUUUGUCAAUAAAUUACUAAUUUAAUUAUAAAAGCUUACCAAAGUUACCCAAAUAAAAAUUGAAAAUUAAUUUUCAAACUUGGAGGAAAAAUUUACCACUUAAAUCCUCAAUCUUUGUUAAACAUACUUCCAAAGGUAACCAAAAUCAAUUUCAAUAAUAAACUUUGAGAAAACAAACACUUAGUUAUAACUGAAUAUAAUGUUGUAACUUGAGUUAAUAACUAGAGAUACAACUAGGAGAACAUGUAAAGCAGUAAAUCAUAAACACAUAUAACUUUGGUAACCCAGUUCGAUGAUAAUGCACCUACAUCUGAGGAGUUUUAGACCUAGAUAAGAGAAUAUAUUGCUCAUCAUAUAAUUGAUCAUUAUAACGUUACGACUCAAAGAACAACACGUUACUCAUACCUACUGUGCUGAUUAUUGACUAACUUAAUAAUCUGAACCAUGUAAAACAUAAGAAGCAUGUAUCAUAACAUUAUGGAAAUGACAGCUCCUUAAUCAAUACACAUGAGCAUUCUUAGCAUCAACAUCUUUGAUAGCUAUAUCAGAACUCUUGUGCUUCAGGUACAAUAUUAGUUACUUCGAGAAGUUCUCCAAAAACCUCUUACCGUAUUCACCAAUAUAUUCAUCUAAGGCCCAAAAGCAGAACGAUCACCUCUCUUCUACUUUUUUGUUCCACCCAAUACAAAUUAAGAUUUUCAACAAUAUUUUAUUAAAAGAUAUCCAAACAACCCAACAAUAUAGAAGUAUCAUAAGAACCACAAAUAACUGUAAAUAAUUAAUCUCCUCAAUAAAGGUAUAAUGGGACCAUUUUUGUAACAAAACUUAAUUUAGGGUCUCAAUUAACCUUUAAUGGGUAUUAAAAUCUCACAAUAAAAAAAUCUAAAACACUCACCUAAACUUACCAAACCAAGAUUUGUGAGCCGCAACGACGGCAACAGAUGAUAGUGACAAACCAAAGCGUGGACGGCUGUGGCCAUACGGGGUUGCACAGUAAAAGGGUGGUGGCUAGGAUUUCAUAGGGAAGAAGAGUGAAUAUCUUUUUUUUCUUAAAUGGGCAAAACCUUAGACAUUUAUAAUCAUUAAUGAUAAUAACAAUAAUAAUAUAUUCUUUGUUAUUAAUGUAAUUAUAAUUGGUGACAAUUUUAUGAAUAAUAAUUAAGUAUAUAGCAACAUUUAAAAAAAUUACAAAUCUUCUAUCGCUGAUAAACUCUUAUGAUCUAUGAGUAUAAACCAAUAUUUGCAACAUAGUCUAUAAGUGAUAGACUUUGACAGAUUUUGCUAUAUCUAUAAAAAAAUUUAAACGUUGAUAUAUACUUAAUUAUUUUGAAUCUAAUUGUUAUACUUGUAACUAUCUAUUAUUAUUAUUAUUCUUUUGCCAACUAUACAGUAAACAUAUAUAUUUAUUUAAACUCUUCUUCACUCUUCUAAUUAAAUUAAUUUUUUCCAUCCAAUCAAAUCAACCAUCUCUCUCCUCAUUAACUCAUCGUUAUUUUUCCAACAAUUAUAAUUAUAUUCCAUCAUAUAAUUAACUUCACUUUUUCAUAUUAGUUAUUUAUACAAAACCAAAUAAAUCAAUGUCAUAUUUCACGACAAAAUCUAAAUUCUUAAUCAUAUAUUCAUACACAUAUAUAUACUUAAUUAAUUCUAAUUCCACAAAAACUAACUUUUCUUUUCGGAUCUCAAAUCAACUCAAAUCUUCAAUUCUUUUAAUUAACCAAAUCUUUUCAACUGCUUCCUUUGAAUGUUCUUCCUAUUAUGUACCUUGUACACAUAUCUCUUCCUGACAAGUUUUUCACUCUCUAGAUUCCGUCGUUUGUCUCCAGUUUUCCCAUUCAAGCUCUGCAACAUACAACAAAAAAAUUUGAUCCUAAGAGGAUCGGGCUAUGCAAAGAAAGAAAAAGAAAAUAAAGAAUGAUAAUAGACGACUGAAGACUCUUUAAAAGAGAAAUUACAACCCAUCCCAACAACAACGAAAAUACGAUUGAAUGGAUUUCGUCACCCAAAUUCGGACCCAAUAAUUUACCAAAUUACACGUGAAGAACUAGUUUUAGUGGUAAAGUCCGAGUCAAACACAAGAAGCACAUAUAAUUUCUCAAGUAAAUAGUUUCCAACCCAAGGGUAACAUAUGAGGGGUUUUGAAAUUAGUUUCGAUUACGAAGGAGAUGAAUUAAGGGUGUCAGUCGAUGUGAGAAAGCUUAGCUUGAGUUAUGUAGGUCACCCUAAUCGAUCUGAUCAUUGAAUUCUCAUUAUCAAAUCUAACAAUUGGUACUCCUAACUAGUUUUAUUAGAAAAGAUAAACAAAUUGUCCUAGGCAACAAAUUAGUUCGAGUUAAAUAAAUGAAAAGCAUACAAAAUUCAAUAUAUUCACACUAAUUGCAUUAGGUUGAAAACCUAAUUUUCAUGUGUCUAAUUAGACCAUCCUCAAGUAUAAUCGUAAGUCAAUUAAAAAAUAAUACAAGAUUGAAUGGAUUUCAUGAGCUAACCUAACUUAUCACAUUUUAAAUUAAAUUACGUUCAAUUCAAUUUAACGAAGCAAAUUGCACACAAUAAAAAACACUCAUCACAAAGUCCACAUGCAUUUGACAAUAUGAAAAUAAUCGUUGAAAUAGAAUUGGAAUGAUGAAUACAUCAAAUUCAAUUCAAAUCUCACAUAUCCAAUGAAUUCGAGGGAGAUUACUAAAAAUUGAUCAUGCUAAGAGAAAGUACCCUAGCCCAUUCUCAACAUUCCCAGCAAUGGAAAAAUGUUCAAGUACAUAAUAUAUAGACCAAAAUAGAGAGAAAUCGAGGUUAGAGCUGAGAUAAUCUAACCUAAGUGGUGGACGAAUUAUUUAUAAAAUCGUAACGACGCUGAAACACUGUCUAACGGACAGCACACAUUUCUACUUCUUAACAUCGCGGUUCUACAUUGCUUUUCAUGAAUAGUACGGCUAUUGCCUUACAGUGCCACACAUAACAUAGUAGGGUAUUGCGACGCUGCAAGACAGAGGCUAAUCUUAGCCUUUUCUUUGCAGUUUGAUUCGGUUAAUGCCUAUUUACUUCGAUUUUGUCAAAUUUAGCUCUUUAUCAACAUCAACAACGAAUUUUACCCUUACUUAGCUAUUAAAACCUACAAAAUAGUCAAAUAGAAACAUAAAAUCAUAUAACGAUUUCAAAUUAAGCAGGACUAGUUAAUACAUUUUCAAUGCUAUCAACUAUAGAUUUGAAAGGCUUGAAAGAUUCCCUCAUAUGUUUAUAUGGACUCUAUUGUAGAGAAAAUUCUAACAUAUCAUGUCACUCAAUUAUAUUAAUAACUACGAAUUAUAUUAAUAACUACGAGGUAUGCCGUUCAAAUCCCUUUACUAAAUAAACCUUUACAAUAUUGUUUUCUUCGACAACAUCAUUUAUUUUAAGAGAUACAAUAAUUAUUGUUCAAUUCUCAUCCCAACAUGAAACAUCAAGAAUUUUUAGGUGGGAGAAACAAAGUACAAGUAUCAACAUCGUUAGAGUUCAAGUUCAAACUAGAAAAUUUUUAGGGUUUUACAGAAUUUACAGUUGAGUGAAUACAGAAAUCAAACAUCAUCUCCUUCACUUCCACCAGUAUCUGCUUCAUGACUGACCCAGUGACUGCUUUCAUCAGGUCCCAAAACCUUGAACCUGUUCAAACAAUGUAACUUUUUUCAACUUACCUUUUAAGAAUGAUUUGUUUGGUGAGAAUCUAUAAUUUUCAUUUCAUGGGCAUUUUGGAUUUCCACGUUUGUUCUGCAGUAAUUCAAGAUGUCGUAUAAUCUAGGGAUAUCCUUUUCAAGGCAUCUCAAGGGUUUUAAAUGCUGAGAUUUUUCAUAUGUUGAGGGUAUCUGCAUUUUACUUUUAUUUUUCCGUUUGUCGAUUGAGUACUUACCUUUCAAGUACAGAUUUUCCUUCCUUGUAUUUUUGGUUCUUUUCAUGGGCAGUCUCCUGAAAGAAACCAUAAGAAUAGUUGAGAAGUAAGAAAGAAAAUAAAUAGUUGAUAUUUCAAAUCUUUGCUUCUAAUCUUACAUAUUUCCAUCCCACCAUUGAUCCACAGCCCACACAGAAGAUAUCAGCAACUGUAUGCAUCCCUGUCAUCAUCAAUCUUUCUUCUAUCUUACCUAAGCAAACAUUUACCCUGGAGAAAGUUUUGACAAUGAGAACCCAGUCUAUGAGAUGAGGCACUUUUAGAAUUAGUUUUAGAGAAACUCUAGCUUAUUCUACCGUUAUCAGAAAGUAACAACGAUUUAGAAUGAGAAACACUUCGAAAGUGAAAAUACAAACAGGUAUGCGUGUAAAUCACUAUUUGAAUGAAUAAAGAGAUUCAUUUGUUGACAUAGUUUUUGUAACUAGAUUGUGGAGCAUUGGAUUAUUUGAGAAUGAAUUUUCAGUAAAAUCACUCUCCUAUGUAUUCUCACAAAUCCCACGAGUUCUGUUAUGAAACAUUAACAUCAAAUUACUGAUCAUUAUAUGCCAAGUUUUUGUAUCUAUUAAAGAAGACCCUUGCUAACUUGAAGCUACAAAGAUGAGAACACAAAGUUAUGAGUUUGUUAACCCCUUACAAAAUUCUGAUCAAUCCAAUCCACACAUAAGAAGCCUAUAACUUUUUUAAAAAAAUCAUACAUCGACUUUAACAUAAUAUGAAACCGACAACCAUAACAUGGGUUACACAAGUCUUUAAUAACCUACUUAUUCAUACAAUCCAAACACAAAUUGCACAAACGACCCAGGCUUAUAAAAACCAUUUGUCAAACAUGCACCUAGGGGAGGAGACAAGAGUGUGUUAAUCAAUGUCCAAACUCUAAAAUCAAGAAGAACUUACACCUUAUUGAAGAGGUAAGCUUUCCCAUGUCUGCUGUGGAAGGACUGAAUGGAACAACACAAACAGUACAAGGAGUUACAAUGUGGGUUUAAGCAACUUUUGAGGAUAUUGGGACAGGACAGCAACAUAAAAUUUUCCCAGUCAAAAAACUUAUCAUACCUCCUUUUGUUCCCAAGUUCCUAAAUUACAAAGUUCAGCAGUAAACACAAUUUAAGAUAGAAUGCCAGCAAAAUUGGAGCCAACAAUAUAGAAAUUUGGAAACAUGCAACAUAAAAAAAACAACUCUUCAAUCGCAAAUGUUCUCAACGAAGAGAUCAAAGUUCAAAUAGAAUUUUAUAUAAAUGAAUCAAUUCGAGCGGUGUUAAUACAAAAUGAUAUAAUCGUAAAAGAGAGAAUGAAAACUAACCUUCUAAUUACACCAUAGUGCACUCUAGCACCGCCUAAAAUGCAUUAUUGCGUCCCUAACGAGAUUUUGAUUAUUAGAUUUUCAUUUUUAAUCACUAGUUGACUGGCUCUCAAUUUAAAUUUUUUUAAAAAGGUGAUUAAAAUGAAUAUCUGGUCUGGAACUUCAUAAUUUUAUGAUGAAAGGGGUAUCCCAAUACGAUAGUGGUUUGUGACAUCACCGACAUGCUGUGUUUUAUUUAUUUUUUAGGAUUGGAUCGUUCCUAAUUAAUACCGGUACGCAACCCCAAGUUCAAAUUAUUAACAAGUAACAGAAACUUGAAUUUAAAUAAACCUACUAAUACUAUCUACGAACAUGGGAGAACUAGAGGGAAAAAUCGACAAGAAACCAGAGAAGAAAACAGGUAAAAGGAAGAGAAACCUUAGAAAUGAUAUCGUCGUAAAGAGCAAGAUGGGUCCGGCAGAACUUGCAGCUAUAGAUCUGCCCUUCCAAAUUCACCACGAAUAAUCUUCCCAUAGCUUUGAAUCUUAAGCUUCCCACAAAUAAUCUGCAAAAAAAUAAAAACAAAACCCAUAAUGAGGAAUCGACAAAAUAUUAGACAGAAGGGUCAAGCAGAGAACCGAGAAUUAUCAUCAUCAGAGCCCUGAAGAAGAAGAAGAAGAAGGAGAAGAAAGAAUCUGGGGGUGUUCUAAAAUGGGAAAUGGAAAUCACGUUUUGCAAAGAAGCCCACUUCUCAAGUUGAUUCGAAUGUAAAGCCCCUUUGUUGUGAAUUGAGAAAGGUUGCGAAAUCAAAUUAGAAAGAAAAGAAAAAAGGUUUGGGGAUGAAGAUGAUGAAGGAGUUAUGUCAAAAUCAGAAUGGUUCGCUAUAUUAUUCAUGAAACUUCGUUGUCCUGUCUAUGAACAUUGGAUGAUCUUUUUAAGUGAGAUGCGCGUGUGCCAACAAAAUGGUGUUCUACAUACACGGAGAAUUUCAUCAGCCUUCAAGGGAGGGGACACGAGAUAAGAAUUUUUGUAGGAAUGACCUAUAAUUUUUUUUUAAUUUGAAAUGUGUCACCUUUUAUAAAAACAAUAUUUAAUAUUGUCACCUUUUUAGGAUUAUUUUUCUACCUUACUCUUCUCAUUUUCUUUGGCUUCUAGCUCUUGUGUUUUUGUUUUUACUCACUUUCUUGCUUCUGUCUUCUCCACUCGACAUUUGAAAAAACCUUGUUUGUUGUUAAUUGCUAUUGCAUGUUAUGGAGGAUAAAGGAAAAAUUCCACUUAAGUUGUCACUUAACGUGAAAUACAUGAAAGUGAGUGUCAUCGUUGCUAGAGAAGAAACUGAGAGGAGAGGAGAGGAAAAUGAAGGAAGAGAUGAGGGAAGAGAUAUUUUUAUUGAGAGAAAUAGAAGGAGGGUUUAAAUUUGAUUUUUUUUUUAUAAAAAAAUUGACUUUGAUUUUGGACAGUUUUACACAUUUUGUAUUUAUUUAUAUCCAAUUUUAAUAAAUACUUUUUUUUAUUAUUAUUUACAAAGCUCUUUUAGUGAUGGAGAGAAAAUUGAUUUAUUUGUGGUUGAGAAUAAGCAUUUGUGAUUAGUGUAAAAACUAGACAAAGUAGACUUUUGUUUGUUUGUUUUGUAAAAAAGAGAUUUUUCAAGAAAUGAAUGUAAUUAGGCCUCCCUUUUUUUCUUAACAUCCAAACAAUAAAGUAACUUUUUUUUUCUUAGAAUUCAAACAGGAUUAUAAAUUUAAAAUAUUUUAAGUUUUUCAAACAUGUUGAAAUUUAAAAUAAUUGAUUUGAAAAUCUAAAUGUCGAAGAAAGCAUAAAAGAAUAACACUGUAUUUAAGAAAAAUGAUCCAAUCCGAUCACUACAAAUUAAAUAUCAUAUUUUGGAAUAUAUAUAUUCUUUUUAACUCUAUAGAUGACUGAUUUUGGAAUAAUAUAAUGUCAAUGAGAACAUAUAUUCUUUAAAUAAAGGUGAAAGCAAAAGAAAGGACCAUAUAAAAGGCAAAACACCAAAGAAAAAAAACACAAUACACAAACUUCACAAAUAUAAAUGUAAAUAAUGUGAUGAUACAGUGCUAAUUCUUUGUGAUUGGGUUAAGUGUAUGGGUUGCAAAAAUAACACAAUACCAAGUUUUGCUCUCAUAGAAAAGGCAAUUCAAAUGUUCAACGUAUCAGUUGAGUUUAAAUAUACCAAUUAUUAUACUUUUAUCCCAAAAAAAAUAUAAAAAUGAAAUGUUCAACCAUAUCUUAAUUUGCUCAAAGUUUAAAUAUAUAAAUUACUUUUUAGAGUGCAUGUUAAAUUAUUAUAGUUUAUGGAUAAUAAUAAAUUAUUAUAGUUUGUAUCUCGGAUCCAUAUUAUUAUAGUUCAAAUUAUAGUCGUUUCUAAAAUAAAUAUUAGUUAUCUUGGACAUGCUUUUUAUUUUUUUGCUCUAUUAUUUUUUGUAAUACAUAUAUUUAGGUACAUGGAAUACUAUUUUCAGAAAACAAGGUUCAAACUAUUCCUUCCACCUAUUUAUACAAUCUAGCAUAAACCAAGAUUCAAGCUAGGGCUCUCCUCCAAUCUCACGUAUCCUCCCCACCUACUGAUUUAGAACAUAUUCAUGUUGCUGCCUUACUUAGACCAUGUCAAAUAGCCAAUUCCUUUGUUCCACCUUGCUUCAUGGAGUUUUAACUGCCCAUAUUUGCCUAUACCCUGCAAACAUUGGUUACAUCCCUAUCUAGUCCUAGCUCCAACAUGUACACCACUGAACGACCAACCUUGAUUUAUCUCACCCUAAACCUUGAUUUUUCGUUCGCUGUCUACUGUGGAUGCCAGCAGAUUUGUGUCCAAAUCUCAACAACAUUUCAAUCCCACAUUGUGUAUACUCAGAUUGAAUUCAUUGUAGGUAUCUUCUUAGUGCAUCCACCACUUACAUGUCGCAUUGUUUGUGGUUUAACCUUUCAAAUCUACCUUUAAAUAACUAUUUAUUUUUUCAUAUAUGUCAUUUGUGAGACUUUGUUCUGCUUUCAAAUGUCAGUCAUAAGCCUUUGUUUUGUUUUAAAACCACAUUUGUGGGUCUCAAUUUCGAGCGUAGAAGUUCUUCAUGUUCUUGGUUUUUUGUAAUUAGUUGUUCCAAGCCUAGACUUGUCAUGAUUUGAUUCAAAAGUGUUAUUCAGUUUUUGUAAUCUACCAACUUGAGUUUCACCUAGUCAUUUUACUCGGCCACUUCACAAACUUAAGUAGGUGGUUACUUUACCACCUUAAAUUUGAGGGAGGGAGUGUUAAGAUAUGAUUUAUAUGUCUUGUCGCGACGGAUCGCCACGCGGAGCGGCCGAUCUUCUCGUUUAUUUAAUUUCAAUAAAUAAAUAAUUUUAAAGUCGUCACCAACCAUAUUAUGUUGUGAUUGGUCACCUAAAGAAAAAAAAAAAGAUUUAAAUUUGAGAGUAAGUUGUGUAUAGGGAAAGUGUUAACACCCUACCACACUCAUAAAAUGGUUAUCCAAUUUUAUCUUUUAAACUAAAUAAAAGGUUUACAAAACAAUACUUUUCUCCUAUUUAAAUUGGAAAAUAAAUAAUAAUUAUAGGAACAAAACAUUGUGAAAUUUGAGAAAUACUUUAAAAUAAAUAAGGUAAUACGAUUAGAUAAAAUAAAUAGAGAGAUAAUAUAAGCAAACAAAUAAAUAAAGGCAAAAUAGAGCGGGAUGCAAAAAUAUGCAAAAUACCAAGAUGAAAAAUAAUUAAUUAAUCCAGUCCAGGUAAUUAACGCAGGAUGUCAGGCUAAUUAAUUAAUGCAGAAUGCAAAUGCAGUAUGCCAAAUGAAUAAUUAUUAAGACAUGAUGUCAAAUGUGUGCUAAAUAAUUAAUGAUGUCAAAUGGGUGCUAAAUAAUUAAUGAUGUCAUGAUGCUAAUUAAUUAAUCCAGAAUGCAAAUAAUUCGAAUGAAUAAUUAACACAGGUCAAAUGAGUGCUAAAUAAUUACAUUAUGCUAAUUAAUUAAUGCAAAGUAUUAGCACAUGAGGCCAAAUAGAUACAAAUAAUUAACGAUGCCAUGAUGCUAAUGAAAUAAUGCAAUAUGCAAAUAAUUGGAAUUAAUAAUUAACACUGGAGAACAAAUGGGCGCCAAAUAAUUACACGAUGCUAAUUAAGUAAUAGGUCAAAUAAGUGUCAAAUAAUUAACGCAAAAUGCAUAUGCUAAUUAAUUAAUGCAUAUAUAAAUAAUUCAAUUAACACAGACAAAUUAAUAAUUAACACAGGAAAAUUAAUAAUUAUUAACCCACUAGUUCAAAUGAGUGUCAAAUAAUUAAGGCACAAUGUCAUGCUAAUUAAUUAAUGCAAGAUGUAAAUAAUUCAAUUAACACACGCAAAUGAAUAAUUAUUAACACAGGCAAAUGAGAGCAAAUAGGUGUCAAAUACUUAAUGCAUGAGGUUAAUUAAUUAAUGUUGUAUGCAAAUAAUUCAAAUAGACAAUUAACACAAAUGUCAAAUGAGUGCCAAAUAAUUUAUGAACCAUGAAUUAAAAAAAAACACAAUAAAUUUCACGUCUCCGUAAUUAAAUUGACCUAAAUUUAAAAGAAAAUCUUACAUAUCAAAUAGACUUGACUUAAAUUCAAUAAAAUUGAAAUCACCAUUGAUUCGGAGAAAAGGCUUCUUUCUCGAUCCUCUUAAAUUUUUCCAAACCACAAGCAGAUGAGAAGAUUUUUUUUUACAGUAAAAGUGUACUUUUUCUCUAAAAAUCUCCACGCUCAUAUUCAAUUCUCCCUUCUCCAAGCAAAUGCAUGUUAACUAAUCAUUAUGUUUUAACUAAUCAAAAUUUUAUUCAAAUGAUCUGUAUCCCCUACCUCAAAAGAAAGUUAACUAAUAAAACUAUAACCAUUAAAAUAAAUUUUAGUUCACCAGAGUUUUGCUAUAACAACAUUCUAAAAUGAUUUCCUCAUAUGUACAUUCAAUAAUCAAGUUUUACUCAAAAGUGCAAUGAAUCAAAUAAAUUCAUAGGACACCAAUUAAUUAAAACUUCGAUCAUUUAACACCAUGUGAAAUUAAAGCAUGUUUGCAUGGUUGACAAUAAAGCAAUGCCAAACACAUAUGCAUUGGAAAAAAAAAAAGUAAUACCUGAAAAAAUAGUAAACAUAGAUCAAUUCAAUGCAUUAACUUUCAUAAUUUAAUUUGAUGACAUAUUAUAUUGUUCAAAGCUUGCAUACCUUUAAAUAUUGAGAGCAAAUUUAUUUUGAACAUAGAAAAAGAGUUCAUACAUUUCUAGAAGCAAAUAUUUUACUCAAUCAAAAAAAUGAUGUGAAUGACAUAUUUUGAAUCUGAAAACUUAUGACAUAUUUUGAAUCUGAAAACUUCAUUAACCAAAUUAUGGACAUUUCAUCAAACAAUUGGUGGGCAACACAAAACAAUAUUCAUUUACUUGGUGGCAGCUAGAAAACUAGAAAAAUUAAGUAAUAAAGAAAAAAAUUUGUGAAGAAUAUAUCUUAAAUGCAAUGUUGAGAAUUGAAUUUCAAGUUUAAUUGAAAAAAUCAGCAGGAGCAAGAACUCAAUUUUCUUAAAUUUCGACCAUGGGAUUUUGUGUCCAGAAACUACUUUGCAAUUUUAGCAAAUAGCCUAAAGCUUUACUCCAAAGAUAUAUAGAGCUUUACUCAAAUACCAUAAAACUAUCUUUUAUGGGAUGAAUUGCUCAAAGAAAAGUACAGAGAGUAAAGAUUAGAUUCAUAAAUACCUGAGAGACCGCCACUGACGAUGAAGGUAGGAGAUGAUCGGCGGUCUGGAGAGUGAGAGGGCAGUGAUUGAGAGAGGGCACGAUGAUGACAAACGAAGGAGGGUUUUGCUAUGAGUGAGAUGGUUGUGAAGAAAAUUAUAGAACGUUGCGAAGAAGCAUCAGACGAAGAAGCCUUCACUGUGGACAAAACUCUGCAAUAACCUUGAGCUAUCACCGAGCGGAGAAGCUUGGUGGAGGAGGGGAAUCAAUGACCCGUGUGAGACCACUGUAGGGACUUGACGACAUGCAGUGGAGAAGGGAAAUCAUGCGAUUGGAAGAGGAAGAAAAAGAAAGAAGGAUUUACUUCGUGAAAUUGGGGGAACUUGAAAACAAAUUUGAAGUUCCCCUCUUUUCUUUCGUUGUUUUCUUUUAAUUUAAAAUAAAUAUUUUAUUAUUAUUAUUUAUAUUUCAUGACACUUAAAAGUUGUCAAAGAUUUAUGACACAAAAAAAUUGUCAUAAAUUUUUCAAAUUCGAAAAUGUUCCGUCUUUUUCCACCAAAAACGCGGAUUUUGGCAUUUAUGACAAUUUUUUCUUUCUUCAUUCCAAUUUGAGAUGUAUUCAAAUGUCAUAAUAUGCGACUUUUGUUGUAGUGAUGUCCUCUCUUGAAAAAAAUCUCCUCCUUCUCUUUUUAUAGGGCAAGGUUGAUCAUUUUAUUUUUAGAUCUGUAAGUGAAGUAGAGUGAAAACUAGCGGAGAGAAAAUGUGAGAAAGUGGGAGAGUAGGAGCGUGGUGACGAGGAAAACAAAAAAGUGAGGAUUGUUGAAAAAAAUAGGGAGAAAAAAAACUUUUUUAUUUUUAUUUUUUAAAAAAUGUUUUUUUCUUUUGUUUUUUUAGGACCUAAAUUUAAAAUAGGAAAUUUAAAUUUAAAUUUAAAUUCAAAUUCUUUUGUACAAAUAAAAAUAAACAUAAAUAAAUAAAUGAAAAUGAAAAUGCAAGAUAAAAUACGGUAUCUAUAACUUGCUCCCCUUUGUCUAUCCUGAAAAUAUUUAAUGGUGGACAAAGAAAAUAGAUGAGGUAUUUGGGCCAAUUUUUUUAUUUUUUAGAGAGAGAUAGAAAGAAAAAGAACUAUCAAAUGAAGGAUAUCAAUCUUAUCUCUAGAGCUAGAUAUGAUAAAUGAUGGAUCUGAUAGACAUGCUUGUGAACCUUUAAAGCGUGGAUUUAAAGAUGUAAUCCAAUGUCAAAGCAACCUACAUGAGACGCAGUUGCAAAGUCAGAAACAACUAUGCGAUUUGGAACUAAAAUUUGACAAUACAAAUAUCCAUUAUUUAGGUCAAGUUGACAAACUCCAAGUUGCGGUGCAAGAGUUUAUAACACAGAAUCAAACACUUAAAUCGCAAAAUAUGGGGUUCAAGGCACAAAAUCAAGUGAUCAUGGGGAUGAUAGAACAGUCUGAUAGGCGGAAUGAUGUGCAAUUCAGAUCAACAUUAAAAGGCCUUCAUGCAACAAUCUGUAGCAUCAUUCCAGUACCUAAAGUUCCUCCAGAAAUUGCAACACCCCUUACACAAAAUUACACUGCAGUACGCAGCGAGGCAGAAUCUUCUCGACCACCAUCGCAAGCCUAAAGGGGGAUUGCUUUAAAAUUUUGUAAAACUUCUUGUAUUAAUCGAGUAUUUAUGUAAAUUCCAUUUAUGAAACUUAUGUUUGUUUCAAAAUAUAGUACAAUUCUUUAUACAACUCUUUAACAUUUGGUCUUUCUCAUCGCAAGAGCUUUGCUCCCCGCAUUGAUAACACUUUAAUUUUAUCUUGCAUCUCAAUGAUAACUUCAGUCAAAUAAACUAUGCGAACUAAAGUUUCAUUUAUUAUUCAGGCGUUUAACUUGUUAAGGAACCUCACUUAUCAAAUAUUUCUAUAGUUUAUUAAGUGAGCAAGUUUUACCUCAAACCUCUCUGUAAUAAGUUUUUGUAAAUAAUCUUAUCAUUCAUUUUUAACAAUGCAGACAUAGCUAACCUCUAAAUUUGGGGGUGUGCGAGGUCCACGCUAAAGCUUUUGAAAUAUGUUUGAAAAUCCUGUGGCAUCGUUUGAAAAACAAGGCAUUUUAACAAAAGUUAAAACUCUGCCAAAAAUAUGAAAAAUUAGAAAAAAAUUGUAUUUAAUUGAAAUAACAACUUUUAUGUUGUCUCCUCUCGAUAAAAUAAGAAGCAUAGCUUCAAAAGUAAAAACCAGAGAGUUAAGUAAUAAGAGGCGAUGAGAGAUACAAUUGAGGAGAGAAACAUAUCCAUAGAGUACCUAUGAUUUUCCAUUGAAUGUCAAACCACAAAUAAAUAGUCGACUAAAAAGCAUUCUUUCGCGAAAUAAAAGGAGUCAAAAUUCUUCGAAAAUUUUAGCAACUUAUAAUUCUGAAGAUAAGAUUUACCUAUGGGGAAUGAACAAGAGUAUUUUGAGUAUUAAGCUUGUCGCAUUUUUUAACUUAGAAAUGAAGUACGCGAUGAAAGUAAACCCUAAAUAACGAAUAAAACUUGAUCGCGUAUUGAGAAGUUUAGAAGUGCAAGGAGGAGGGUGAAUCUACGAGUAGGAAUUGUGCUUCAAGACAAGUAUGAUAUGGAGCAAUGCUUAACAAGCAUUAUUCUAAAUUUUAGGGUGUGAUAACAUGUAGAAAUAAAAGUUAUUACAACCUCUUUUAUUAGAAUAAUGAGACCAAAAUAGAGAAGUACAUCAAAACGCGUAGUUUAUAUUUUUUUUUGCAAAGGUAUUGUAAUAAAUGUUGGGGUGGGGAUUUGAACCCGAGACCUCUUGUCCACAGGAACAUACAGGUGCCAGUUGUGCUAAGCUCAUGUUGGUCGCGUAGUUUAUAUUGAAAAUACAUAACCAAGCGAUAGAUUUUACAUAAGCUUUCACAUCUGUUUAACCAUGAUUACAAUGGCUUAUGGAGGAUUAAUAGGAGGAAGUGAAUUAGUGAAUUGCAAGGAAACUCACGUCGGUGCUAUGUGAUAAAGAUUAACAUUUUUAGGCAAGAAAACCAAAUCACAACAAGAAAAGUGAUUCACUAAGAGACAAGAAUAGUAGUUGGAGAUGAUGUGACUCGCGACAGAUACCAUGGGCGUGCGGCGCUGGUGUUUGUCGUUGACAUGAUUAGAAGAAUAGAAAUUUCUCAUUGAAAGUGCCUAUAAAAGAACUUCUUCUUCAUCAAAUAAAAUUGAUAUUGUAAAAGGCCUGAAUGAGCCAAAACCUAGGGAGAAAGGCGGAAAGGAAUAGUCUUUCCGCCAUCUGAAAGAGUAGUUUUCUUCUUCUUCUCUCGUCAUACUAUAAGUGAGAGCUUAGAGUCUAGGUGAUGAAGGUUCCAUUUCCUAUUCCCCUAACUUGUAUUCAUUCUCAUUCUUCUGAUUUCCCCUUUUGUAUUCUUCGUGUAAUAUUUAUAUUUUUCAUAUUGUACAAUGAUCAAAGGCCUACAUUCUUUAUAUAUAUUACAUGUUUAUACAUUUUCAAUCCAUCAUGUCUCUACUUUCCAUCAAUCAAUGUGUUAUUGAUAGUUUCGGUCGGUGAUAAGUUCUUGAAAGGAAGUUUUACUUAUCAGUCUUAUCGCAUUAAUUGAGUUAUUCUCAUAGCUUGACCAGCGUAAGUCGCCAACUACCUAAGAGGGUAAGUAGCAAGGACAUAGUUAGCGAGUGCAAAGAAGAGUUUUCUCUUCCUUUGCAAGAUAACUUUCAUCAUUUGUAUUCUGAAAGGUGAAGUGUGGGCACUAGGCGCCAAGAGGUCGUUGUCCUUAAUCACGAAGUUCUAUACAUCUCGUAAGUGAACUCUUCUAGAUAUAUCUCGUCAAAUCACACUUAGUCAUAUGGAUCCUGAAAGGUGACCAUGUGUGACGUUUAAUGACUCUGAGAGAAGCAUGCCUUAAUCAUAAGCUAGUUGAGUAAGUUACAUCACAUCAAGGUUAUCACACUACUUAAUUAUGUUAUAAUACAUAGACAUUCCUUCAUUUUUUCUCGCAUACAAGUUAGUUCACAUUUCCAUUUGCAUCCACCCCCAUUCCUUAACAGAAUCUCUAUGCAUAUGUAAGUAGUAUUAUUUCUAGCAUUAUUCUUUUAGAUGUUAAUUGUUUAUUCUUUUAUACCGUCUGAUUGAUAAAUAGACUCUAGAACGAAGUUUGAUAUUAAUUUUCCGUGUUUGACUUUGAAUCACCCAGAUAAAUCUAUUGUUUCGCUUAUACUUGGACACGCAGUAGAAAUACUUGUACUAAAAAAGGACUUAGUAGUUACGCGAUAAAGAGGUAUAUAGUGAGUACUUCGCAUACAGUUAUCAUGAUCAAUGACUUAUCACAUAGAAUUAAUUAUGCAUUUAGAUAACCUUGAGUUCGAAGGGAACUGAACACAUUUACACAUCACAUCACACUUCCCCAAACAACCAGUUACAAUACAAAAUUCAAUAGGAUGAAUGUUAUUAUAACACAAAAUUGAAUGAGAGUUAUCUAACAAUUGGUAACCUACGUAGGUUAUGGAUAUAUACAUUCAUAAUUUUCAUAAAUAUAACAAAACACCAAAAUAUUUUCGGCUCGUAUAACAAAAUCAAAAAGCCAUUGAAGUCGAUUAACUUUGUAAAAAUACUUUAGGUUUGCCAUUCAUUUCCAUCUUUUUUCUUCUGCAAUUUUUUUUACCUUUUCAUCGUUUUUUUCUUCUUCUUCUGCAAUUUUUUUUAAUUAUUAUUUAGUUCAAGAUCAUGUACCAAAUAUGAAAUAUCUUUUUUUUUUUUCAAACGGUUACUUAGUUGUUCAAGAUUGUGUGUCAAAUACAAAAAAUCAUUGGGAUAUUGAGUAGCCAAAUCUAAACAAUCGUGUACAAAAAUAGUCAAAUCUAAACAAUUGUGUAUCAAAGAAUCUUGAAAAAAAUCAUUUAGAUUUAGCUACAUAAAUUUGAACGAUAAAAAAUCUAAACGAUUGUGUACCAAAUAAUCUUGAAAAAAAAAUCGUUUAUAUUUGAAUAGUCAAAUAUAAACAAUUAUGUAGCAAAGAAUAACGAAAUCUAAAGGAUCAUUUGCCAAAAAUAUUAUGCGCGUUGAGUGCUAAUUAAUCAUAUGGAAUUUUUGGUAUUUUUCAUUGUGGGUCUGUGAGUUUUUUCCGUUUUUGAAAUUGUUCUAUACCGUAUAAAUAUUUUAUCGGUUUGUAAUAUUUUUUAAAAGCCAAUACAAUAAUCUCUAUUCCUAAAAUUGUGUUGUAUGGCAACAUUUUAAAGAAAAUCAAAGAUAAGAAAGUAUAUUAUUGAUAAACUCACUUAAUUGAAUCAAAAUUUCGCAAUAUGUACAACAUCUUCAGUAUUGUGUAUUACCUACUUAAAUUAUUUAAGGUUUGAUCGUCGUAAAUAUAGGCAACCAACUCAAAUUUCAUUUUUUUAAAGUUUUAAAUGGGCUGAAAUUUGAUUGGGCUUCCAUGGCCCAAUAAACAUUUUUUAGUAGUUUAGUAGAAUAAAUCUUGGGGUUGGCCCAUACUUGACAGGAUUCAACACCAACUACUACUUGUCGAACCCAAUGGCCAUGCCUUUAUUAUCAAAUCAAAUGUUGGUGAAACAGAUCAAACAUCUUUCUUUUUCCUUUUCUUUUUCUUUUAUUCAGAAAAAAUAUUUGUUUUUCAUUACUUUUUACAAUUAAGAUUAAGUUCACACAAUUAACACAAAAAAGUAAGAAUGAAAAAACAAAUGUAAAACUAUCAUAGAGUCUGAGUUACGGGAUUGAGAUUCUAUUUAUACCUAUCAACCUUAAAAAGUUCAAUUAUUUAACCCUCUGAUCUAAUUUUGUCUUGAGACUUUUCUUUUCAUUAAAUUCAUAGUUAGAAAUGUCUGCACCUUCAAUUCAUAUGUCGUUUUAUAUGAGUAAAUUUGAGUGUUGGAGUUUCAAAAAUCAUAAACAAAAGAAAUUAGAACAUAAACGUGGGAAUGAGAAAGACAACAUGUAUGGUUCACUAAUGUAAUGUGUCUUUGUAGAUUUCAUUACAUAAGUAAAUUUAAACACAACUCCACGUUAAUGUCGUGACGUUUUUUCGAAACAAACUUGUAUUGAACCUUUAAAACCAUAUACCUCCAUUUUCCCAAUAUCACUGCAUGUUUUCACCACAGAUAAGAGCUAAUUCAUUUUUCCAAAUCUUAACCAAACUUCAUGACUUUUCUUGAUUAGAAUUGAGGACAGGUUUUCCUUUUCAAACAUUAGAUGAUUAGACCCCACAUACCUAACAAUGUUAGAAAAUAAAAAGUAACAUAUCCAUCUCAUUAGGCUCCACACAUGUUAGAAGAGACCAAUGUUUCAUAUCUUAACCAAAUUGGAUAUUUCUCAUUUUUUCUUUCGAACAUAGAUCAUAAGCCAACUGCCAUAUAUGCAUAGAGUUUAUAUGGUUUAGUUUUCUCACACUCUGAUCCCUAUAGCUCCCUCAUCUUUGUUUCUUUUUCUUUUUUGAAUAUGAUAACAUAUAGUAAGAGAGGGGAAAAAUAAAAGAGUUGUUGGGUUUGAGAAAUGGGUUGUAAAGAAAAAGAAUAAUGAUGGGGAAAGAGAUUAUUAGAGUGUGUGUGUGUAAGAGAUGGGUGAUUGGGAAAACUGAUAAAAGACCCCAUCAUGUCCACAUGUUUCCAUCUCAAUCCCUUUGUCCUCUUAAACAUAGAAAGUGAUGCUCAUGUGCCUUCCAACCAACAUAUAUAUAUAUAUAUAAUACAUAUCUCGUUUUAUACAUAUAUCUUCCAUUUCUCCUCGUAGUUUCCCUUAAUCCCAGCAUAAUCCCCUUUCUAAUUCCCCUUUAAUCAUUCACUUUUUUUCUAUAUAUUUUAUUAACCAUUUCAUUAAAAGAUAUAUAUAAAUUAAAUUUCUUUGAUGUAAUAUAUAAUAAAUUAUAUGAUAACAAUAGUUCAGAUAUUAUACCUAAUAGUUAGUUCAUAACUACAACUUUAUUUUUAAAGGUUUUAAAAUAUAUUAUCAAACACACUUGAACAAUAGUUUAAAUUAAAAUUUUAUUUUUAAAUUGGCCACAAAAAUAUUUUGAAAAAUACAAUUUUAUUUUCACUAAAUCUAGUGUUAUACUUAAAUUUGGAUGAUUAAUUAACCAAACAUACUUUUAAUUUCUUAAUUUUUUUUUUCAUCUCUAUUGAAAGGGAAAACAGGAUGUCCUAAAGAAAGAAGCUUUCUAAAUUAGAACUGUGUUAAAAGGGGGGAAAAAGAAUGGAAUAACAUAAUCUGUUUUGUAUAAUUUGACACAAAAGUUUGAAAAAAAAAAAAAAAGAAAUUGUAAACAUAAAAAAUAUAUAAAAAAUAUAGCUGAUUUUCUUAAAAUAUAAAUAAUAUAUUUACUUUUUAGAAGAAAAAAAAAUUGUGGCUUUUUUCUUCUUGUCCAGUUAAGAAUGAGUGGCCAUGUCUGUCUCCCAUUUCCUUCACAAUAAGCAAUAAAGUUAACAUGUAUAAUUCAAAAGAAAUAACUGUGUUGUGUUGCUGUUUAUCACUUUUUGUUUUGUAAUUUGCAAAGGAGGGCUUUGAUGACUUUUUUUCUUUUUUGUUGCAAAGAUAAAGAAAUUGUAUAUAUAUAACUAAUGACACUUUGAUUGUGUAACUAAUUGUGCUUUUGGGGACUCCUAUUUGGUGGAAUGGAAAAUGAUUGGUGGAAAUGCAUAAGUUAGAGAGAAGAAAGAAUCAUAUAGACACAAUUAAAGUGGGCUUCUCUUUAUGAAUUCCUCAAUUGAUUAUAGACAAAGCAAUGGACCAAAAUCCAAAGAGAUCCAACACAUGGAAUAUAUUACACAUUAUUAUAGGUUAAUUAGUGUGUGGUUUAAGAGUUUUUUUUCUGUUCUUUUUUUUAAUUAGGGAAGUACUAUAUUAGAUUUGUAUAUAAUAUAUUGGUCUUGUUUAAUUGUCUGGUCAAACCUUCCAUUCAAAAAAUAUAUGUUCCGAGAGUUUUGAGCUUAGGAAUUGUCUAUAAAACCUUAGCAUUUAUAUAUUGUGAUUAAAAAUUUUGUUCUCUCGAUUAUGGGUUUACGUCGUUCCAACCGUCAAUGAGGCUUCGUUAGGUUGUUGGUGAGAUAAGAAAAUUCACUUGAAUAGUAAUUGGGAACUCGAGGUGAUUUUUUUGGUGCUUUGAGAGGAGCUCACUCAAAGUUUGGAAAAACCUUGUUUCGAGAUGAGGGGAUCUUAUUGAUCUUAUAUUUAAGGAGAGCAUAUAAGUACGUAUAUUAUUGUAGUGAGGGAAUCUUACCCACAGAAUGAGCCUAAAUACGUCUCAUUGAGGAGAUAUACGAAUCUCAUCCAAAGUUUGGAGAAGUUUUCAUCAUGGAUUUGGAAAAAUCUAAAACUUAAAAAAAGUCUAGGUUGAAAUUAUUUUAUAAUUGCUAAACCCUUUCUAUAUUUAUAGGGAGCCUAAAAUGCAUUAUUUUAUAAUUGUUAAAGUCUUCCUUUAUUGAAAUUUUUUCCACUAGAAAAUAACCCUAAAAACAAUUGACUUACCAAUCUCUAUAUCUCAUUAUAUAUAUAUAUGUUGGUAUUGUUUUUAUAUUAAUUAAGUUGUUCUAUUCCCAUCCAUUUUUUCAGUGUGCAAUAUCCUAUUUGACAUUUGUAUUUUGUGUUAGAUUCAUUUUAUUUUUUUAUUAAUAAUUCUUUGAUAAUAGUAAAUGAUAAUAAUUAGAGUAGUUAUCUGCCAAAAUUAAGAUAAUAUGAUUAAAAAAGUUCAAAGAUUCAAAGAAACAUGAAGUGCUGUCGAGACUACAAAUAUAUAUAUAAAGUUCAACACUAUAAAUAUAUAUAUAAAGUUUAACACCGUAUCAUCUAAAAAUAUUUGAAUUUAUAAUGUUGGGAAUCCUAACCUUAAAAAUCUUAUGGAUCCCAAAUAAUAGUUGAUAAGAUAUAUUUUAAUAGUUGAGAUUUGGUUUUUUUUUUUUUUUAAAUUUUGAGAAAGUCAUAUCAUCCUAAAUAUAUACUCCAUAUUCUGGAUGAACUAAAUUUAUCAAGUAAAUUAGUAGUUUUAGUAUUUUUUUUUUUUUUUUUUAUGAUGAGAUUUAAAUGACAUUCUUGUUAUAAUUAUACACGGAUUCUAAUUACAUUAAUUAUUUUUAGUUUUUUUUUUUAAUAAUUGAAUGCAAGAAAGAGGGUUUUUUUUUUUCCUUUUUUUUAAUCAUGCAUUCAAUUAAUAGUUAUAAGCAUGGACCACCAUACUUCCAAUAAUUUCUGCUUUAACCACUGUCAUAUUAAUGAUCAUUCAUAAAUAAUUUACUUUGCGAUAUACGAGAUAAUUACAUAAAAGUUAAAUCUUCAUUUAUCAGUCUCUAAUCUUUUAUACACACUCCCCUUUUUUUUUCUUUUCUUAUAAAUCUAUUUAUAUGUAAAAGUCGAAUAAAGUCGAGAUUUAAACUAUUAUUUAGUUGUUGUAAUAUAAUUAUUGUAGAGAUUUGGAAAACUAAACCUCUUGUUUUUAAGUGAAUUAGAGAUUUAUCAAUUACAGUAAGUUAAGCUCUAUCUCUUUUAUAAAGUAUUAUUUGAUUGGUAUGCAUAUACACACAUACGCCUUGGAAUAAAAAAAUAGUUUGUUGUUAAGUUUGAUAUUAUAUAUGUCCUGUCCUUAAUUAUUAAAUUUAUAUGGAGCUGAAAGGGAGGAAGCUUCUUGAUGAUAUGGUGGAAGAUCUUUCCUACUUGGGUUCAUGAAAUCUAAAUCUUGACCAAUCAAAAUUCCUCUCAAAUAAUUUGUUUAUAUUAUCGUACAAAACAUAUGAAAAAUAAAUUAAAUUAGAAAAAAGAAUGGGAUCGAAUUUUCUUUUCAACACUUUUUUUUUAUUUGUCGACCAACUUUUUAAAAUCUCAUAAAUAAUAUUUUUCUUUCAUUUAAACAUGUUACACAUAAAGUUUUCAUGCAUGCUUCAAAUAAGUCUUUUAUUUUAUUUAUUUAUAUUUGCUAUAAGAAUUGAAUUCAUUGUUUAAUUUUAAAAGAUCAAUAAUCUUCCACGUCGAUCCUCUUCUCCUUGUAGAUUAUGUUUGUAUAUUCAACCUUGGACUACAACGGACGCAUGCUCUGAUUUUAUCAGUUUCAUACAUGUGACAUAUCAAUAGGAAAGUAUCUAUUAUUACUUUACACAUUUGGAAUUGUACAAGGAUAUGAUCAUCAAUAAUUUUGUCAAUAAUGUUGGGAAGAAGGAAGUCAUCAACUAGAAAAACAUGUCAUUAGUGUCAUACUAAUUUGAAUUAUCGACCACAUUUAAUUUUCUUUGACUUUGCCUCACCAAAUAUUAACAUACGUCUAUGUAACUUUAUAAGAUUAUGAGAGAAUAGGAAUGAAUUGAGAUCACAUUCUCGAAUGAGAAAAAUAUUGAGAAUAUGAAAAAAUGGUUAAGAAAUCUUUGAUAAGAAUUGAAAGUUACUAUUAUUUAUAUCAAGAAUGUACAUAUAUUUUAAUUGAGGAAGCAAUCCUAAAUGAUUAAAACGGUUUUUGAUUGUAACUAUGUAUGGAAACACAAAUGGAGUGUUUUCUCCCCAAAUUUAAAUAAAGGCACUGCUCGUUUCUGUGUUUGGACACGUGAUUAUAUUGAAAUUUUUUUUAAAACACUGUUUAGUUUUCAUCAAUAGUUUUGUUUAAAAAAACAAUAAUUUAAUGUACUAUAUUAAAAGUAAUGAUCGGAAAAGAUAUAUAUUAUUGGAAAGUAAAAUAAGGCUUAAAAGGUUGAUCAUAAUUAAUAUUGAGGUUCUGCCUAAAAAAUAAUGAAAAGUAAUCAAAAUUGUUAUAAUUAAUUUGAUUGUUACUUAACUAAACUAUACUUAACCAUUUUAGAUCUAUAUUGCAAAGGUGAAUGUGAGAGCAAAUUUUUAAAGAAGAGAUAGAAAAAUAAUUAUAAGAUUGUGUUUGAUCAAGGUUGCUAUUGAAAAACUAUGUUUCUUUAUUGAAAAUUAAAGUACCACCAUAUAUAUGUUAAAUAAAGAUUUUACUUCAAAUGAAUUGAAGUGAAAUGGUUGAAGAGGAUCUCAAAUUUGUGUGAAAAUAGAGCAUUGAUAGAGGUGAGGGAGAUUUUUAGGAGCAACCUAAGUAAAAGUUAGGAGUUGGCUAUUCACAAUCGACCCAAUGUUAGAUGUGUCAAACUUAAAAGAACUAAGUUAUAAAUGUUGAACUAUUUUCUUUAGUGAAGUUUAAACUUCUUUCCACGAGACACAUCUAGAAAUUUAGGUAACGUUGCACGAAACUGAAGUUACCAAUUCUUGUGCAUUUUCGUAUUGUUUAUUUGUUGUGCUAAAUUUUAGUGUUUCUUGUUGAAACAUUACAUUUGGCAGGUAUUCAGUUGUUUGAUAUUCACAUGCAUUUUUUAAAAUAAUAAAAAGAUUAGGAACAUUUAAGUUUAUGAAAUGAUGUGAAUGAUAAAAUUUAGAUGAAAAUUUCAUAGAUAAAGUUUUAAAGAGGUUAAAUAAGGAUUCAUCUCAUCUUAGUACUAAUUAGAGAAAAAUAUACAAGAACUAGAUCAUUCUCCAUUUAAAUACAUCAUUAGAAUUUCAUAAAUGAUAAAUAUAUAGAAUUUGGAUUUUUUUUUAAUAAUCUUUCUCUAUUCUAUAGUUGUUUCAUCUCUAACUUCUAAUUUGAGAGUCAUUUUUUAAAAAUAAGUGAAACUUUCUGAAUGAGAUUGUGACGUUAUUGAUAAAUAGAAAAUGAUCGAAACUUACAGAAUCUCAAAAAAGUAAAUCAUAGAUAAGGAUCCAAGUAAACUAUUUGGGUAAAAGCAAAAAUUGUGUAAUUGUGUAAUUGUGUGUUGAAAAUUUCCCACAACAUGCAUGUACAAAUUUUAUUUGCUUAAAAAAGGCUUCAAUAACUUUAAAGGAAAGAUGAAAUUUGCAAGUGCUUUUGGGUGGUUUGAUAAAGUUAAGUUGUGAUCGUGUCAAAAUAGUCAUAUAUCAAAAUGCAGAGGAAGAAAAAGAUGGUGGAAGGGACUGGAAUAUGAUGUAGAUAUAUAUAAUAGAGUGAAUCUAUGAUAAAAUAUUGCAUUAAUUUAAUGGAUUCUUUUUUUCUUUUGAAUAAGUCCAAUUGAGUUUUUAAAUUGAAUUAGACUGAUUGAAAAUGAUAGAGCAUUUAGAAAAUGACAAUUCAUAUAAAAUAAUUAUUUUAAUAUUAUAUUAUAUACUUUAUUGUUCACAUUCAAUUAUCAAAACAUGCAUUGGGAUUAUAGGGAAUAUUUAUUUUUCGAAAAAAUAUAUAAUAAAAUAAUGCUAAAUCUUUUUUAUAUAUUUAAUUUAUAAAUAUUUUUAACAACUUUUACGAUUUAAAGAAUUGCAAACAAUUAUUCAAACAGGUAGAAAGAAUUCUAGAUAUUAAAAGUUUAGGUCACGUUACAAAAUUCAACAUUAAAUUACAUAUUCAUUUUUUAAAUUUUUAAAUAAUCGUAUAUCUAAUAUUUAAAAGAUUUCUUUUUUAAAUAGUAGAUUUUACAAAAUAUUUACGAUCUAUAACAAAUUUUAUCAUCGAUCGUCGUUGAUAUGUUAUAAUUAUAUAAAACUAUCAAAAUUUUGUUGAUAGAUAUUUUAAUUUAUUUUUAUUUAAAAAAUGUGAACCUUUGACAAUAAGUUUAUCAUUUCAUUGUUAUGUUAAUUGUUGACACAACAUUUUAAAUUUAAAAUAAUAAUUAAAAGAGAAAAGAAGAAAUGAAGAUGGAGGAUAGAUAAGAGAGAUAAAAUACAAUAUUUUAAUUAUUAUUUUUUAAUACAAAAAUGCAAUAUCAAUAGUUAAAAUAGAAUUAAUUUCAAAAUCUAAUAAUUGAAACUAAAAGACUAAAGAAAAGAUUACGUGGGUGUUUAUCAUUUGGACUAGAAAGUUGAUGGAUUCCAAAACUAAAAACUUUAAUUUCAUACAUUGUUGAAUAUACGAUAUAACUCUAGUUGUUUAUAAUCAAAGUUGGUCAUUUUGUAAAAUAACAUUUCUUAUGAGAGGUAAAUGGUGUAAAGUAUGAUUAAAACAAAAUUUUAGAAUUGCAACUUUAUUGUUCAUUUUCGUAAUGUGUGUGUAUAUAUAAAAGAGGAGUAAAUUAAGUUGGUUGGUUUGUAUUAUAUGAUGUGGGAUGAUGUAAGAAUAUAGAAAAGAAGAAAUGAUAAAAGGUAAAGAAAAUAGAAAAAAGAGGAAGCACACGUGCAGUGCAGGGUGUGACAGGAGUGAAGAAAGAGAGAGAAAGAGAGAGAGAGCAUUGGAAAGUGUUAAAUACAAAAGAAAAUUUAGAAUAAAACCAUAAGCAUAUAUAAUAUAUAUAUAUAUGAAUAAUGAAUUUGAUGUUGAUGUUGAUGUUGAUGUUGAUGUACACAUAUCGAAUAUUGCUGAAGAUUUUUCAGAUACACACGUGUGCUUCAGACCUCGUGUCUCUUACCUCACCACCUUUGACUACUACACACAAAUAUAUAUAUUUCUUAUAAUACCAUGUAUUUGAGAACUACAUAUCGUUUUACAAUAAAGUGUACACUUCUUAUUUUACGUCCAAAAAUCUUCGUUUAAGGUAUGUAUAUAUUAUUAUAAUCUCAAUUUUGGAUUUCUGUAUGAUUUAUUGAUUUGGUUUAAGGUUGCUUUAUUAUUAUACAUUUACUCCUAUCUUAAAUAUAUCAUAUUUUGUAAAUUUAUACAUAAAAGAUGUACUGUUUCACCAAGCAUAAGAAAUGUGUGUUUGAUUUUAAAUUAUGUUAUCCUUAAUUACUUUAUCUUAGUCCAUUUGGGAUGUUCUAGUACUGUUGAACAAAAUAUGUGAGAUUAGACUAUAAAUCAAUAUCUUGUUGAUUAGCAAGGUAAGAAAGUUUCAUUUUAUAAUAUUACACAAAAGCAUAUCUCUAGGACUAGGGAGUAAUAGUUGUCGACAAUAGGAGGUUGCAUGUACAUGUGUGAAGCUAUAGGAAGGGUUCGUUAAAGGAUGAAUAUCGUUUUUCAGGAGAUUAAAUGUCCAAAUAUAUAGGUUACUUUAUCUAUCUCGUAAUUGACUUUGAUUUUAUUUGAAGGUUGCAAAUAAGAUGAAUCAUGAAUUUAAACUAAUGAAAACUAAGAAACAAAGAUUAAGAAAAAAAAAAAUCAAUUUCAAUAUUAAAAAAAUAUAUAUUCCAGAGUGUUGAUUCCAAUGUCCAAUUCAUUUUGUCAUAUCUAUGCUUUACAUACCCUUGUGUUCAAAUGUUGUUUUUCAAUCUAGAAACUAAAUUUCAAUUUUUCUCAUGUAAUUUUAAUUGAUCCCUACCCUCUUAAAACUAAGUUUAUAAACUUAACAGUAAUUCAAGACCUUUGUCUUUAGAGGUUGAGGUUGAAGUUGAAGGUUUAAUGCCACCAAUAAUAAACUAAAAUAUAACUAUUUAAAUUAGUAAUUUAUUAUAUAGUAGUUGAUAAUGAGUGUAGUAAUUCAUCUCUUAUAUUGAUGGUGAGGUUGUUUGACUUUUAUUUAAUAUAUAAGGGUUCUCAACAUGUUCAUUUCAGGAUAGUUUGGGUUCACUAUUAUUGAUUGGAUCACAAUUCUAUUUUAUUUGAUCACAUUCCUGUUUGAUCUUUGUGGAAUUUUAUACUAUGUUUGAUAAUAUGACGUUCCAUGGAUCUCAACAUGAAAAAAUUUCUACAUUGAAAAAAUAAAAGGACCUCACAAUUUUUAUAAGAUAUUACGAGGCUACGAGCUACUUCCGUUGUUGCCAAUUGAUUUUGAGAUGAAAUUACCUCAUAUUAUCUAAUUUGGUAUCAAUUUCAAAAUAUGUCAAACAAGAAUGCGUUUUAAAAAAAAAAUCCAAUUAAGGAGGGUAAACCCAAAAGAAGCAACAUCUUAAGGAGAUAUGCUCAUAAUCCACAAUUUGAAAAAAUCAAACGACAUCCCACUUGUUAUAAGAUAAAUGAGUACUCAUGUCACCAAUUUAUUUUGAUGAGAUAAAGACCUUGUACUGUGAUCUAAUAAAAUUAUCAAUCAAUGGUUCGUUGAAGAUCAUCAGUAACCCUUUGAUUUGCACCUCGAAAUGGAUGAUCGAUCUCCACCACUCCUUUUGCUAUCUGCCCUCUAUUUUACAACCAAAACCCUUUCCAAAGGUGUCCAAAGUUUGAUAUUCAAAACCCUAUAUUUUUAUAAUUGGAAAUCAUGAUGCAUGGCAUCACGAGGUUAUCCAUGGUCGUGGGUCUUCAACAAUUAAACUUUAUACUACCACGGUGUUAUCUAAAAAUGAGCUUUCAGUUUACACAACAUUGUGCAAUGCUGAGAGGAGCAAUGCAAAACGCCCCCUUCUUCAAUAAAUCUACCUUAUUUUCUCCUCUUAUUUGUAGAAAUAUCCCAUAAAUGCUUCUAUUGAGCACAACCGAUCAUUAUAUUUUUACUAUGUGCAACUCUAAAACUCCCUAUUUUGCUUAAUUAUUGAAAAUCACUUGCAUACAACAUCAAAUCUAAAUUGAAGGCAGAUAAAGCACUUUUUAAAUGCUUUCCGAAUUGUCAUAACAACACACAAUAAAUGAUGUCAAAAGACUGAUGAUAGAUUACUAUUCAAAAGUUAUUUAGAAAAUGUUAAUCAAUCAUGUUUUUCAAGGAGGAACUCGUGAUACAAAAAUAAGUUAUUAUGCCAUAUAAAUGUCACGUCCCGACUCAAAAGUUAUUUUAUGCAACCUAGUGGAGGUGUGUUGCCUAAAUACUCAACAAGUAUCUCCCUGCAAGAUAGCACGUGGAACGCCUAUUAAGCAUAACAAUUUAAAAGUUCAAAUAAAAAAAAAUUGACUUUGAUAAGUACAAUGCAAUAUAAUAACUUAAACAACCAACUUAACUCACUUAACUUAGUUUUACUCAAGCUCUUUAACUACUAAGCAAUAAGCACCAAACAAUGUAGCGAACUAAACACAACUUUUUCUCUUUGUUAACUUAGCAAUUUACACCAAAUACAAAGAAAAACUCAUGCUUUCUUUCUAGCAAGACUUAAAUAAGAAAUCAUAAACACCUUCACAGUCUUCAGCCUUGAACAAUCGUUUAGCUCUUCAGACCGAUCACUUGCCUUUUAACCCAAUCGCUUCGCUACCUACACGAUCACUUAGCUCUGAUUGCUUACCUUUCAACCCGAUUGCUUAGCUCUCUAAAUUAAAUGAUUGCUCUUUCAACUUGAUCGCUUAACCUCCUUAAAUGAUCGCUUAGCUUCUUACAACCUGGAGAACGGAAACUUAAAAUGUAAGUCAAAGACUUAGUGAGUGAGAGUUUAGAAAUACCUUUUGGGGAAUGCAAUUCAAUCAAAUAAAUCACUUUUCGUUUUCAUAAACACAGGCUCACAACACCUUAUUUUAUAAAAUCAUAGAAAUCACGCAUUAGCUUCCUCUUAUUCCUUUCCACCAAGAACAUGAAUAAUGUCAAGACUUAGGAUUGACUCUCAUCAAUAUUUUGCGUUUAAACAACUGUGAUGUUCACUCCAUCCAUAGCAUCCGAGAAUUUCCUUGAUUCAUUUAUUGUUGCACAAGGUAUCCACACGACACCUUUACACAUUAUGUGUACACCACAUAGCAGUUGCUCACUUAAUAGGAAUUGGACUAAUGGCUUAUUCGUACACAAACGUCACAAUCAUCACAUAGAAAGCAAUCGUUUUCUCUAUUCAAAUAAAACAACAACAACAUCAUCAAUAACAACAAUGCAUAGAUAUACAAAACGCAUUAUGCAUAAGUACAAGACGCGUUAUGCAUAAGUACAAAACUCAGAAAGAAUGCUAGCAUUUCCUCAGCAAGCAAAAGUACAAAACUCAGAAAGAAUGCUAGCAUUUCCUCAGCAAGCAACUAAACUCUUAGUAAAAAUUCUCAAAAUAACACCUUCUUUAAUCCUUCUCAAUUUCAUUUAUACUAAAAUUUUUAGUCUGCUUAGUCAUCACUUAAAGUCUCUGUUAGCUUGUCAUGUCCUACUUACACUUUACACAUAUUGGCUUACAACUUAUCAGACCAUGCAAAUAACUUAAGCUCAACAUGUAGCCAACUGUCAACUAAACAUUUCUAAACAUUUUCCUUGAAAUGUUAAACUUUUCUUCUCAAAAUGCUCAACUCUUUAUCAUCGGACUUUUCCCUAGCAAAACAACAUCAAAACGUCUGCUUCCUCCUACACGAUGAUUCAGCCUCUUAAACGAUCGUCUAACUUUUCACACAAUUGUUUAUCUUUCUUACGCGGUCAUUUUAAAAAAAUACAUUUUCAAAACCUUCUAUUCAAGCUUGGGUCUUACAAUAAAUUGAAUUAAAGUGUGUAACUUGUGGUAUAAGAUUCCUUGAUAGAUUUUUUUAUCUAAAUUUUGUAAAUGUUUUUUUUUCAUUUGUAUUCAUUUUCUUGCUUUAAACUUUGGCAUGUUCAUGUAACAAGUUAAAUUUUAAAGCAAAUAUUUGGAUUAACUAGAAAAAUAAAACUUUUCAUAAGAAUAUAAUCUCUUUUAAAAACCCCCUCUACAUGCUUUUUAUUACAAGGUUUUUUGAUACACAAAUUUGUAUAGUUUUCUUCGUCAUAUUAAAAGUAUUUAUAGUAAUUAACGGACAUUUUUAAAUAUAGCCAAAAGAACCAAAAUAUUUAUAAAAUAUAAAAAACUUCAAAUUCUAUCGACGAUAAACAAUGAUUAUUGAAAAUAAUAGAUUUCAAUCAAUGUCUAUCAAUUACAUUGAUAGAAACUUAUCGAAGUCUAAUAUUAGAGACUAUCUGUGUUUAUCAUGGAUAAAAUAUAAAAUUUUACUAUAUUUUGUAAAUAUUUUCAACAAAAUUUUGUACAAUAGGACAAUUAUAGAAAAUAGCACAAUUUAAGAAAUAAACUAAAAAUAUAACACAAUAUUUGCAAAAAUAGCAAAUGUUGACCAAUUAUCUGGUAAUUUUUUUUAAAACGUUAAAUAUGCCUUCAGUGUGUCUAUCAUUGGUAGUCGAAAUCAAUGAUAGCAACUAGUAGCACAUUUUUCAUAUUGAAAUAUUUUUCAGUGAUAGCAACCUAUGAAACCUAUUAAUUGCUAUCACCGAUAUAAUAGCUUUCAAUUUGAGAAACUCAAGAAGAAGCACUCAUAAUAGUAGAAAAUAAAAUGUUAUCUUGAUAAUAGGCUACCGAUCUAUAUUUAAUGGUAGCUUUCAAUUCGAGUAAAUCAUAAAUAAACACUUGUAAUUACGUAAAAAGCACUAGUAAUGGUAAAAAAAACUAGAAAGUCUUCCAACUUAUCGAUUCUUUAAGCCCCGGUGCAUCUUGGUAUUUUUUUCAAAUCUUCGCAAAUCUUAUAUAUUUUUUAUUUUUUUAAAAAAAAUUGACAAAUAUUAUAUCCAAUUCUUACAUUUCAUCCAAAGUCAUUUCAUGAUUAAAAAAUUUUAAAAUUCAUCUAAUGAUUUUGCUUAAAAAGUAUAAAUAUUUUGAUAUAAUAUUUGGUAAAGAUGACCGACUUUGAAAAGAAAAUUGAAAAUAUAUUAGAUUUGUGAACAUUUGAAAAAAAAAUACUAAAAUCUCACUGCAAUCUCUAUUGAAAAAAUUACAUGAAUGACAAUCAAAGUGACUUGUUGCACUGUGACGAAUCGUGGUGCUAAUCGUAAUAUCGGUUGCUCCCCAAGGUUAACACAACACCCUACUUCUGACGGUCCCUACUUCAAAUGGACACUCGUCAGAAAUAAGAAUAUAAACAAUAACAGAACUUUAGUGGAGAUGGAGAGGUUUUUAGUGAAGUGAAUAAAGAAUGGAAUGAGUGAAUAAUUCGGUUAAAGGGAUGUAUUUAUAGAAGAGUCCCACCAACUGCCAUCUGAAAAUGCGAGUGAAGGUAAGGUGCAGAGGAAAAGUCGACUUACAUCCUUAGUCACACAAGCGUGAUUAUCCAAGCUCACUCGCCUGUUCGUCCAAUCGGCGUGUGUGGUGACAAGGUCAUACUAUCACCACCAACACAGUUUAUAAUUCCUUAUAGUACUUAGUUGUCUAUGUCCACUUACUUAUUCCAAUUUUAUCAAUGUGGAACAAGGAAGCUAACUUUGCAUUAGGCCAAAGGCCCACAGUCAAUUUUCAACUAUCCCCUACAAAUUACUGUAGCAGCAAAGUUAUAAGGUAGACAAGAGAAAAUUUGUUUUGAGAAAGGAUGAGACAUUAAGCUUAGACAUCAAUAUCCAAAUAUUUGAAUUGAUGUGUAGUGAAGUAAGGCAACAACCUUGCUAAGGAGAGUGAAUUAGAUCUUGAACUUUCUAUAACACUAGUUGAGACCCUUACGACACGCUCUAUGCUUAGUUUUUGCCAUUGUGUUUAUGCAAUGUGGGUUUAUGCCUUUAUGGACAUGCAAAUAGAAUGAACCUCGAGUCAUCGUAAAAGCUAUAAAAAGAGAUCCUUUUAACUCUUUCAAAGAAGGCAGUCUCACCUUCACAAUCACGUUACAUGCUCCAUCAAGUUUGUCAAAACAAACCACUCAAAAAGAGCUAUGAAGACUUCAUCAUUAUCAACAGAAUUAUGGAUCACUCAAAGGUUUUAGUAACAUCCAUCUAGUCCAUUAAAUAUUGUUUGCACAAUGGGCUAUGGACCAUGAAGUCUAUAUAUCGCAACAUACCACCCAAUAAGAGGUUAUGGACCAUCAAGUCUAUUGCAAUAGACCAUCCAAAAUCAAGUGUUAUGGAUCUUCGAAGGGCUUUAGGCCUAUGUUCACUGAGGAAUCUAGAACCACUUUCCAUGCUAGUCCUUUGGUUAAAGGGUCAUCCAAGUUCAUCUCAAAUCAAACGAACUCUAAGAAAAUGGUUCAUUCCUUUAGCAAAUGUUUCACAACUCCAUGUCUAAGACGUAUAUGUCUUCUUUUGCCAUUAUAAACAUUGUUCUAGGAAAUAUUUAUGGCAACAUGUGAAUCACAGUGUUUGGACACAGGUACAGAUGCCCCCCACAAUGGUACAUCUCCUAGUAGACAUUUUAAUCCACUUAGCCUCUUGUCCUGCCAGCUCUAAUGCUAUAAACUCAUAUUCCAUAGUGAAUCUGGCUAUGCAAAUCUGUUUUGCAAACUUUCAAGAUAUUAGAUCCUCCCCCGAGUAGAAAUACAUACCCACUAGUAGAGUUUACUUCAUUUUUAUCUAUAACACACAAUCUGCAUCACAGUAUCCUUCCAAGAAUAAUUUUUUGUUCCUUUAAGAUAUUUCAACAUAUGACAUAAAGCAUCCCAGUGGUAUUUGUUAGGAUUAUGUGUGUAUCUACUUAAUCUACUGACACCGUUAGCAAUGUCGAGUCUAGUGAAGUUCAUUAAAUACAUAACACUACCUAUGAUCUUUGUAUAUUCAGAUUGAGACACACUCCCUCUUUUAUUUUUCUUAAGAUGUUUACGAGUUUUUACUUAAUAGACAUCGAAGGAAUCAAGUUUCUUUAGUAUUUUCUCAAUGUAGUAUGAUUGAGACAAGGACAAACCGUUUUCAUUUUUUAUAAUUUUAACACCAAGAAUUAUGUGUGCUUCUCCUAAGUCUUUCAUUUCAAAGUGUGACGACAGGAACAACUUGGUAUCUUUUACUAACUCCAUGUUCGUCCCAAAGAUGUCAUCAACAUAUAAACAUGUUAAUAUGCACUCAGCUCCAGGCAUCUUUGAAUAAACACAUGUAUUUGAGGAAUUUACCUUAAAUUCAUUAUUUAUCAAAGUAUCAUUAAAUUUUUUAUAUCAUUGUUUAGCAGCAUGCCAAAGACCCUAGAGAGAUUUUUUAAGUUUUCAUACUAUGUUUUCUUGGCCAGAAAAUUUGAAUCCUUCUGGUUGAGUCAUAUAAAUUUCUUCUCCUAAAUCACCAUCUAAUAGUGGUUAUCUUAGUUAUAGGGAAAUAUGUGUCAAAGUAAUCAAUACCUUGCUUUUGAGUAUAUCCUACCACCACUAAUCUUGCCUUGUAUCUUUCUACUGACCCAUCUAGUCUUGUUUUCCUUUUGAAGAUCCAUUUACACUUACUUGGUUUACUUCCUUUGGGAAGAUCUACUAAUUCUCAUGUUUGAUUCAUGGUUAGUGAAUCCAAUUCGCUCUUAAUAGUCUUCUUCCACAUAUUGGACUCUACAGAGCUUAAGGCCUCUUAGUAAGUUUUAGGAUCUUCAUUUAUUAAAAACAAGCUAUUGAAAUUCUAGUCAAUUUCAUCGCGCCUUUCUACUAUAAAGGUGCUUGGGAAAUCUAGUCUAAAACUUUUCUUACUUCUUUGUCUUUUAGUUCUUCUAGGUUUUAAUUCAUACCUUACAUUAGAAGCAUCAAACUCAGGUGUUUCAAUAACAACUGUGGAGUUUUCUAGAUCAUGCAUAUUUCUAAAAGGCAGGGAACAGAGAGAUCUCUUUAAUGGAAAUUAAUGCUCAACGAAUUCUGCAUCCCUAGAUUCAUUUAUGCUCUUAUCAUUUAAACAUAUAAACCUAUGUGCAGCACUAUUUGGAGCAUAACGGAUAAAUAUACAGUCAAAGAUUUAAGACCCUAUCGUGGAUUUCUUCAGUACAGGAAAUGGUACCUUAGCCAAGCAUCCUCACAUCGUCAAGUAGUUGAGAUUUGGUGCGUAUCUCUACCAAAGUUCGUAGGGAGUUUUGUCUAGUUUUUUGUAGGAUACACAGUUAAGAACAAAACAUGCAGACAACACGACUUCUCUCCACAUUCCUUUCUCCCAACGUUCAUUCGGCCAACGUCGUUAAUGCGUCGAGUAACUUAUAGGACUCUAUCGAUGUUCUCGCCACGUCGGGAGAAGGUGUUUCCCGACGAUGCUUCGUGGAACUUGUCCCCGAUGCCAUCUUAUAUGCGUAGGGAUAAGACCUUUUUUCCGACGCAUUGAAUAUGUUGGGAAUAGUAUAUAAGAUUUUUAAUAUGUUUUUUACAUUAUUAUUUAUUUUGUUUAAUUUUUAAUUUUUAAUUUUUUUGUUUCGAUUGUAGUUUAUAUUUGAUUCCAUUUCGAUUUUGAUUUAGUUUAAAUGCAACUGACCAACCAAAAUAAUUUUUAUUUUUAACUUGAAUUCAAUUUUUUACACCUCACAUGCUGAUUUUAACCCAAAAAUAAUAUAAAAUCUUCAUUUAUAGUUAAACUCAUUAAUUUUGUAAAAGUAAAGUUUUACAAUAAAUAAAUAAAAUAUAUAUAUAUAUAUAUAUAUAUAUAUAUAUAUAUAUAUAUAUAUAUAUAUAUAUAUAUAUAUAUAUAUAUAUAAACUAAUUCAUAUAUUUAACACUGAAAUAACUUGGUCAAAAAUUCAUAAAUUUCCAAAAGGAAAAAAAAGGUUUAUGAUAUUAUUUUCUUUAAAAUAUUAUCAAUUUCAUAUCAUGGGUAGGUAUUAUUGAUGUCAAAUUUUGGCCAAGGAUAUUAUUGAUGUCAAAUUUUGGCCAAGGAUUAAGAAUGCACUUGACCUUCACGAAAUGUCAUGGGUAAAUUUGUAAUUCAGAAAAGAAAUGACUUGCAAAUCAAAGAAAAAUGAUUUCGAUGUAGCGGGGGAUCCAUAAAUUUUGUUGAUAUUUAUAAUUCAACAAAAAUAAUCUAAAACAAAAAGGUAAACAAUAAGGCUUGAACUUAGGUCUAGAAAGACUAGAAGGCUAAUUUACCAUUGAAAUACAACUUGAGGGUGGGAGAAUAUGAACCCUGUUUUUGUUAUGUCUUUUUACCUUGAUUCUAGAAUCCACCCGUAAGAAGUAUGUUUUAUAAUUCAAUUAACAUAUAAGUAAAAAAAAUAAUAAUUUAACAAUCUUUAGAAUGUGAACUUGUUGAAAGACUAAAAUUACACCACUCUUUCAACUAAAAAUUAAGAGCGAAAAUUGAUUUCAGCUUUUGACUUUGGUAAAUAGGUGAUUAGAUGAAUGAAAAUUGAAUUGUAUAUAUAAAAACCAAUCAAAGACCCUUGGUCAUAAUAAAUUAGAUGGGAAAGAAUAAAUAAUUUUGGUCCCAUAUUUACAGUGGGAAUAAAUGUUUUUGGCAUAAGAUUUUAUACAAGAUUUUGUGGUCCUUUUUUAUUUAAAGAGAAAAGAAAAAUGAAUUCUACCUUUACAGCACACACUACAAAAACUCAAUUCAUUUCUCUCCAUUUUCCCAUAACUGAUCAAUUUAAUAAAUGAUCAAUUUAAGAACAAGAAAAAAAGUCAAAUUAAUCUUCUCCACACAAACCUCAUCCCAUUAUUUUUUAAGAAAAAAAAAACCGAAGUAAAUUGUCCUCAAUUCUAUAAUUUUUCAUUUAAAUGUCUUUUUCUUUUUUUUUUGAUCAAUUGAAUUCUUGAAUGCUAAAUUUCAUUAUUGGUUAAACUAUUGUUAGGUCGUUCUACACUACGAAGUUGGUUUAAUUAAUUUUAAGGAAAAUUUUAAAAAAUAUAACAAAUCGACAAAAUAUUUACACUGUAUGAAACAAUUUUAAAAACGAAAAAAAGAUCAUACUCACACAAUAAAAAAUACCAAGAAUGGUCCAAUCAACACUCGAUUAAUCGACCACACGCGCAUGUGUAAUUCUUUUUCUAAACUAUAAUGAUACGCAAUCGUGUAUAAAAUGAUAUACAAUCGUGUAGUUCAUAAUAAACAAUUGUUAGUUCAUGAUAAACAAUGAUUUUGAAAUAAUCCUAGUAAACAAUCAUGUAGAUGAUAAUACACAAUCAUGUUUAGUUAAUGAUACACAAUAGUAUAGUUAUUCAUGAUACACGAUCAAGUAUAGCUCAUGAUAAACGAUGGUUUUGCGUCCUAGUAAAUGAUCGUGUAGAUCAUGAUACACGAUUGUGUAGUUCAUAAUAAACGACGGUUUUGAAAAGCCCUAUGAUAAACGAUCAUGUAGUUCAUCUCUGCUCACGGUACAUUGAAAUAAAAUAAUACAAGAUUAAUGAUUGAUUAAUAACAAAAAUAAUAAUAACACAAGUAUAAUGAAAAAGAAUUGUAGCCACCUUCUUUAUCCUACAUAUAUAUCUUUUUUAAAAUAAUAAUAUUAGUAAUAUUUAUUUAUUUACUUUUAAAGUAAAAAAUUAGUAAUAACAUGAUAUCUCGUAAUAUCUCAUUUUUUAUCCUUUUAGGAAAGGAAAACAAAUCCAUUUAUUUUAAUUAAAAUCUUUUAACAUCAAAUAAAUUAUGUAGUUUUAAAUAAAAUAUUUUUUAAAAACUUAUUUCUACUCAUUUUAGGAAAAAAUUAAAUAAAUAAAAUCUUUGACUUAUUUAUAUCAUUUUAGGAAAAAAAAAGAAAAUCAAUUUUAAACAAAAAUAUUUUAAUAUCUAUUUAAUUUAUUAAUUUAUUUUUCACAAAAUCUCAAAAUAUCUCAUUUAAUUUAUUUUAGAAAAAAUGAAAUUUUGUUUCAGUAACAUAAUAUCAAAUUUUGAUUUUUUUUUUUAAGUUGUGGUACAGCCCGGACUAUAAAUAUGGACCUUUGUCAUUUGAAAAUAAGGGAGAGUUUCUUUUUUUAAAAAAAAAAUGAAUUCUUUGGGGAAAAAAGUUUCUUAGAAAAAUUUUUUUGUUUAGAGUGAGUGCUUGGACUUUUUUUUUAUUAUUUAGAACGAAUUUCUGUGAAAAAAAUUCAGCAAAAAGUGAGUUUUUCUUAUUUUUUUCAUUACCUUAUUGUCCCUACUCCUUUUCUAAAUUUAUCUUAAGAAAAUCAAAAUCCCAUUUGAAAUAAAAUUAGUUGGAGGUUGCAUUUGGUAGGGAUUUAAUUCCAAAGAUUCAAGAUUUAAAAUUUGGCCACCGUUUUCCUAAAUGGAUGUUGUGGGGUGCUAAUACCCUUCUUACACCCAAAUGACUACCAAAUUCAACUCUAUUUUUUCGUAGAUAAUUUUUUUAAAUUGUUUACUUUAUUUCGGUGUCCAAUCACACCGUACAAAAGAUUGAUGGCGACUCCUAUUUUCUUUUUAAACUAACUCUUUCUAGGACAUCAGCCACUCUGCGUCGUCUCAAGCACGUGGCGACAAGAAUAACAAUAAUUGUAGGACAAUGAUCAUGAUUUCAAAAAAAUACAAAAUAAAAAUUGUAGAAGAAGAAGAGAAUGAAGAAAUCAGAAUUGCGUGAAAUGCAAAAGCGUUAGAGGCAAACCUAUAAUAUUUAAAAAAUGGUCGGUUUUAUGAACUUUUUAUUUUGUUAUGAGUCGUAAAUAUUUUUGUUUUUGUUAUAUUUAUAAAAAUUAACAAAUUUUACGGUAUAUGUAACAAAAUCAAAAAACCCAUAAAGUAGGUCAUUUUUUAAAAUAUUCCAAGUUUGCCUUUCAUUUCCAUAUUCUUUACUCUAUUUCUUCUACAAUUUUCCUUUUACUUUCCAUCGUCUUUCUUCUGCAAUUUUUCUUUUAUAUUUUUUGAAAUCACGAUCUUUGUUUUCAAUCAAUCAUAAAUUUUGUAUUAUUUUUUUUUUUCAAAAUGUUAUUUGGUUGAAGAUCGUAUACCAAUAUUAUUGUUACAUGAUCGUUUAGAUUUAUCUAAUCGAUCAUGUAUAAACAUAAAUUUAAACAAUCGUAUUCCAAAUAAUCUUGAAAAGAAAAUCGUUGGAAUAUUGGUACACUCAGUGAAUGGAUCCAUAAAUUUUAUUACCAGAGGACUUUAUAGUUCAAUCAAGAAUUCUAAUUUUUAGACCAAGAUCUGCUGGUAAAUCUUAUAAUUUUACUUUAGUGCGUCUUAUAACUAUUAUUACUUUUCUUCAAAUGAGAAGAUGGUCCCGUCGAUUUUCUUUUAAAAUAUUUCUCAAUUUAGAUUUCAAAUUAAAUCUAGCUACAAUAACGUAUCGUUGUAAUGAGAAUAAAUAAAUUAAAAAAGAUAUUGACAUAUAACAACAAUAUCAUAACAUAAAAAACCCUACAAGUUUACUUAAGAUCCAUAAAUUAUUUCGAGAAUGAUUAAAAUAGGAUAACAUUUUGAGAAUAUGAUAUAACAAAUAUAACACAUUGUUUUAGAAUUUUGCAAAUAUGGCAAAAAAUUUACUUAUAAAAAACUUUUCAUCUUAAAUUUGUUAUUAUUCCUAAACUACCAUUCGAAAACUUAUUUCUCUUCCUCUUUUUAAUGUCCUAUUCAUUAUUUAUUUAUUCUUUCACUUUUUAACAUCCUAAUUAUUUAUUUAUUCUCAUACGAGAAAAAUUAUUUGUUAUUUCUCUCUUAAUCUUGAUUUUAGAAUAUCAAUAGUACAAUAAUUGUAAUAUAAAAUAUAUCCCCUGAUUAUAAUACAACGAUUAAUUUUAAAGCUAAUCCAUAAACCUUUUCAAGUGUAGGAUACUAUAAUUAAAAGAAAAACCCACGAAAAAGGACAUAGUAACCUACCCUACUUGAUCUUUUUAAUACAUCUUUUUAAGUUCAACUAUGGCAAAACUAGGGAUCCAACAUCUAACCUCAAAAACUCUUGUCAAUUAAUGUUAAGUUAAAUCGAUCUCUAUUGAUUGUUUUUUAUAGGAUACAGCAUAAUGUGUCAUGAAUUAUUGCUAAAUAUAAGCAUAGGAAAUAUUUUAUUCUAACAAUGAACUAGAAAACAAUAUUUUCUAUAUAAUUAUUGCCCUUAUUAUCAACAAUAAAUAAUAAAAGCUUAAGGAAAAGAAAUAGAUGACACAUAAAAAAUAAAAUUGAGACUCCAAGUAUGGAUUGAACUAUAAAUUGAAUUAGCUUAUAAAAUGAAGAAAAAAGAAGAAUGAAAUUGCAAUAAUUAUUACAUGUAUAGAAAAAGAGGACAUUUUGUGUCGGCAAGAUGAAACAUAUAUAUGAAUGUGACAAUUAAUUAUCAAUGACCCACAUUAGCUAUAGGAAAGAACGUCUAGAGCUACCUAUCUAACUGCCCUACCUUAUAAUAUAAAUUAAUAUCAUUAACAAAUUUCAAUACAAGGAAUAUAAUUUCAAAUCCUUUGCCUUUAAUUUUUUUUUAUUGGAUUGACCAUGACCUUAGUUUAUUAUUUCUAUAAUAACAAUACAAACAAGGGGGAAAUUUUUGGCUUUCUAGUCUCUUUUGUAUUCUUACACAAAAUUUUGAAAUUUUCAUCAACUUUUUUAGAAAAUUUAGACUGUUUAUGGAGAGUGAUAUAAUCUUGGGUGAACUAUUUAUUUCCAAAAUGAUUAAUUGUAUUGCAAAAAAUUGACAAUAUAUCGUUAUUCUCAACCACCUAAGCUAAUGUUUAUUGGAGAUUGACCCUACAUCAUUAUUGUUGCAUUUCUUUUUCUUUUAAUUGGAAGGAUUUGAAUGGUGAAUGUCUAGGAAUAUGCAAAAUUUUGAAAGAGAGAAAAUCCUAUAAUUUUGGUACUAGUUAUGAACAAACCCUUCUAAAUUAGGACAUGUGAGUUUUGGACUAUAUUUUAUACCAUUUUAUUUGGUGUAGUUAAUAUUCUUGUCAUCAUCACAUAAUAAACGUAACUCAGUGGUUAUUGACAUACUCCUUUGUUAGAACUUUAAAUAUUUAUAUCCCCACCAAUAAGAAAAGAUUUUAACAUGCAUUCAUUCUCCUCACUGAAUCUUCAAGGAUAUAUGGAAAAGUUCAUCUCAAAAUAAUCAUAAAAGGAAAAGGUAAACUACACGUGACUCUCUUUAUAAAUAAAUCAUUACCGUUUGUGUGUAAAAAGUAAUUAAUUUAAAGCUUACUCACAAACUUCAUUGCUUCAACAUUCUAUCACUAUUUAACUUAUGCAUUUGAAUGUAUAAGACAAACGCCACACCAAUGCCGUACAUGUUUUCUCUUUUGUAAAUUAUGUUAUUUUCCAAUUUCAAACAAAUUAACCCUUAAAAUGUGAUAAACUUUGGAGUCGUCUAUGAGGAAGAAAUUGUAUUUCAAUUGUAAAUUGCAUACUUUACCAAAUAUAAGUAUAAGGAGAGACAAGAACAUAAAUAAAGAUGGAGAUUACUCCAACCAAGUCUGUCAGCCCCAAAGAACACAAAACCAUACAACACCUCAGUCUCACAUCCAUAAGAGGGGCGACCCAAGGAAAAUUGGAAACAUUAGAAAAGAAAGUGAAGUGAAUGGGUUAAAAUUAGAAAAGUAAGUGGAAUGAAUGGGUCAAUAUCGAACUUGUUUAUAACUAAAGUUUUUUUCUUACAACCAGAAUCUUCUUCUAAGGGUUCAACAAAACUUUUGUUAUACAAUUUUACUAAAGGAAAAGUCCCUUAGUUAAGGAUGCAAAAGAAAUUGGACCUCAUGUCCAAAGACCAAACAAACUUUAGGGGGAACAAGCAUAGAAGGAAAUUUGAGACUAUCAAAUACCAAUAACAACACGAAGCAAAACACAACAAACCUAGCAGGAACAUUGGACUACAGUAGGUAGUGCAAAUGUGCCAUUUAAUACGACUAGAGAUCAAGGAUCGCCAAGAACCUUAAAGAAUGAAGACAAUUGCGAUAGACAGUUGCAUAAGAUACCCUCACUUGCAUGUCACCUACACUAAUAUUGAGAUUUAUGUCAAAAAACUCGUAGAUUGUAAAUAUAAUUCAUUCAUUGUUAUUAAUAAAGUGUUAUUUUUAUAAUUUCAAUAAAUUUUAUUGAUUACAUUAUUAGUUUUGUCUUAAUAACCCAAAUCCAAUAAACUAACAUCCUAAGUUGUUUGAUGAGUCUUGAACAGUAUGUAGAGACAUACAUGGAUCAAUGUUCGAGACCAGCUUAAAAGGUCUAUACUAUAGAGAUAAGACUGGAUACCUUAUCCUGGUAACACUAUGAAUAUGGGUUACUUUGUAUUUGAUACAAACGCAAUUAUCCAACGUGUUCGUGUAGUUGACAUGCAAGUGAGGGUAUCGUAUGCAAUGAGUUUGCAUAAGACCAGACCACAAAAUAGUAACCACUAGAUGUAACUUCGUUAAAUAAGAUCUAUUUCAUUAGGAUGACCUAGGUAACUUAGUCUUAAUCCUAAGUGUAUUAUGAACUCCUAUUCGGGAGGGAUUGUCCUUUGAUUUGUACGGGUGAGAGUGACAAAAUCGCCAACUCAAUAAGCUUAUCAUUUUGGGUACAAGACCGAGUGGAGUGCUGGAACAUAAUUACACAAGAUGAAAUUCACUCAUUCCCUACUUUAGGGUAAGUAGAUGAACGUUUCCUUAAAUGGUGUCUUCAGGACUUGAACAAAGAGUUCUACCCUCUCUAUGGUACAAGAAGGGUUUUUGUUUAUUGGUUGGACCAUAACAGGUUGUCAUUAUAGCAGCACUAGUAUUUAAGGACUAAGUAACACAUGGGUAAAUCGAUAAUUUGACCUAGUUGGUGUUGCGAACACUUGUGAAGGAAUAACCUCUGUUAUUGGUCUAUAUCCGUGGACACAUAAAUGUAUCUACAGUGAGAAGAGUUCAACUGCUUUAGUGAAAUGUACACAUAGUUAACGAAUAUUGAUUAAUGUUGUUAAUAAGUUUAGCCAAUUAAUCUCAAAUCGUUGUAGCUUCUGAUCAAUAGGUCCAUUAGGUCCCCCUCCUAGCUCGUAAAGAGUAAUGAGAUUUAUUUAUAUUGGUUGUAAUUUGAAAUGUUCAAACUUACUUUGGGAAUUAGUAUAAUGUAUAGUGAUAUAUUAUAAUAUAAAAUUUAUCAAACUUUAUUAUAUAAAUUUAAUUUUGGAUAUUAUUAAAAAUUAAUUUAUGAGAGGUAAAAUAUUUGAAUGAGAUCAAAUAUUAAAUUAAUGUGAAUUUGAUUCAUAUUAAAACGAUUGGUUAUGAGAGAAAUGUAUAUUCUAAUAUGAUUCAAAUUUAACUUAAGUUAUACAUAAAAUAUUUAAUUUAGUUAUUAACUAAUUGGAGAAUUAAUUAGUAGUUUAGUUUAAUAUUAUUUAAUUAAGUUAAUAUAAAAUUAUAAGAUAUUUAAGAGAUAUUAAUUAAAUAAGAUUUAAAUGAAAUAUUAAAUAAAUAUUAUUUAAUUAAUUAUUAACUAACUGGUUAAUAGUUAAUUAAUUAGUUGAUUUGAAAUUUUUAUUAAUUUAAUCUUUUUAAAAUUAGUAGAAUCUCAUGAUUAUCUCCUACUCCCUUUCUUACUCCAAGAAGGAAAGAGGGUUAUAAAUAUCUAGAAGAAAACGGUUUUCUUUAACCAUUCAAUCAAUCAAAAUAAAACUAAUAAUUUUGUUUUUCUGCAAAUAAAACUAAUAAUUUUGUUUUUCUGCAGAAGAGAUCCUCUACAAAAUCUCUAAACUUAUUUCUAUCUUAGUUGGUAUCCACAAACCAAUCUUAUCUGAUAGGAUAGAAAGGUCUCCGACAGGUGGUGUCCCAAUUUGGAGAUUUAUUUAGUAGAUUCAAAGACUUCAAACAAGUAAAUUUUUCUUUCUCUAAUCUAUAAUUAGAAAGCAUGCUAAGCCUUUAAGUCUUAAUAAGAAAAGUAGUUUUUUAAAAUUAUUUUUGUCAAUUUAGUGGUAUUUUGAGAUUCACAAAAUAAAUUGAGGAAUGGUUCUGUAAAAUCUUCCACUGUCAUAUACUUUUAUCCCUUCAAUGUUGGAUUAUUGUGUUUGUAUCAAAUACAAAGUGAGUCGUAUCCAUAGUGUUACCAGGAUAAGGUACUCAGCCUUAUCUCUAUACUAUAGACCCUUUAAACUAAUCUCAAACAUAGAUCCUUGUAUGUCUCUACAUAUUAUUCAAGACUCAUCAAACAGCUUAGGGUGUUAGUUUAUUGAAUUUGGGUUAUUAAGACAAAACUAAUAAUAUAAUCAAUAACAUUUAUUAAAAUUACAAUAAUAACAUUUUAUUAACAACGGUCAAUGAAUUAUAUUUACAAUCUACGAGUUUUAGGACACAAAUUCCAACACCUUUGUUAUAUCGAGCAAGUUCCAAACCCAAGAAGUACUUGAGAGGACCAAGAUCUUUGAGUUUAAACUUUUCAUGUAAUAAUGAUUUGACUUGACUAAUCUGUCUUUCAUUUUCUUCUGUAAUGACUGUAUCAGCAACAUAGAUUAAUAGAGCAAUGAAGUAUUCUCUUUUUCCACGAACAAGCAAGGAGUAAUCAGGUUUUGAUUGAGUAAAGCCAAGCUAAGGGCUAUGAGGGUGUCAGAAAAUUUUGCAUACCAUUAUCAAGAUGCUUGUUUUAGGGCAUAGAUUGAUUUUUUCAAUCUACAAACAAUUUUCUGGUUAUGAAUAUGAGUUGUUUGUAGCUUGUAAUCGAGUGGUAGUUCUAUGAAAACUUCUUCAAAUAAGUCAUUGUGUAGAAAUGCAUUGUUCACAUCAAGUUGAAGAAGAGUCCAAUUGUAGGUUACUUCAUUGUGAGAAGAACUCAAACAGUAACUAGUUUGGCUACCGAUGAGAAGGUUUCUAUGAAGUCUAUUCCUUCUUGUUGGAUAUAUCCCUUUACAACAAGUUUGGCUUUGUAUCAUUCAAUGGAGCCAUCAGCCCUAUGUUUGAUCUUGUACACACAUUUACACCUAAUGGUAUGUUUUGAAGGAGGAAGAGGACCAAUGUUCAAAAUGUGAUUGUUUUCCAUGGCUUGUAUCUCAUGUUCCAUAGCUUCUUUCCAAUGAUCAUAGAAAAUGACUAGGUGAUAGUAUUGGGGUUCAUAAUGGGAAGAUGUGGCUAUUGAUAAAGAUUUGAAGCUAGAAGAAAGGUGGUUGUAUGAUAUAGAAGAGGUGGGGGGAUAACGUGUGUUGAGGGAAGGGAGGUUUGAGAGGUUGGUAAGGUUACAAUGGUAGUCUUGUAGAUAUGAGGGAGGUUUUGAUGUUUGUUGGAAUUUUCUAGGGAUUGAAGCGGGUGGUUGGGAAGUACAAGAUUCAUUGGAUGAUUCUAAGAGAUUGGGUUGGUUUGUGGUGGAAGAAAUGUCAUUGGUGGAUUGGUUAGGUUGAGAAGAUAUGUCACUUGUGGGAUUAUAUGUAAAGGGAUCUAAAUUAAAUAUGUCACUUGUGGGAUUAUAUGUAAAGGGAUCUAAAUUAACAGUGAUAUUAUUGUGAUGGCUAGAUGGUUGGCUACUUGGUUGGUGGCUGGAGGAGAGGUCAUUUGGUUUUCGGUAUUGACCGUUGGAGGGGAUUGGGUUUAGACGUCAAUAUCAAAGGAUUUGGGGAGGACAGGAUUUUGUAGGAAGGGUUGUUGUUCAUUAUGAUCAUUUUCUAUGUGAAAAGGAAAAUUGUUUCAUGGAAUAUCACAUCUCUCGAUGUAAACAUCUUAUUGUUGUCAAUGUCAAAUAAUUUGUAUGCUUUCAUACCAUUUGGGUAGACCAUAAAGAUGUCUGGUGUGGCUCUUGGAUCAAAUUUUGAUCUACCAUUCUGCAGUGUGUGGAUGCAAAGCAUAAGCAUCCAAAGAUCUUUAUCAUUGAGUAAUUUGCCAUUUGUCCAUGUAGGAGUUCAUAAGAAGUAUUCUAGUUCAACACAGGAGAUGAAGUUCAAUUGAUGAGGAAGACAGAGGUUAGGAUGCAUUUAUGCUCCAGAAUUGUAGUGAGACUUGUGAUUGAAAGAACAAAGCUCUUACAUUCAGGAUGUGUUGGUGCUUUUUUUCUACAACUGAAGUUCUGCUUCGGUCUUCCAAUGCAUGAGAAUUGAUGAAUAACUCCCUUUUAGAGGACGAAUUUCGUAAAGGACAGCUCCAGUGCAUUAUCAGAUCUGAACACAUUGAUUGUUUUGUUAUACUGAGUUUCUACAUAGGCAAAAAAUUGAGGAACUAUUUUUAGUAUACCAGACUUGUUUUUCAUGAGAAAAACUCAAGUAUAUCUACUAUGCUUUUUUAUCGAUAACCUCAAACCAAUCAAUCGAAUAGUGAGAAAAUAUUUGUAACCAACAAGUGAAUGAGUUGAGAAAGGACCUCAAACAUCAGCAUGUAUCAUAUCAAAAUUUAUGGUUCUAUUAUUAUGUGAUUCAAAAGAUAACCUCUUUUGUUUUGCUAAAGGACAUAUUUCACAAAGGUGAUUUUUAUUUAACAUAGAAGAAUCAAAAGACAACACAUCUUUUAAACCAGAUAACUGAGAGAUAGAUGAAUGUCCAAGUCUUGUAUGUCAUAUAUCAGGAGUUGCAUAGACUACUCCAUUAAUAAAGAGUUGGAUUUGUGAAGAAUCAACAGCUUUAUAUAGAUUUUCAAUGAUAUAAAGUCCUUCAUGUAGUUUACCCAUGUCAAUCUUCUUCAAAGUGGACUUUGCCUGAAUAUCACAAACAUCAUAAAAAAAAUCUCAUAAUGAGCGUGUUAUCUUUCAUUAAAGUAUUGACAUAUAGUAAGUUGUAUUGAAAUUCUGGUACAUAAAGGACAUGUUGGAGAGCUAUGGAGUCAAAGAGUCUAAUUGAGCCAAUAUAGUGUACUGGAAUUUGGGAGUUGUUGGGGAGAACAACUGAGCUUGCAAUGGGCUUCAAAUCAUAGAAGAUAUGUUUUUAAAAACAUAUGUGUGUUGAAGCUUCCAAGCUAAUAAUCCAUUCGUCUUUAGUUUUGUAAGGAAAGCAAGUACCUACUAUAUGAGUGGUGGUUUCAUGAUCAGUUCUAACAACAACAAGUUUUGACUGUAGCAUGGAGAGUAUGUUGUGGCAUUGAGCAAGUGUCUCACUGUCUAGUGUGAGAUUUGAUGCAGAGGAUGUUUGAUUGAUUUUUGUAGUGUUAUUUGCAGCAAGUGGAUUGUUUGAUGGAGCUUUAUGUAUUUGAUUGUUUGUUCUGCUCUUUGGUUUACAGCAUAGAGGAUAGCCAAUAAGUUUGUAGCAUUUAUCUAUGGUAUGCCCGAAUAAAUGUCAGUAUGUGCAAACGAGUCUAUUCUUGUUUGAGCUAUUGAGAUUAUAGGAAGAGUUUUGGUUGGGGUUUAAUUGAAAUUGUGUGUGGUAUGGGGAUGGAUUAGAUUUUUGGGCGGCUAAAGUGAGGGAUGGAGUAGGUUUUGAAGUAGACUGAAGUUGUUUUUGUUGCACUAUUAAUAAUAAUAAAAAAAACUUUAUUUAUUGCAGUGGAAGGAUCCACAAGCAGAACUUGUGAGCGGGCAUGGUUGAAAUCAUCACUCAAUCCCAUUAGAAAGUACAUAAGAUAUUCAAAUUCCACUAAUUUUUCAAUGGAUUUUAGCACCACCGCAGGUACAUUUGCCACAAGUACAACUUGGACAAUAUAAACCAUAUUCAUCCCAUAAUUAAGCUUUUGAUCUUGAAAAAAUACACUGUGACAUAUUAUUGUUCUUGUUUGAGUGUGGAUAGGUCAAGUUUCAACUAGAUUAUCCUUGGACUAUUUCUCUUUUGGAAACGAUCUUGAAGAUCAAUCCAUAUUGCUCGAGCGAAUUCAGUAAAUAAGAUGCUUGAUGAAAUGCCCUUAGAAACAGAGUUCAGAAUCCAAGCGAUAACUACAUUAUUGUUUCUAAUCCAUAAAGGAAGUAACUCACUAGCAGGUUUGGUAAUUGAUCCAUCAAUGAAUCCGAGCUUGUUCUAAAUUGAUAAAGCAAGAAUCAUCGAGCGGCUUCAUGUGACAUAAUUGUCAUCUGUCAGAUGUUUGAUAACAAGAACAAGAUUGAAUGUAUCACUGUGAUGAAGAGUAUAUGGACUGUUAUAGAGGUUUAUUGUUCCUGUUGGGUAUUACAUGAGGUAUUUGGUGGAUAAUUUAUGGAAGAAGGAGGUAUUGACGAGGAAACUGGAAGUUGGGGAGGAUCUUCAAGAAUUGGAUUUGAGUCAUGGUUUGGCGCGUGGGUAGUAAAAAAAAGCUUAAAACUCUAAUACCAUCUUAAGGAAAAUGCUAGAGGAGAAAGUAUAUUUGACUUGUAUUGAUAAUUUUUUAUCGAUGGAUAUUUAUUGGUGAGGAAGAAAAAUAAUUAAUAAAUAACAUAAAUUUGAAACUAACUAUGGAACUAACUACCAGAUUAAUAACCUCUUUAUAUCUAAUAGUAUCUCAAACUACCAUAAGUUUCUUCCCGACUAUUCUCCAACCUUAAAACAGAGUUGUGGGACCCAAUAUGUGAUUAAUAUUUGGAGAGUAAAUAGAAUUGUGAGUGUAGGAGUUUUUGUGUGUCAAAGUGCUCAAUCUCAUCAAAGUUCUCUAACUCAAGUCCUGCACAAAAAAAAAAAAAAAAAAAAAAUCUCAUAAGUUUACAAAACCAUUGCAUUUAUAGAGAGAAUUAGGAUGAACAAUUGUGUUACAGAUUUUGGUUAGCUUAUUUUAUUAAAGGCAAAAUGGGAGCAUAUAAAAUAUUUAUUAAUAAAUAUAUGGUUAAUAUUUAUUAAUAAAUACAUGAAGUUGGCUUUGGUUGUUUUGACCUAAAAAAAUACACUUUGUGGGCUGUGUGGUUUAUUUUAUGUUUUUGAAAGACAGAAGUGUAAUAUACAUGCAAUAAAAUUAUGUAUUGAUAAAUUUUUUUACGAAGUGUACUCAGUUUGUAUGACAUUUGAUUAACAUCUUGUUACUGUUGUUGUGAAGUACUUGUUAGAGAAAAUCUGCGCAAGUUAGAGGUAGCCUAAUAUUGAAGAUUAUUAUGAGUCUCUCACAAGGGAAACCUACACAUUGAGAUGCAAGGGUGAAGCAUAAAUCAUAUAAUCUAGAGGGAGCCUAGAUCGAAUUCCUUGUUCACACAUCAAGUGAUUUAGAGGGAGCCUAAACGUUUAUCUUGUAAAAGUCAUAAAAUUCAAAAUAAUUGAUUAAAUAAGUUAUGUACUUGUCUCUUCAAUCUUUAUAAAUGAUCUUUUCAAUAGAGCUAAAGGUCUCCCAGAUGUAGGUGUGAUUACACAAAACUGAGUUACCAACAUGCUGUGUUCUAUUCUGUCUUUUCGUACUGUUACUCAUAUUGUUCCUUUAGUUAUUAAUUCGUGUGUUAACUUUAGAUAUCAAGUUAAUAUAUUAUUUAUUUUCUCAAAUUACAUGAAGAGAUUGAACCAUAUAUGCUGACACAUUGGAUUCCAUUAAGACAAAGUGGGGAGCACUAUUUCUAGAAACCACUACUCCAUAAUUCUACUAAGCUUGGGUGGGAGACAUGAGAUAUUUUUAUGCAACUACACCAUCCCAUGAGAAAAUUCAACUAUGUCAGUGGAAUUAACCAAAAGUAAUUGUUGGAAUUUUCCACUAAAUGGUCAAAGGAUAUUUUGGUCAUUUAACCUUUAGGUCAGUAUCUUGACUAGUCAAAAUUUUGACUUCUAAAGUCAAGCAGUUAACAAUUUUAACUAACAUUUACCUUUAAUUUUACUUUUUAUAUUUAAUAUUUCGUAUUAAAUCUCAAACACCCAAAUGUGAAUAUGAAUUUAUAUUCUCGAUAUUUAAAUCGUAUUUAAAUAUUUUGCUAAUUCUCUCAAUACCUUAUCGUUAAUAUUCUCUCCAACCUAAUUCUAAUACUUUGAAUUAAUAUGUUGUAUUGUUCUAGAGUUUAUCUCAUUGUGAGCUAGCAAAGGAACCUUAUGGACCUACAGAUCAUGAGCUCCAACAAUAUGAGAUUAACCAAAAACUCUUUAACCUAGUUAACCAACACUCGUUAACUAACUAGACAUGUCCACUAUAGUUAGUAGCUACACUCUCCUCACUAUAAAUAUAAUUAUGUUCACUUAAUAUAAACAUGAUUAGUAAGUCGUCGAUCCUUCACAUGUUAUUCAUAAUUUAAAGCGGUUGGGUUAAAAUGUCGUUUUACCCCACAAUUACAUCUUCUUCCUUAAGCCUCACCAAUCAUCUAAUGAACAGUUGAUUUAAGGUCUAAUUACCACUAAACCAAAUCUCUCUCAUGUCAAUAAGAGGGUGGAGCUCCUUAUUUCAAUCCCAAAGUCAACACACUUAAGGAACAAGCUCUCUACUAUCUCUUACAGCAGGAAAGUGAAUUUCGUCUUGCAUCCUAUGUUUCCAACUAACUACCGAUCUUACCCUUAAAAUGGAAGGCUUGUUCUAUCAUGGAGCUGCCCUCACGCAUGCAAAUAUAUGGCUAAUUUCAAAUUAACAGGAGUUCAUAGUUAGCUCAAAAUUAAGAUUGAGUUACAUAGGUCAAUAGUUAGUUUUAAAUAGUAAAUUGUGUUAUAAUGUAAAAAUGAUUAUUUCAUAAUUCGGUUUUAUGCAAACUCUUUGCAUAGGAUGACUUCACUCGCAAUGUAUUCACAUGAACGAUUUAGGAUUACAUUCUUUAUACUAAACAAAAAGUGGGUCGUAUCCAUAGUGUCCUCAGAAUAAUGUAUCCAACUCUAUUUCUAUAUUGUAGACCAUUUAGAUUAUUAACUCAAACUUGAUCCACUUUUAUGUCAUUAUCUGAAGUUUGAGUAUUGGUUAAAUAUUUAUCGUUUAUUAAAUAUUUGUAGAGAAUGUGAUUGUAGGCAGAAAAUUUCAUCAGCAAAAAACAAAAGACUAAUUACAUCAAAAUAGCAUAGACUUUAAAUGGUCAAUCUUAGAAAUGAAAUCUUAUUUUAAUUUAAAACCAUUACUUUAAACACAAGUGACUUAAAUGUUGAUAAUUAAACACGUGUAGAAGGGUAAAAAUAAGAAAUAAUGAACCCCUAAAACAAAAAGUAUAGGUCAUAGUUAGAUCAUAAUUUGAGGUGUAUUAUUUGUAUCCAUUCAUAUGAAAAACAGAAAAAAGAGUUUAUUAUUAUUGGGAUUAUUUUGUCUCCGGUAGAAUAGAUAAAUAUUAAAGCGAUAAACAAUGAACAAUUAGAAUUUGCAUUGACUUAGGAAUAUGGAAAAAAAGACUUUAAUGCAUAACAUUAUAUGAAAGUGGGGAAAGGUAUCUUUUAAAGAAAGAAAGAGAGAGAUGGUAGGGUAUGUACCCUAAGCUAGAAGACAAUGCCACUCCCAUAAGAGCACGGACCCGUACCAACCAAUAUAUUGGAUUCGAAAGGAUUGGUGGGUCAAUUUUGAUGGGGUUUUUAUUUGUUUAUUUUUUUUUUAUUUGAUGAUUUAAUUUCUCGUCAAUUUGAUGAAUUAUUGAAUAUGGUUGUAGUUCACUAUCAAUAAUGUAUGUAUGUGUCUUCAAACCAUACCACCCUUUAUUUGGCUAUUUAUCAUUUUAGUGAUGGUUAACUUUAGGACAUUUAACUUAUCAAACUCCAAGUUUAUGAUUUAGAAUUUGGAUUCAACAUUUGAUAGGCCAUAAUAUUUUCUUACUCACACAAAAUAUUCAAGAAGUCGUCUUCUAAUAUCGUUCCAAUCUAAGCACAUUUAACUAUAAAAUUCCUAUAAUUGAGGUACUAACUAAAAGAAAAAGAUGAUAUUAGGUAGUGUACGACUUUCUUAACUAUACAUUCAUAUCAUUAGAAUCACUCUUAUUCAUAUCUUUCCUAGACUCAACCAUACAUGAUCAUCAACUUUUGCUUCCAUUUGUCCUUCAACCAUAACUUUUGCCUUAAUACCAUUUGUAACUCUAGAUUCAUGAUUCAAACUCCAAAAUCGACUCCUAAUUAAUGAUCUCACAUUCUCUUGCUUCCUCUGUGCAAACAAUUUGUGGUAUAUACCUAUCUUGAACUGCUUUCAAAGAGAGAAGAUUAUGCCCACAAACUAAUUCUCUAAUACAAUUUGUUGUCCUAGGUUUAUAAUUUAGAAUAAAAAUUUGGCACUUAACGACCUAAAAUUCUUUUGCAUCCUAUUUGACCUAGCUAGGUUAUCUACUUGUCUUAAAUUACUUUCAAGUGUGGGAAUUAUCCUCACAAACCAACACGUGCUUUUUCAACAUGUUUUAUCCUUACUCGCAUGUCUGCUUUUUAGAAAAAAUUAUUAUGAGAUCACCUAACAUAAAAUUUCUCCAAUCUAAUUAAGCGCAUAUGACUAUGAAAUUCUUAUUACCGAGCCAUUAAAAAAAAAAUUGCACAUUGUUAGUAUAGGUAAUAUCUUUUAAUUCUUUCAAACAUUUCUUAACCAUAUUUUUGUAUUAUCGAGAUCUCUCUCAUUCAAUCGUGAUAUCAACUCGUUCAUAUACUUCUUUUAAAUGCGGCCAUUACAUUUGGAAUUGUUUUUUUGAAGUUUGACUUUUAAGAUCAUUUGGAUUGACUUUCUAAAUAUUUAUAAACUUUUUUUUUUUUUCUGUGCUCAUGAACACUUAUUUAAAAUUUAGGAUGUCAACGCAGAUGCAUCCUUACAUUUUAAGAGUAUAGAUUAGUCAAUACUUUUAAAUAAACUAACAUGAUUUUUGAGAAGUUUAAGUAACAAAAUUUUACUUCUUUGUUGCUCUAUUCCUUAACUAUUUGAUUUUUUUUUUGUUUGUAUGUUAUGAUUUUUAAUUUUGUUUUUUUUUAUAGGAACAAAAACCAAACAUGUUUGAUAAUGAUUUUUAGAUUUCUAUUUUUUUUUACAAAAAAAUAUUUUGAAUAUUAUUUUUUUAAGAAAAAAAUCAAACUAUUUUUACUGUUAUUUUUCAUCUAAUAUUAUAAUUACAAAAUUAUAUCCUUGUUUUAUUUAUUAUUAUCGUUUUUAUAAUAUGCUUCCAUGGAAGAAAAUUUCAUUAUUUAUUUAUAUUUAAAAUUCAUUUGACAAAACAAUAUGAAUAUUUUAAAUGAUUUGAUUAAUCAUAAAUAAAAUAUUGCUUCUAUGGAAGAAAAGUUACAAUAAAACGUAUCAACAAAUUAAAGGAAAAUAAUGCUAUUUUGUAAGAACAAACUACAAGGGAAUAAAGAAACAAUGAAAAAAAUUGUUUUACAAAAAGAAAAAACAAUCUCAUGAUAACUUGUGGUUUUCUAAUUUACUAAAAAAUAAUAUUUUCUACCAUACUAUAAAAGAAAUUUCCCUUUAAAUCAUUUUUCUAAUACUUUCAUUGUUCAAAAAUAAUAUUUUCACCAUGUCAUAUUUUGUUCUCUUUUUCCCACAUUAAAUUGUUAAAGAAUUGUCAAAAUUAAUAUAUACAUUCCAUCAAAAACCUUUCUCUUUUAGUAAUUUUUUUAUUGGAACGUAAAUAGUUUGUUUUUUUUAUUAUUUUUAAAAAAGAUUCUUUUAAGUUUUUAGAUUGUUUAUUGUAAUAUAUUUAUUUAGGUUAUUUAACGAUUUUACUACCGUUUAUAAAUAUUUUUAAAUUCUUUGCCAUAUUUAAAAAUGCCGUUAGUUUAUGACAAUAAAAUUUAUAAUUAAUAAUAAAAAAAACUCUAGUUAACUAAAAUUAAAGAUCGUAAAAAAAAUGAAGAGCCAUGCACUUUAAGUGUGUUAAAUUUUUGAAUAAAUGUAAGUAUUAAAGAUAAGUGCAAAAUCAAUCUAAUUUUGGUUAUAUCCAAAAUGGAUGAUUUGACACUGGGAUGACUUAUUUGUUGAAUGAUGUAAAAUUUUGAUUGCUAUUUGAUGCUCUACCAAAUUAUUAAGAGAUGUUUUUAGUAAUUUUCCAUAUACUAAUGGUGACAUCUGAAUUGACAUUUUAAAUAAUAUUCAAAGACAUAAUCAUAUGUUUUACUCUUUAUUUGCUCCAAUUAGAAUUUUAUAAUCAAACAAAUACAUUGAAAAGAAUCUUUUAUAGAUAAAUUUCCUCCAAUUUAUGUUUCAAUGGUGACCUUUAAAAUUAACUUCUAGUAAUUAGGAUAUAUAAUCAAUCCUUUUCACUAUUCACCAACUUUUACUAGUCAUAUAUAUCUUUAAAAAAAAACAUCAAUAACUUUGUCCAGUUAUAAACCAUCAAACUAAUUCAUUUAUAUUUAGAAUCUUUUUAAAAAUGUAAAUCGAUAAAGAUCGUUUAAAUAUAUUGAUACACGAUCGUUUAGAUCAAAUCAACACGAUCGUGUAGUUAUUUAUAAACGAUAAAAAAAAGAAUUUUAAAUUCAAACGAUCGUGUUGAUCACGAUAAACGAUUGUGUAGAUUAUGUCAAAAUGAUAUUUAAACGAUCGUAAUAUUCUUCAAUAUGAGAAAGAUGAAUUAGCUUCAAAGAAUUUUGUCGAAAACGGUGAAGAUGAAAUAGGAGAUUUAAACAAAAGAAUAAAUCGUUAAAAAUAUAAUAAAGAAAAUUUGAAAUAGAAGGUGAAGAAUUAUGGAAGAGAAAAUGAAUAAAUCACAAAAAGGAAGAAGAAAAAGAAGUGACGAAUCUGUCUCCAAUAUCGAAAAAAAUUUAAAAUUAUGAAUCGGUAAUAUAACUAGCAAUGUAUGAUGUAGUUUCUUCCCAUCCCUCUCAUCUUUCUUUCUUUUUCUUUUUCUUUUUUUAUUUUUCUCAAAAUUUUGAAGUUCAAUAUAUAGAAGAAUUGUUCUAUAACUCAUCAAAUUGAAGUUGCAAAAGCAUGCUGAUGUCAAAUUUUGGACAACGUUAAGCCCACAUAUUAUCUUCUCGUAUGACAAAUUUGUUAAAAGAGGGAAAGAAAGUGACCUGCAAAAAAAGAAACUUACACACACUGGCGUAAGUGUUUGUCACACAUACUCUGAUGCUUAAGUUAGAGAAAUUAAAAAUUUGUGGAAGUUAGAAAGAGUUUGAAAGUCUAACUCAAGUUACCUCAUAAGAAGUUAUAAUGAUGUAUUUAUAAAGAAAAUUAACCUAAUGUGUUCUUAAGGUUUUUGAGUUUUCUUAAGAUAAUUAGUCAUAACAAGCCAAAAAAAGAGUAUGUCUGGUUUAAUGAUUGACUAGGGUUGGCCUCGACUGAGAAACUUCCUUGAAUUAUAUAUUGAGCUUUAAUUAAAGUGUUACUUCGGGUUGAACAUGGGUAAAACUUGCUCGGCUUGGCAUUUGGCAAGGAUUGGCCUAGGCUACUAGCUUAGGCCAAGCCCAAUCUAGCUCCCUUUUCCUAGGCCUAUUUCAGUUUUUACUUGUUAAUUUUGGCUCGUAUCAUGCUUCUUGAUUUUGUCAUUUCUAAAUGUGAAUUAUAUCAUUUAGUCCAAAAUCAGUCAUAAACAAAAUUAAAUGUUGUGUAAUGAUUAUAGACCAUUUUAUAUCCUUAAAAUUAAUCGUUAAGAGAACUUCUAAUAUAAUCUUGGACCGAUGUAUGGCAUAUGACAUAACUUUUGAUUCCAUUCUCCUUUUUCAAUUAGUGUACGGUUCUUUUUCAAAAGUGUUACUAAAUGUUGGAACGAAUAUACAUUCAACUAGUUUUUUCAACCAAAAGAAUUUUUAAUUAGUUUGAAUUAGAAAAGGAGCCAAAAAAUUUAUGAAUUAGUUUAAGUUGAAGAAGCAUAAAUGUCAACUUCAAAAUUCUCAAUAUACUUCGGUGGUACAAAAUUUUCUCUCUUUAAAAAGCAUAACAUUAACUUUUGGGUCACCACAAAAAAAACUCUUAUCCACAUCUCAUACCUUAAGAAUUACCCGAUCAAAUUCGCCAAUAAAGAAUGUUACUAUACCAAUUUAUUUUGUUUUAUUUGUAGCAAUCAUUUAUGACAUACUAAUGCUAUGAUAUCAUUUUUAUAUCUAGCCUGGAUACUUCAAUAUAGAAUUCAUAUUUUUAUUUUUAUAUACCUAAGUGGGAGAUGUUAUGAGCUUUAAUGAUCUACUUGGUUAUUUUUAGACACAUAUCUCCCUCUAGAUUUUAUUUCUAAAAAUGAAAAUGAAAUAAAUAACUUUUAUUUUUUUCCCUACUUUUAUAAUAAGCAUAAGCUUUUGAAUCUUAUGGUAAACAAUUCAUCUUUCCUCAAACGAAAAGGGUAAAUAAUUAAUUGAACAAUAUUCUCAUCCAAAUAAGAAAAAAAUAUCCAUUUAUACAUAGAAGGAUAUCUAUUAAAAUUCUAAAUUAACAAUUUUACAUCUUUGACAUUUUAAGAUUUUAAAAAUAAUCAAAUUAGACUAUUUUCACUCUCAUUUUAGGUACCCUCCAAAAAUAGCAAAAGAAUUUAUGAUAAUGGAACUCAUGUCAUUAUAUUUUCUAAAUUGUAAAAGUAUCAAAUUUAAAAACUGAUAACUCUAUAAUUAUCGUCUGAUAGCCCUUCGAUAACCCUAUGAUUACCGUUUGAUAUCACUAAUUUUGUCAUAUUCGUAAUAUACAAAAAAUAGGUGUCAUGAGCUGUCUUUUUCUUUUCUAAAUGUUUUUGUCAUUUGAUGCAAUUUCAUUCAUUUUAUUUAAAAUAAAAUCAAAACUAGAAAUAAAAUUACUAAUUUUCCCAAGGUAGAUUCUAUAAAAGUAUAAAGUAGUAUUAAGUAACAAAAUAGACGUUGAUAUAAAAGAAUAAAUCAGUUUGAAAUGUUGAUACUUUUAAUAAUGUUAUUGAAAUAACUAUUAUUAAUAAUAGGGUGGUGAAGUCGUAUAUUGGGUACACGACUACGUUAAGUCGUAUGUCAAGUACACGACUCAUAUAAGUUGUCUUUCUAGUGUGGCAAUAUUGAUUGUCAUGUUGUCUAGCCUGCAAUGAAGUCGUGAACCAAGUGCACCACUUCAAUGCCUAGUCGUGUACUGAGCACAUGACUCCUCUCUCAAAAUCCUACCAUUCCCUUUUGGGAACCCUCAACCCAUUUUCUUAAAAAAAAAAUAAAAGAACACAACGGUUCUUUCCCUUCGAUCACCGCUAUCUCCAACACAACCGUUAUUGUCAUCGUGUCCCACCAUUUGUCAUCCGUUGUUGCCAUUAUUACCAUCGAUCUAAGCUAUAUAAAAUUAUUCUCUUUUUUUAUACAUUUUGGUUUAUCAUAUAUAAAUCUAUUUGUAUGAUUUAUUUGAAUUUCAUAUUCUUUUUGUUCUAUAAAGAAUACAUUGCAUCAGAAAUUGAGCGUUUAUAAAGUUGUAUGUUUUAAUUGUUUGGAGUGUUAUUGAUUAUAAUUGCAUUGUAUGUGUUGUAUAAAUCUAUUUGUAUGAUUGUUUGUUCUAUAAAAGUGUAAGUUUGAUGUAUUGAUAUGUAAAUUCUAAAAACAAAAAUAGACAUUUUGAAAAAAUAAAUAUCUUGUAAUGAAAACUUAGAUAUUUUAAAUUAAUUUUUGACAUUAUCUCAAUGUAUUUUAAGUGUUUCUCUGACUCUAAUCUUGUUUUUUAGAUUUUUUUUUUUUUUUUGUUACGGGUAAGGCAAUUAAAGUUUGGACUUGAGUAUUGAAGUUUUUUUUUUCUUUAAUUAGUGUAAUGUUGAAAUAGGUUAUGGUUUGAUGUUUUUCCAACUUUAACAGUUGAUUAAAUAUGUGAUGUGAUCUGAAGAUUUAGUUAUUUUUUAACUUGGUAAUGAUGGGGAUAGUGAAUUGAUAUAAAAGUUGAUGAAUUAUUUGGAAAUAAAUGAACGAAAUACAUAGCACGAAAAUGAAAUGGUAUCGUCUGAGAUAUUCACCUAAAUAGACUAGAACAUUAUUGAUUCUAUUUGUGAACAAGGUUAACAUUGGGAGAUAGAAAUAUAUAAUGUAAAUUGUUCUUGUUCAAUUCAAAAGGGCGUAUGUUAUUUAACACUAGAGAAGAAGUUCAAUGGGUGGUUAUAAAGUAUUGCAUGACAACACUAUCAUUGAGUUGAUGAUUUUUUUUUACCCUUUUUGUUAUUUAAUAGUAAAGAAGAUCUUCAAAUGAAACAUGUCGAACAAUCAGCAAAUAUGAUGUUAAUCUAUCAACAGCUAUUUGACCGAGAUUGAUGCGCACUCAAAUAGCAAAGUAUUAUACAAAUGAAUACUACAUAUUUUUUGUUGUCUACUUAUGUUUUUUUUAACAUAUUAAUUAUGGAGACGAUACGCACACAAUAUUAUGGCAUUAUUGCCUAAUCAGUGUCAUAAUGGUCAAGAAGUUUGGACUUACUUUGGCCCUCUGAUAUGCUUUCGUGCCGUAGGUGACAUUUACCAAAUAAACUGUUACGACAGUACGGUCUGCUCCAAAACGCACCAUCGUUGUGGUGUACUGGCUUAACACUACACCAAAUUGAUUUAAGAGGUAAACAUGAUCAAUGUUGAUGUAAGAUUCACGAUGUGGCCUAUACAUCAUGAUCAUUGUGCACAUGGAGAAGCAACACACAUGACCCAAUUGUAUUAGCUGAUGACUAUUUUUUCCGACACAAGUCAAUAUUACAAGAUGAUUUAUCACACCUAAUCGCGCUUACUAUUAUUGCAUAGUAAGAAUUUUAAUAUGAUAUGUUUUAUAAUUUUAUAAUAUGAACAUUAUUUAGUGUUUUAUAUUUAAUCAUGCAAAAUAAUUUUGUUCAAGAAGAUGUACAUAAUUAAUGAAACACGAUUUCCUAGAUUUGAGUUCAAUGUAUUAUCAAACAUUGGUAAAUGUAAAACAUAUUAUUCAACAAACAAAACGAUUAAUGUUAUAAACAUGAAUCGAAGACAUAUUUAAUACAUAAACAACGAUAUGGGAAUGAUAUUAUAUAAAAUAAUUGCAUUCUAAUUCUUUCCACCAAAACAGCAGUCAUAAAAGAAACUUAAAGGAAAAAAUAACAAAAUUAUAAGAGUAAUCUAUUUUCAACUAGAAAUGUAACAUUUACAGCUUAAACAAAAAAUGAACAAAAGCAAAAGAAAAGAAAUCAAUUUAUGGUGCUUUAGUCUAUUUAUAAUUUAUUAUUAAAUAAAUAAUUAAAAAAUAUUAAAUACAAUUAAACAACGGAUACAUUAAUGUUUGCUUGUCCACUCUUACCAAACAAGAAUAAGUAUAUUGUUGAUAUGCCUUGAAUAAGAAAAUAACAUCGCAUAACCGACAUGAACUUAGUUUAACAUCGCACACCUUUAAAAAUUUAAAGGAUAGAACUUAAAAAUUUGAGAUAACAUUCUUUUAAUGGUCCACGUGAUUCUGCAUAUAUUCAGCAUGCAACAUGCAAAAUUUUAGUAAAUAGACAUGAAAAAAGUCAAACGUAUAUAAUAUUUAUUAUCAAAUAUGAUAACUUGACCAUAAAAGUAUUUUUUUUCCCUGUAUUCAUAUUUAAAUUUUACCACUCUUAAUUAUUUGGUAUGUUAUAUUUAUUAUCAAAUAAAUAAUAUAAUCGACUAGACAAAUUCUACAUUUUUAAUGUACCUUCUCUUUUAUCAUUGUUAUAUAAUUAAUUAUUUGCAACUAAAUUUAUAAAAAUCAAACUAUAUAUAUACACACAUACAUACAUACACACAUACAUAUAUACACAUACAUACAUAUACAUAUAUCUAUACAUACAUUACGCAUACACAUACACAUAUCUAUAUAUACAUAUACUUUUUUAUUAUUUGAAAUAUAGUUUGAACGUUUGUGCAUUUUUGUCUGGUCAUUUGAUAUGAAAGGACAAGACCUAACAUUGACAUGAGGUUAUAUAUAUAUCUUCAACAUACUCUAAUGUUUAAAUCGAUGUACUUAAGUUGUUAAGGUUGUACAUAAUAGCAAACAACAAGUACUUAAUUGAAAAGUAGAGACAAUGUCUUGAGAGUCGUUGGUUGUAUAUUACUUAAAUGUUUGCUGAUCAUAUUGAUCUUAAGCCUUACGAGAUGCUUAUUCAUCGAUCAUUAGUUCACAUGAUGUUUUACAAGAGAUCAUAGCGACCAUGGGCUCAUUGGCUUUUGACCUCACACCCAUUUAGGGUAUCCUUAACAAUUUGGUUUCAUUCCAAAAAUUUUAACAUAUAAAAACGUUCGUAUUAAUAAAAAAAAUAAUCAUGAUAACAUAUACACACAUUAUUUUCUUCUUUGGUAACCCAUGUGAAACUUUUUUGUUACAAUAACUACUCUACAUAAUUUGAGAUUAGGGUUAUCCCCAUUGGAAUACAUUGAAUAUAAGCAAAUUUCUCUUUUGAAAACUCAUAAUGUAGAACAAGAAACCAAAAAUGGUAAUCCAAUCAUCCAAUGAGUGUAAUAACAAAAGGCAGAGAAGGAUACAAUGUCAGUCAAAAAUAGGGCAGAAGCUAUAGAGCUGCCAUUGAUGAAGUUUUUAGCUUCACAAUAGACCUUCCCCCACCUUAAUUAGGCCUUGCAAAUUCCAAUAAACUAUACCUAAAGAAAUAUACAAUUUUUUAAUUUUUUUUUUAAAUUGUGAAAGGUCAAAAUUCAAUGAUAAAUUGGUAAUUCUCAAAAGAAGUGUUUCAAAACAACUAACCUGCUUGAUGAAUGGUAUACACCAUCACCUUAAAUUACUACUUAACUGCAUGCAUUACCAUGUGAUUUUAUAAAUUAAUCAUUUUUAAUUUGUGUGUUUCUCUUCCAUUAAAAUAUAUAGAAUCUUCCACACUAUAUAUUAAUUAACAUAUAUUCCUUUUGAUUUAGAGAGAGAAAAAGAGUUGAGAUGAUAGGGGUUGGAACUAAAUAAACAUAAUAUGAUAUAUUGUAUUAAAUUAUAAUAUAUUGGGUUCUAAAAGAAUGUUUGGUAUGUGGGUUUUUGGAAAGAUAAUGUAUAAAAUAUUUGAAAAAGGCAGUUCAUAUCCUAUCUAGUAUGUUUAAAUUAUACAUAUUUAAUGAAUAUUAUUUUUAUUAAUCUCAACUUAAAUAUAGCUCAAUUUAUUAGGUAGGAAAAAAAUUAUCCUAUCCUUUUAUCAUUGUUGAACCAAAUUGUAAUGAUAAACUAAUUAACUGUUAAAUGGUUAAUUGAUUAUAAGAUGUCAUAAUAUUUAUCACACUUGCGAAAUGAUAAACUUAUUACAUAUCAAAUUUAUUCCUAAACUAUAAAAGCUAAUUAUGUCAUUUCGCGCAAUAAAAACUUAUCAUUAAUUUUGUUUUGAAGUAGGGAAUACUUUGUUCCAAAUUUGAAAGUAUAAAGACAUUAUUGUUAUCUAACUUACAUUGUUAUAAGCUAGAAAGUAAAAAAACUCAAUUGUUAUAAAUGAAAGUACAUUUACUAAAUCAUUUUGACAAGUGGGAGUCUACACUAAGUGGACAAUAAAAAAACCUAAAACGACUUGUUAUAUUCAAACCAAAGAACCAUAAAAGGGAUAGAAAUGAGAAAAAAAAUGGGGACCAAAAAGGAUUUAAACCAAAAAAAUGAAAAGGCACAAGUUUUCUCAUUUGUUUAUUUUUCUUUGGGUUUGUUUGAGUGUGGGUUGUUGAAUAAGAAAUUUUGAGACCAAUUACAAGUUGCCACAUCAUUUAUUAAGUUAAUGAUGAAAAGUACAAAUAAUUAAAUUUGGGACUAAUUAAAAUUGACACAUGCCCCAAAUUAAAGAGUUAAAAUAAAUAAAUUGGUCAUUCUAAUAAUGCCACAUGUUUUCAUAUUAAUCGUUGGAUUAAGUUAAUCAUUUUAGUUCAAUUAAGCCAAAAAAAAUAAGCUUAAUUGAGCCCAAAGACUAAAUAUAACCUAAGUCCAUAUGGUUGAGCCCAUGGGUCUGGUCCAUGGACCAACCAAGUUCAAACCCAUAAAGCCCACCAGUGAACUCUAUAAAUAGAGGAAUUCUCCUCAUUUGCAGGGGUUGGAAAAUUUUGACUCUAGAAGAUCCAGAGAGAAUUCUUCCAAAAGCUAGAAGACUCCCUAACUUCUGAAGUUGACCAUCCUCGAAGAUUGAAGCUGUUUUGAAGAUACAAACUUUCUUCCAAGACUCCAACUUCAAGAACAUCACGUGCUCCGCUUCCUCAAAUCAAGCGUAAGCAUUCAACCAACUUGAAGAAAAUCACGUGCUCCGCUUCUCCAAAUCAAGCGUAGACGUUCAACAAACUUCAAGAACAUCACGUGCUCCGCUUCUCCAAAUCAAGCGUAGACGUUCAACAAACUUCAAGAACAUCACGUGCUCCGCUUCCUCCAAAUCAAGCGUAGACAUACAGUUGAGAGAGAAUCAGAGGAUCAAAUUCUAGAGAUUGAACCGCAUCGCAUCAAAUCAACAAAAAUACAACAUCAACCCAAGUUCAAGUCCACGAAUUAAAUUUCUCCGGAAAUCUCGUGCGAACAAAUUGGCACGCCCGGUGGGACCAUCUCUACCUCUCAUCUCUCUCUCAUCAUCUAGAUCUACAAGCAAAUCAAUGGCAUCAAAGAAAGCUGCAUCCAAAUCUUCAGCUGCAAGCGACACCUACACGGGACCUAUCACCCGUAGUCGUUCCAAGGGGAUCAUCCAAGGGCAAGACCAAGGUUCCGCCAUCGCGCAGAGCAUCCUGAAGCAAUUGAUGGAAUCUCCUAAAGCUGGAAUUGUCAUCAAGGAAAAUCCUCUAUAUAAUGAUUAUGAUUCUGCCUCUAGCAGGUCACUGAAAGAAGCACACCCAGAUGUGAUGUCCGUCAUGAUGGCUGAUGUAGCAGUCGAGACUGCCAUGGCGGAGAUGGAGAGAAAAAUUAAUCUCCUGAUGAAGGUUGUUGAUGAACGAGACCACGAAAUUGCAGCUUUAAAGGAGCAGAUGCAGACUCGUGAAACUGCUGAAUCGAGUCAAACUCCUGUCGUUAAAGUUGAUGACAAAGGGAAGAACGUGGUACAAGAAAAUCAGCCACAACAACAAUCAACUUCUGUGGCUUCUCUCUCGGUUCAACAAUUACAAGAUAUGAUCACAAGCUCCAUCAGAGCACAAUAUGGAGGCCCAUCUCAGACUUCUUUCAUGUACUCUAAACCAUACACCAAAAGAAUCGACAACUUGAGAAUGCCGCUUGGAUAUCAGCCUCCAAAAUUCCAGCAGUUUGACGGAAAGGGCAAUCCAAAACAGCACGUUGCUCACUUCGUCGAAACAUGUGAGAAUGCAGGAUCAAGAGGAGAUCAACUAGUCAGACAAUUUGUUCGAAGCUUGAAAGGAAAUGCUUUUGAAUGGUAUACUGAUCUGGAGCCAGAAAGCAUUGAGAGUUGGGAACAACUAGAAAAGGAGUUUCUCAAUCGCUUCUACAGCACCAGGCGUACUGUAAGCAUGAUGGAGCUUACAAAUACGAAACAAAGAAAGGGAGAACCAGUCAUCGACUACAUCAAUAGAUGGAGAGCUCUAAGUCUUGACUGUAAAGAUCGGCUCACCGAACUGUCGGCUGUAGAAAUGUGCACCCAAGGCAUGCACUGGGGACUCCUCUACAUUUUGCAGGGAAUAAAGCCCCGCACAUUUGAAGAACUGGCAACUCGAGCUCAUGAUAUGGAGUUGAGCAUCGCCAGUAGAGGAACUAAAGAUUUUCUUGUUCCUGAAGUAAAGAAAGAUAAGAAAGAGAUGAAAGGUGCUGAAAAGAUAGUGAAAAGCACCUCGAAAGAAUCUAUGGUCGUAAACACAACCCCGCUGAAAUUCUCCAAAGGAAAGGAAGCGAGGGUUGAAAAGAAGGAUGAUGGAAGCGAAAGGCGACGUCUGACUUUAAAAGAAAGGCAGGAAAAAGUUUACCCAUUUCCUGAUUCAGAUAUCGCUGACAUGCUAGAGCAACUACUAGAGAAGCAGCUGAUCCAGCUGCCAGAAUGUAAACGACCUGAGCAAGCAGGAAAGGUAGAUGAUCCCAAUUACUGCAAGUAUCAUCGGGUCAUCAGUCAUCCAGUAGAGAAAUGCUUCGUGCUGAAGGAGCUAAUUCUAAGGUUGGCUCGUGAGAAAAGGAUUGAGCUAGAUUUGGAGGAAGUAGCUCAAACAAACCACGCUGAAGUGACGAUAAUGUCUGAGGCUUCUUCGUCGAGAUUGAUUUUUGAGCAAAGGAAAAGCUUGGUCCAGUUCGGGACCUUUGAGCCUAUAGUUGUCCAAUUCUUUCAGGAAAUCUCAUACGAGGAUCCUCAAGGAGAGAAAAGACCAAUUGAAGAAGACGAUGAAGGGUGGAUAGUGGUGACCCACCGAAAGAAAAGACAGUCGAUCCCGACCCAAAGAGAGUCUCGCUCUUACCAAAACUAUAGAAGAGGAAAUAAGACUCAAAAGAAUAAGAAAAAGAAGAAGACUCAUAAGCUUAAGCUCGUACAUAAUGAAGACAUGAAUUUCUCUCGACCUCAACGCUUAGUGACCUUGGCAGACUUCCUUCCAAAAAGCUUCCUUUGUGAUCAUCAGGAUGAAGACCCAGAAGUCGUUGCGUGUCAUGCUAUCAACACAACGGAGGAAGAAAUAAUCCCUCCAAGAUCACUAGAAGGAGAGGGAGUAUCAAAAGACCUUUCAAGGUUUAAUGUAGAGGAUCUAUUAUCACUUCCUCAAGAGACCAAAACCAUCCUUAUUGAUGCAUUGCUAAAUUCAAGAGCAUCAAGUUCGAGUACUCCGACUAUGACAUAUGAGAGUGGUUCUUAUUGUAUGUCUAUAGACUUCUCAGAUGAGGAUUUGUUGUUGGGAUCUAAACUUCAUAAUAGACCUUUGUAUGUUUCUGGAUACGUUCGAGAACAGAGAGUCGAUCGAAUCCUCAUUGAUAAUGGCUCAGCUGUCAACAUAAUGCCAAAGUCGACUAUGUGGCAAUUAGGCAUCUUGAUGGACGAGCUCUCAAAUAGCAAGCUAGUAAUUCAAGGUUUUAACCAAGGUAGCCAAAGAGCAAUAGGCAUGAUACGGUUAGAACUCAUAAUUGGCGACCUAAAGGCCAGUGCAUUGUUUCAUGUCAUAGACUCAAGGACUACUUACAAGUUGUUACUAGGGCGUCCUUGGAUUCAUGGAAACGGAGUAGUAACUUCAACACUGCAUCAGUGCUUCAAAUUUUAUCAGGACGGUGUAAAGAAGGUUGAAGCCGACUCUAAUCCAUUCUCAGAAGCUGAGUCUCACUUCGCAGAUGCAAAGUUUUAUUCAAAGAAUAAUAAUAUUUUAGAAGUUUUGCCUGCAGAAACCCCUCUUACAAAAGGAGAAGAUAAUUCACAAUUGAAAUCACUCGCAACCACAGAACCACAUGAAAGUGCGAGAACCUUUAACUCUGGAAAGGGUGAAGCAUACACUAGCAACACAAAGGGUAUGAUCUUGAAGGAUGAAAAUGCUGCAAACACACCAGUUUUGCGUUAUGUCCCUCUGUCAAGGCGCAAGAAAGGCGAAUCACCAUUCAUGGAGUCUCCAAAAGGUUUGAAAGUUGGUGACAUCGAAAUCAUAAAAGAAAGCUUCACUACACCACUAACUAAGAUAGCGAAGCAAGAGGUAAAGGUAGAUCUGGUGGAAGCAAACUUGCCCCAAAGGCGAACGAAAGACGGAUUCGACCCCAAGGCUUACAAAUUGAUGGCGAAAGCAGGUUAUGACUUCACAGCUCACACCGAGUUUAAAAGCUUGGAAAUUCAUGACCGACCUGAGCUCUCCUCAACUCAAAAGAAGCUUCUACGGGAAGGACAUUCUAUACCCGUGUCGAGAAAAGGACUCGGAUACAAGUCGCCAGAACCGAUCCGUAUAACUAAAAAGGGGAAGGAAAAAGUGGUUGACAUCAAUCAUAUAACUAUAGAGGAGGAUGACAAUACUGACGUAAAAGAAGGUGAUAAUCAGAGAAUCUCAGUAUUUGAUCGAAUUAGACCAUCUGUUGCACGUCCCGUAGUAUUUGAAAGGCUAAGCAUGACAGAGGCAGAAAGAGAAAGGCUCCAGUCAGUACCAAACCUUGAGAGACAUUCGGUCUUUCGAAGGCUAACUACGACUCCCAUAAAGGAAGAAAGCACAUGCCAUGCCUUGACAACUACAAGACCAUCAGCCUUUGAAAGGCUAGGUGUGUCUAAAAAGAAAAAUGUACAAGCACCCCGUGCUCCGAUUUUUAAUCAUCUCGGGGAUAAAGGAUCACACGACAACAUUGAUUCCAACAUAGAUACAAAGAAGAAGGAACCAAUGUCUCGUGUGAAAGUUUGGCGUCGAAUUAAGCAUACAGAUGUCGAUAAUUAUCGUAGUAAGAAGUUUCCUUGCGAGACAAAGGAAAAUGGAGAAAUUCAUAGCAACGUUCCUUCUCGCAUGAAAAGAAAAACUUUUGUUACUCUCAAUACAAGUCAAGGUUCGUUAAAGGUAAAAAGACAUGAUGUUAUACUAACGAAUCCUGAAAAAGAAGGGUCGGAACAAGGGGAAUGUGAAACUUCAUGUCAUCACAUCACCAUUAUUGAGGAAUCAGAGACUGGAACUCAUGAAGAAGACGCAGAAAAUGCCCCACAAAGUUUAGAGGAUGGUGGCAAUCUACUGUAGACGAGCUAAAAGAGGUGAACCUUGGUACAAUAGAGGAACCACGCCCGACUUUCAUUAGUGCGUCCCUCUCUAACGAAGAGGUGGAUAAAUAUAUGAGUUUGCUCACCGAAUACAGGGACAUCUUUGCGUGGUCGUACAAGGAGAUGCCAGGACUUGACCCAAAAGUAGCAGUCCAUCAUCUUGCAAUUAAACCUGGAUAUCGACCGAUUAAACAAGCACAACGACGUUUUCGACCGGAGCUUAUCCCUCAAAUCGAGGUGGAAGUCAACAAGUUGAUCGAAGCAGGAUUCAUUCGCGAGGUCAAAUAUCCAACGUGGAUAGCAAACAUUGUCCCUGUUAGAAAAAAAAUGGACAACUUCGCGUUUGUGUAGACUUUCGCGAUCUGAAUAAUGCAUGCCCUAAAGAUGAUUUUCCCUUGCCCAUCACCGAAAUCAUGGUUGAUGCAACUACUGGACACGAGGCGUUGUCGUUUAUGGAUGGGUCGUCUGGAUAUAAUCAAAUACGGAUGGCCCUCUCAGAUGAAGAAAUGACAGCUUUCAGAACUCCAAAGGGAAUAUACUGUUACAAGGUGAUGCCCUUUGGAUUGAAAAAUGCCGGCGCUACUUAUCAACGUGCCAUGCAGAAAGUGUUUGAUGAUAUGUUGCACAGGUAUGUUGAAUGUUAUGUUGAUGAUCUUGUAGUCAAAACAAAGAGACGACAAGACCAUUUGAAGGAUCUAAAAGUCGUGUUUGAUCGCUUGCGAAAAUAUCAGCUAAGGAUGAACCCUCUCAAGUGUGCGUUUGGUGUAACUUCAGGAAAAUUUCUUGGCUUCAUUGUAAGGCAUCGAGGGAUCGAAAUAGACCAGUCCAAGAUUGAUGCCAUUCAGAAGAUGUCAAGACCUAAAAGUUUGCAUGACCUAAGAAGUCUCCAAGGACGACUGGCUUACAUCCGAAGGUUCAUCUCUAACUUGGCCGGUCGGUGUCAACCUUUUCAAAAGUUGAUGAGAAAAGGAGAAAAUUUUGUGUGGGAUGAAGCUUGUCAGAACGCUUUUGAUAGCAUAAAGAAAUACUUGCUUACUCCCCCAGUGCUGGGAGCUCCAGUACCUGACAAACCACUAAUAUUGUACAUUGCUGCACAAGAAAGGUCCUUAGGAGCAUUACUGGCACAAGAAGAGGUAAAGGGAAAGGAGCGUUCUCUCUACUAUCUAAGCAGAACAUUAAUUGGGGCUGAAGUUAACUAUUCUCCUAUCGAAAAGAUGUGUCUUGCACUUUUCUUUGCCAUUGAUAAGUUGAGGCAUUAUAUGCAGGCCUUCACGGUUCAUCUAGUGGCAAAAGCAGACCCUAUAAAGUAUGUUCUAUCCAGGCCAAUCAUCGCUGGACGCUUAGCCAAAUGGGCGGUUCUACUCCAACAAUAUGACAUUGUCUAUAUUCCCCAAAAGGCGAUAAAAGGACAAGCGCUAGCAGACUUUUUAGCAGACCACCCAAUUCCUUCGGAUUGGAAGUUAUGUGAUGACCUACCAGACGAUGAGGUUUUCUUCACAGAAGUUAUGGAACCUUGGACUAUGUACUUCGAUGGUGCAGCUCGAAGAAGUGGUGCGGGGGCAGGCAUUGUCCUCAUUUCUCCUGAGAAGCAUAUGUUGCCUUAUAGCUUUGCACUUUCCGAAUUGUGUUCAAACAAUGUGGCUGAAUAUCAGGCUUUGAUAAUUGGCCUUCAAAUAGCAUUAGAAAUCGGAGUGUCAUUCAUAGAGGUCUAUGGUGAUUCAAAAUUGAUAAUCAAUCAACUCUCGCUUCAAUAUGACGUGAAACAUGAAGACUUGAAGCCAUAUUUUGCUUAUGCUCGACAAUUGAUGGAAAAGUUUGAUAAUGUGAUGUUAGAACAUGUCCCUAGAGUAGAAAAUAAGAGAGCGGAUGCAUUGGCAAAUUUAGCCACGGCCUUGACCAUGCCAGAUGAUGUAACUCUGAACAUACCACUUUGUCAACGAUGGAUUAUACCCCCAGUUAGGCCUGAAUGUCAGGAAGUGAACAUGGCAACAUCCUAUUUGAUUGAUGAAGAAGAUUGGCGUCAACCCAUCAUAGAGUAUCUUGAACAUGGAAAGCUUCCAAAGGAUUCUCGUCAUAAAAUUGAGAUACGAAGAAGGGCAGCACACUUCAUUUAUUACAAGGGAACUUUAUAUCGCCGUUCUCUUGAAGGGCUCUUCCUUCGAUGUCUCGGAAAGGAAGAUUCGGUAAAAGCUCUAAAGGAAGUACAUGCAGGUGUUUGUGGAGCACAUCAAUCGGGACCAAAGCUUCAAUUCCAGCUAAGAAGAAUGGGCUACUACUGGCCUAAGAUGAUCCAAGAUUCAAUAGACUAUGUGAAGAAGUGUGAGCCUUGUCAAUACCAUGCAAACUUCAUACACCAACCUCCAGAACCUCUUCAUCCAACUGUGGCUUCUUGGCCUUUUGAGGCUUGGGGACUCGAUCUGGUUGGCCCCAUUACACCAAAAUCAUCAGCAGGACAUUCUUAUAUCCUAGCAGCAACAGACUAUUUUUCAAGGUGGGCUGAGGCCAUUUCAUUGAGAGAAGCCAAGAAGGAGAACGUGGCAGACUUUAUUCGAACACACAUCAUCUAUCGAUACGGUAUUCCACAUCGAAUCGUGACGGAUAAUGGAAAGCAAUUCUCCAAUAGUAUGAUGGACAAGUUAUGUGAAAAAUUCAAAUUCAAGCAAUAUAAGUCAUCCAUGUACAACGCAGCUGCGAAUGGACUAGCAGAAGCAUUCAACAAAACAUUGUGUAAUCUUUUAAAGAAAAUUGUCUCCAAGUCAAAGAGGGAUUGGCAAGAAAAGAUCGGCGAGGCAUUAUGGGCUUAUCGAACGACUCAUCGCACCCCUACAGGGGUUACACCAUAUUCGCUUGUUUACGGUGUGGAGGCUGUCCUUCCUCUCGAAAGGGAAAUUCCGUCACUAAGAAUGGCAGUACAAGAGGGAUUGACUACCGAAGAUAAUGUGAAGUUACGUCUUCAAGAAUUAGAAGCACUUGACGAAAAGCGAUUAGAGGCUCAGCAAGCAUUGGAAUGUUAUCAAGCGAGAAUGUCCAAAGCUUUUGAUAAACACGUUAAACCUCGCUCCUUUCAAGUCGGUGAUCUAGUACUUGCCGUAAGGAGACCGAUCAUCACAACAAGGCAUACAGGAAAUAAGUUCACACCUAAAUGGGAUGGACCUUACAUUGUUAAAGAAGUUUAUACAAAUGGCGCAUACAAGAUCGUUGAUCAAGACGGACUACGAAUUGGCCCAAUCAAUGGUAAAUUUCUUAAAAAAUUUUAUGCUUAAUUUUGUUAGGUAAAAAAAAAAAAAAAAAAAGUUGAACUACGUUAUGACUUGAUCCCUAUAUUAUAAAGGGUACGUAGGCAGCUUAAGGAAAACCUUAAGCCCAGUCCAGCAAAAAAAAAGUUGAACUACGUUAUGACUUGAUCCCUAUAUUAUAAAGGGUACGUAGGCAGCUUAAGGAAAACCUUAAGCCCAGUCCAGCAAAAAAAAAAGUUGAACUACGUUAUGACUUGAUCCCUACAUUAUAAAGGGUACGUAGGCAACUUAAAGAAAAACUUUAAGUUCAGUCCACCAUUAUAAAAAAAAAAAAAAAAAAAAAAAAAAAAAAAAAAAACCUUGAAACUACGUCGUGAGUUAAUUCUUUUCUUCAAAGGGUGUUCAUCUCUACUAAGGAAUCAUAACAAAUUGGGGGCAAAUCCCUAAAUUCAAGAUGUUCAUCUUUAGUAACAAUGAGAUGAAAUAAAAUUGAAGAUGUACAACUCCGUGCAAAGACUAUGUACAAGUUGAGUGCAUGUAAAAGAAAAAAAAAAAAAGGAAUCUCAAUCAAGCUCAAAGGCAUCAUUAAUGAUCCCUCAAAUUCAAGCAUAAAAGUUUUCAUUGAUGAUUCCUUAAUAUUCAAGUUUAAGGCUUCAUCGAGCUGCAGCUCCAGCUCUUUGAGAGGAUAACGAUGGUACAACUUUGAUAGGACGACGAUCGGGCAGCUCUGCCUUCGCCUCUCCAAGAUGAAAACGACAGUGUAACAUCGUUUCUGCCUCUUGAAGAGAUGCAUGAAUGCUAAAGCUUUAACCUCUGCUUCAUCUUCAGGCUUAUUGCAACUGAAGAGGAUUCAUCUUUCAUCGUCUUUCUAAGUUCAUGUGCAAUCGAAGAUGAUUCAUCUUCANNNNNNNNNNNNNNNNNNNNNNNNNNNNNNNNNNNNNNNNNNNNNNNNNNNNNNNNNNNNNNNNNNNNNNNNNNNNNNNNNNNNNNNNNNNNNNNNNNNNNNNNNNNNNNNNNNNNNNNNNNNNNNNNNNNNNNNNNNNNNNNNNNNNNNNNNNNNNNNNNNNNNNNNNNNNNNNNNNNNNNNNNNNNNNNNNNNNNNNNNNNNNNNNNNNNNNNNNNNNNNNNNNNNNNNNNNNNNNNNNNNNNNNNNNNNNNNNNNNNNNNNNNNNNNNNNNNNNNNNNNNNNNNNNNNNNNNNNNNNNNNNNNNNNNNNNNNNNNNNNNNNNNNNNNNNNNNNNNNNNNNNNNNNNNNNNNNNNNNNNNNNNNNNNNNNNNNNNNNNNNNNNNNNNNNNNNNNNNNNNNNNNNNNNNNNNNNNNNNNNNNNNNNNNNNNNNNNNNNNNNNNNNNNNNNNNNNNNNNNNNNNNNNNNNNNNNNNNNNNNNNNNNNNNNNNNNNNNNNNAUCAGGUUGUUGACGAAGAAACGGUAGGGUUAACGAUCUGGAGGCUCCUUGGUGGCGUGUUUGAACAUCUUGAUGGGAAAGUAGAAAUUAAGUUUGAAAACGAAUCACCUAGCUUCCUUGUUGUUAAAGAAAAUAUGAGUUCAAGGCCCAGUACAUGUAGUAUUAAGAGUGAACCAAUAUCUAAUCAAACAGAUCAAGUUCUCGAAAGUAAAAUUAAUAUGUUAGAUUAGAUCAAGAAUACCAAAUAACAUUUAUGAAGAAAAUCUCCCUGGUUCUCUAACUCAAACAGAAAUGGAUACUAGUUCUCAAGUAAAUGUAAUUAUUUUAGAAUCAAAAUUUGAGCUUGACAAAGAAUCCUUACAAAAGGAAUUUAUGUCUAAAGCAAAUUUUAUUGAAAGAAUUUCCUUUUCCGAAACUUACUUUGAAACAGAACAGAAGUUGUUUAGAGAAGUUUCAAGGCUUUUGAAAUACUUCAAGAACAUAUUACAUUUUUUAAAUGGUUCAACCAAAGAAAAGAUUUUGACCAUCUUUGUAGAAUAAAAGAAAAUGAAUAUUGGAAAACUCAAAGAGGAGAAAUCAAAGAUGAUUUCCCUCCGAUGGAAGAUGUUGAGUUCAAAAGUUUUUCUAAUAAGAAUGUUAUAGCAAAUCCUUUUCAAAUUAUCAAUGAAUUUGAACACAAGACUCCUACAAAUAAAGAAAUAAAGAGUAUCCAAGUUUAAAAUAAUUAUUCUAACAUAAUGAUUUCUUCAAUCGUAGUCACGUCUUCAAGUUAGAAGAAAAUUUCAAUUCUUCUACUCUCGAAGAAACUUCUAACCUUUUCCAACCUUUAGAUAAUGUUAAGAUAAAAACUCAUAAACAAAACCUUCCGGAUGAUAUUAAUAAAAACCUAAACAACCUAAGGGGCGAAAGUUUUCAUGGAAGAUUUUGAAAAUCUUUCAUUCAACGAAGAAGAAAAACAAAUCAACAAGAUAAAUUUUGGAAGAUUUGUUAAUAGGAAAGAUAAAAUAAAUUUUCAUCCUUGACCUUCAUUUCCCGGAGAAGAACUAGAGCAAGACAAAUGUAUGUCAUAAAUACAGAAUUCAAUGGAGAAUCCAUAUAUCUUUGGAAUAUUGAUGGAACUCUAGAGUAUCAAAUUUAUGACACAUUGAAUAACAUGUUAACUUGUUCCAUAACCUAUGAAUCCAAUGCUCAUACAAAUGGAGAGGCUCCUAUGCUUCUAAUCAAUGGAUUUAGUGGAACUUUCAAACUAUGGUGGGAUCAUGCCCUAAUCAAUAAACAAAAAGUAGCAAUUAAAAAUCAUAGGACAAGAAUCAAAAGGACAAUUAAGACUAAAGAUGGAGCUUUAGUAACUCAAGAAAUAAAAGAAGAGUGAGAGGACACUGUUCCUCUUUGAAAAAAUUUAGAUGGUACAAAAACAUGUUCUUAUUUAAAAUUUAUAUAUUUUUAAGGAUUGUAAUGUCAGACACUUGAAAGAAAUGUCCAUUGAUAGACUUUCAAGCUUCAUGGCAGAAAGAGUCUAAAACUCCCUCAACAAAGCAUAUCCUAAGGAAAUACCUUGGGAAACUCUUACCUAUGUCCAACUAACUUCUAGAAUCAUAGAAUGUGGUUUAGAUAUAUACGAUGAGAUAAAAAUUCAAACCAAAGUACACAAACAUUCAAAUCUUCAUAAAAAAUAAAUAAAGACAUUUUGUUCUCGAAUUUGAGAAGGUCAAAGAACCAGCUUCUUCUUCAAGAAAAAUUCGACCAAAAAACUAUAAUAUGAAACUCACAUAUUAUGGAAAAUUCCAAGGUAUAACAAGUCUUACCCCAAAAGAAAUAUCACAAAUAUUCAAAUUACAAAAAACCUGCAGAAAAUCAACCCAAAAAAGUUCAAAAAAGAGGAAAAUCAAACAAUUUGUUUUUUUUUUUUUUUUUGUUAGAAAUAAAGAAAAGAAGGACAUUAUGCCAAUAAGUGUCCACAAAGAGAGAUUCAUGAAAAAAAAAUGAAGAAAAAUAUUAUUAAGAUUUAUCUUAUAUUUCUAACUUUCAAUUGUAGGAAAUUACAGAUCAAACCAAUUCAAAAAUUUCAAGUCAAGAACCAUAUAAAUAUAUUUUAAUUUAAAUAAAUGUUUUAACUUUCAAACAUAAUUUAUUAUUUCAAACAAUUAACCAUGUUUCAAAUGAAGAUUUAAAAAGAAAUAUUUUGGAAACCAUCUCUAAAGAAGAAAAUGAUUUUGAAAAAAGUCUUUAAAAAGUUUUACAAACUCCAAAAAUAUAAACACCAAUUUCUAUUGAAUUUUGAAAUCAAUUGUCUAGAAAGAAAAAUUUCUCAAAAUAAAUAUGAAAUUUUAUAAAUUAAAAAAGAAAUUUCUCAAAUAAAGCAAAAUGAUAAUUUAGAUGAUUUAGACCUAAGGAAAAGAUUUUUUAAGUAAUCUAAAUGCUAAAAUUAAUUUAAUUUCAAGAAUAAGUUUUCAAAAAUAGUAUUUUUUAAUUAUUUUAAAAAUAUAAAAUUUUAAAAUUACUUUGAAAGCAUUGAUAGACUCAGGUGCAAAUCAAAAUUGUAUUCAAGAAUGUUUAAUUUCUACAAAAUAUUUUGAAAAAAUCACAUAGGUUUUUAUUAGAGCAAACAUAAAAAAAAAUAGAAAAAUUGCAUCAUAUGACAAAAAAAAAAUAGAAAUAAGCAGUCCAUAAUACAUUUUUUUUUUGCAUAUUGCAAAUAUGACAAAUAUGACAAGUAAUUAGAUAUAUCAGAUAAGACGGUUAUCAGGGCUAUUGGAGGGCUAUCCGAUUUAAAUUUACUAUUUUUGCAAUUUAGAAAAUGUAGUGUCAUUAGUUCUAUUACCAUAAAUUUUUUUUGCUAUUUUUGCAAACGCACCCCAAAUGAUUAAUUAAAUAUCAAAUUUAAACUUUCAAAAGUAUAUGUUUGUAAUAAAAAAUUUUGUUUCAAAAUAUAUUUUCUUUUAGUCAAACAUCUUCGCUAAGAAUUAAUUCUUCGGACACCUUUAACAAAUAAAUUUGGAGAAGAAAUGAUUUUUGAAUUUAUCUCUCCAAUUUUACCUCAUCAACUUUUAAAAAUUAUUGUUUUGAAAAGUGAACAAAUGAAAAGAAAAUAAAACAAACUAGUUUUCGAAAAUAAGAAAUUCGAUUACAAAAGAAUUGAAAAAAGUUUAAAAGAAUUUUCAAUUUAAAAUAGGAUAAAAGAAAUGGACACUUGCAAAAAUAGCAAAUAUAUAUAUAUAUAUAUAAGAUAAUAGACAUAUGUUACUACAUUUUCUAAAAUGCAAAAGUAGCAAAUUUAAAAGUCGAUUACCCUCUGAUAGCGCUCCGAUAGUCAUCUUAUAGUUGUCUAAUAUCACUAAUUUUGUCAUAUUCGCAAUAUGCAAAAAGUAGGUGUCGUAUGCUGUUUUUUUUUUAAAUGUUUUUGUCAUCUGAUGCAAUUUCUCAUUCAAUUUAAAAUUGAAAAGAAAUUUGUUCUAGUUCACCACAUGCAUUGUGGGAUAGGAAAAAACACAUAGUUGAUCUUCCAUAUUCUAAAGAAUUCAAAGAAUCGGAUAUCCCAACAAAGACUAGAUCGAUUCAAAUAAAUUCAUACUUGCUAACACAUUGUAGAAAAGAAAUACAAAACUUUUAGAUAAAAAUCUAAUAAGAUACUAUAAAAGUCUAUGGUCGUGUGUCGACUUUUAUGUCAAUAACGUCGUCGAAAAAGAGCAUGGAGUUCCAAGGUUAGUAACCAACUAUAAACCUUUAAACAAAGUCUUGGAAUGAAUUAAAUAUCUAAUUCCCGACAAACAAUAUUUAUUAAAAAGAAUUGCAAAUGCAAAAAUAUUUUUAAAAUUUGACAUAAAAUUCAAAUUUUGGCAAAUUCAAAGUUUCGAAAAAGAUAAAUACAAAACUGCUUUUAAUGUUCCGUUAAGACAUUAUGAAUAGAAUUUAAUGCGUUUUGGGCUAAAAAAUGCACCAUUAGAAUUUCAAAAAAUCAUGAAUGAUAUUUUUAAUGAUUUUCAAGAUUUUACAAUUGUUUAUAUUAAUAAUGUUUUGGUCUUUUCUCCAAAUAUAAAAAAGCAUUUUAAGCAUAUCAAUAUUUUUAUAGAUAUUAUAAAAACAAAUGGUUUGGUAGUCUCUCUACCAAAAGUAAAAUUAAUUUGAAACAAAAAUAAGUUAUUUGGGCUUUGAAAUACAUGUAGGAGAAUUUAAGCCGAUUCAGAGAUCAAUUGAGUUUGCUUUAAAUUUUAGGGCUGACAAGAACAAUGACAAUUUAUGAGGUUUAUUUUGAGAAAAUAGCAAAUUUAAUUUUAAAUUGUUAGAAUGGUAAAACUCAAAAAUCUGUAAAUAAAUAAAUGAAACAAUGUCUCAAAUGCCCCUACCCAAUUCAAAAUCAGUUCUAAAUACAAUUGUUCAUCUAAACCCCAAAUACCUUGUAAUUAAAUAACACAUCCUUGUUGAAAUUGUGCAUGUUUAGGUAUUAAAAGCCGAAAAGAAUCCAGCUUCACUACCUUCCACUUUCGUAGAUUCCACUAAAUCUUCAAAGUCUUCGAUUCAUUUGCUGAAAAGAUUGGAGCUUUAAACUUCGUUCUUCUCGAAACCUUCAAAGUUUUCAUACAUUCAGUGCAAAUCAAAGAAUUUUCUUCUUGUCAACCAUCUUUUUCAUCAAACCGAUUAUAGAUUCUUUUUUGUUUCACGCAAAGGUAAGCUUCUUCAACGGAUUUUCUUCUUCGCUCGUUUAAAUUACAACAACAAUAUAUCCGCUUGAUUUUUAGAAAAGAUACAAUGUAUGUCACAAAACCCCAACAACAACAAAGACACUAAAAUUCGACGGCUGACAGUGGCUGAAAGUUUUGGCAUAAUCGGUGAACGAAUGCAGAAGAAGAAAACCGGCGCAACUGGGCGUGUAGCGGAGGAGAUGUUUCUUUAUAGCUUAGUUCUUGAUCAACAUAAUGGAGGAGAUGGUUACAAAGGUGAGAUCUCGAUUGGACGAAGAACACUCGAACGGAGAUAGAAGUGUCAGCGGCGGCUAGGGUUUGGUGAAGUGAAGAAGAUGAUGAAUAGUAAUAAUAAUAUUAUUAUAUUAUUAUUUCCCUUAAAUAUCUUCCUUUUCCUUUUUUUCUUUUCCAAUUUAAAUAAAACAAAUCUUUUCUUCUCAAUUAAUUCUUCCAAAAAUAAAAUAUUAUUUUUAUAAAUAUUUUGAAUAUAAAUAAUUCGAAAAUGUUAAAUUUAUGUUUGCUAUUAUUUUGGAGAUAUAAAUAAUCUUAGCAUGAUUUUAGGGAUAAAAAUUUUAAAUUCAAAUUAUUAUUAACAUAACUAUUUUUAUAAAUUUUUAAAUCAAUUUUAAUAUUUUGACGGUUUCAAAUCAAAAUUUAAAAUCUAUUUUUAAAUAACAAUUAUGGAAAAUAGAUAAAGAUAUUAACAAGAUAAUCCUAAAAUUUUGAAAUUAUGUUUGACAUUAUUUUAGGAAAUCAAUCAAUACCACGAUUAUAGGGGAAGAUCAAAAUUUUCUUAGAAUAAUCAUAUAUAUAUCAUUAAAUGCAUCAUAAUUAUAGGGUAAGAUACAAUUUUAAUUUUAACAACCACAACUAAAUAAAUUGUUAAUUACUUGAUUUGAAACCUACAAACAAGAAAACUGGAAUAAAUUGUAGCUUAAAUCUAGGGAUGUUGAUUCAAUCAAAUUAUUUCGAAAAUAAAUAUUUAUUUAAUAUUUUUACACAACUGAAUGAUUUGCAAAUACAAUGUAUUCGUGAUUUGGGUUAUAUUCCAUCAUUACCAUCAUUUUAAUGUAGUAGACUAUAUCUAUCAGAUAAGAAUUUUCCUCUAUACAAGUAAAAUCGACUAAAAAUAUAAAAAAGUGAAAUUAUUAUAUUUAUAUUUGACAUAAUUUUAGGGAAGAUCUAAAAUUUAAAUUCAAAUUGUUAUUAAAACUAUAUCAUGUAUUAUUUAAUAAAUUGUACAAAAUAACAUGUUUAGUUAAGAUUUACAAAUUUGAAUGUUAUUUACAAAAUAGUGAAUUUGUGCUAUUUUCAAUAUCAUGUCUCGUUUUUUUACCUAUUGAAAUAAAUUGUAUUUGGAAUAUGUGAAAUCAAGAUGGUAAUGAACUACAUCUUGAUGACCAAAUUUUUUAUCUUUUUUUGUGUGUCCAAAAUCUGUUGAUUGGAAUAUGUUUGUAUAAUAGAUGACUAUAAGAUUUUAAAGAUUGUGGAUCACAAUUAUGAUGUAUUUGAGACUCUUACUAGAUGAAAAUAAACGUAGAUAUUAACGUAAUUUAAAAACACGUCUCAAAAUAAUUAUUCCUACCAUUGGCACAAUAAAACAAUUUUUAAAAAAUAAAAUAACAAUUAGACGAUUUUAGGGAAGAUAAAAUUUUAAAUUCAAUUUGUUACGAGCAAUACGUAUUUUGGAGGUAAAUUUUAAAUUCAAUAAUUUUAUAAAUAUUUUGAAAUAUAAAUAAUCAAAAAUGUUAAAUUUAUAUUUGCCAUUAUUUUAGGGAUAUCAAUCCAAUAACACGAUUUUAGGAGAAUUUACAAGAAUUUAAAAUCAAUUUUUAAAUGGUAGUAAAUAAUAUAUAAAGAAAAUGUUUCUAAUUUAAUGAUAAUUACAUAACAAGAUUGCAUUGUGUUAUGUUACCAUUUAUUCCCUAAAAUAAUCUUAACAAUUUAUUAUUAUUAAUAUGAUCAAUCCGAAAAUGGAAUAAUUGCUAUAUACAUAAUUAUAGGAAGAUACACCAUUUAUAUGAAGUUGUUAUUAUAUAAAAUGCAUAAUUUUAGGUAAAAGAUAUUAUUUUAAAUUCAAAUUUUUGAAUCUUCCAACGAACCUACAAUUAAGCAAUAGAUAAUCUGUUAUAAAUUUAAGGCAUGAAUCUAGAAUUUAGUUAAAUGAGAUCAAUAGAUAAAAUAAAUAUUUAUUUAAUAUUAUUAUAAAAUUGAAUGAUAUCCAAAUACAUCGUAAUCGUAAUUAUGUGUUAUGUUUUAUUGUUUUACGGUUCACAAAUAUAUUGUAAUUAACAAAAUGAUAUUCAUUCUAUCAAGGGAUAAAAUCGGUUGAAAGAUUCUCAAAAAGUAUAUAUGUUUUACAAUUUUGCUAAAAUUCAAAUUAUUUUUUAAAUUUGCUUUUUUCCAAACUGCACUAUCUUAUUUUGUAAUUCUCACAAUUUUCUCUAAAUUUUACUAAUCAAAUUCGAGAUAAAACCCAUCUUCAAAGGUUUUUGGACUGCCUAGAUUAUGUGCUUGAUUUCAUAAAGAACCUCAACCGCAUUUGCAAACCGUUGUACAAAAGGUUAAAGAAAAAUUUAAAACCAUGGUCUGAUAAGCACACCCAAAUUGUUCAAAAAAUUAAGUCUUUAGUCAAAUGAAUCAUUUGUCUCAAUCUCAUUAAUUCAAAAGCAAACCUUAUCAUUGAAAUUGAUGCCUCUAAUAUAGAAGAUGGAGGAAUCCUCAAAUAGUGUCUAGAUAAGACCGAAUCAAUGAUCUGACUCCACUCAGAAAUUUGGAAUGAUACACAAAAAAUUACUCAACGAUAAAAAAGGAAUUACUUGUCGUAGUUCUUUGUGUCUUAAAAAAUUCCAAGGAGAACUAAUCAAUAAAAAAUUCAUAAUCAAAACAAAUUCAAGAGCUUCAAAAUUCGUGUUAGAAAAAAAUGUGAAAAAUCUUGUUUCAAAACAAAUUUUUGCCAAAUGGCAAACCGUCUUGCUUUGAUUUUGAAGUUGUGCCUAUAAAAGGAUAACAAAAACCCCUAGUUGAUUACAUCUCAAAGGAGUUUCUAACUCCAAAACUCUCUCCUUUUUAAAAGCACUCGAAGAAGAAGAAUGAGUUUGGAAAAGGAAAGUGCAAGAUGAAGAGUAAACUCGACCUCUUCAAAGGGCAACCACCCAUCUCUUCUUCUUCUAAUUAUGCACCUUCACACAUGAGUGCAGAUCAAUAUGCUAUGGAUAUAAGGAAUACCACAGUAACCUAAUCCAGAGUAAGAUCAUCGGGCAUACGGACUGGAUCUCCCAUAGAGCCAUCAACUCCAUCUAGGCCUUCGGCCAAUCUCAUCUGUCCUUCUAGCGGAGUUGUUCCAAUGAGGCUUCCUACCUCUCCUUCAUCCAAUAGGGAGUCUUCCACUCCUCCUCUAACUUAUUCUCAUGCUGUCACUUUCGAUAAACGGUUCGUGCCAAGACCCAAGAUCAAAACUUAUUUUUAAAAUUCGAUCGUGGUCUAUGGUCCUAUCAUAGAACUCGAAUAUCAAAGUCUCACUCUAUAAGAGAGUUUAAAAAAUAUUCCCCCAAGGGCUUCAACUUCGAUCCAAAAGACCUCAAAAAAACAAGAAAAUUCUAUGAGUAUAUUUUAGCUGAUCCUUUAAAAAUUGCAUAUUCAAAAUUAAAAAAUUUCAAAGCAAUCAAUUGAUCAACUCAUUAGAAUCAAAAACAUUUUACAAAAAAAAUCAUUUUCAAAGCGUUUUGUUCCUCAAUCUUACUCCUUUCAAGAUUACAUCAAAACUUGGUUUAGAGUAUUUUAAUUUUCAAAUAGAAACCAUUCGUGGUUCUUUCUUUUUGUCAAAACGCCUACAAAAUUAAUUUUCCUUUAUGGUUUAUUCAAUGGUUGAAUAACUUUGGUAUUACCAACGAUAUUCUACCAACUCCAAUUCAAGAAUCAUAUUUUUAUUUUUCAAGAACAUUUCAAAAGAAUUCAUUUCAUAAUUCGAUGAGAUUUUGCCUUUAUUUUCAAAUUCUAUGGAUAUUUUGUUGGAGCUACAAUAUAACAUCAUAUCCUCAAUACAAAAUGUUAGUAAAAAAUCUGAAGAUCCAACGGUGGGAAAAAUAAAACUUUCAACAUGUCACCGUCAACACACGUGAAAGAAUGGUUUGUAAAGAACAACUAUUUACAAGACCUUGAUCAAAGAAAGAAUGCUGAAUUCUUAAAUGAUAAACCAAAGCUUCUUGCAGAACUUGCUCAAGCCACGACUGAUGUAGAUUUCCAAAGAUUACUAUUAACAGCAAGUAAAUGCUUCCUCAUCUUCAAAUCAAUCUCUUCCUCCAUAUAGGAAGUGAAGAGCAAGCAGAUCCAUAAUACGAUCUGGAUGACCCGUAUCUCGACUCACGACCUAUGUGAGCUCCGAACCCAUAUACAUGUUUCAAAAGGAAAAUAGAUUAUAUAUAGAGUCUUCUAAAAGAAGAUUUCUAUUCAAAUUAUUAUAUUAUAAAAAAUAAUAAAAAUAAAAUGUAUUUUCGCAUCCCUAGUAUAAAAAAUAAAUAUUGUUCUGUCAUCCAGAAAUUCAGGAAAAAAAUGAAGACAAUAAGUACAAUUCAAGAUCAAGUCUAAAAGCUAAAAUGAAAUUGUGUAUAUUUCGUAAAGUGUUAAACUACAUUUGAUGGUCGGGAUCGUAAGUGACAAUGUUGAAGUGCAGGGAGUCCAUUGGUCAGUCAAUAAUGAAGGUACCAAAUACGAAUAAUAGUAUACACAAUUACAACUUGAAAGGACAACAAAUAUUCUUGGAGAGUAGAAAGAAAACUUCAAUUUCUCCUUGGAUCAAUGGCCGACAAAUUCAUUUCCUGUUAUAAAUCUUUCCAUUUAUUAUGCAGAUAUAGUAAUGUUAAUAAUUAAUAUGUGUGAAUAAUAAAUACGUUAGUUACUAACUAUGCACAAUAAUUAUAAAACUAUUAAAGUAAAUUAUUAAUAAAGCAGUUUAUUAGGUGGUGGAAAUUUCCACACUUUAGUUUUGUACGAAAAUAUGAUUUCAAUAAUUAUCCACUACUUUCUAAUUUAUAUAAAUAAUUUUAAAAUUUUAGGAUUUUACCAUCCACCAAAUCUUACUCUGAACCAUUUUAUCUAGUUGAUUCGAUCUUAUCUUUUUUCUUCAAAAUUUUAUCGAAUAAGAGGUUAUGUUCUAUCUGAUUUGAUUUUAUCUUCUUUUUUUUACUUCAAUUGCGUUUGAAAUUCGAAGUCUAUAAAUAGACUUUCAAGUUGUAAUGCGAAGCAUGUCACGAAAUAUUAUUUAGCUCAUGAUAUUUUCACUGCAUUCUUUUCUUGUAAAUUAUCAAGCCUAAUUCUCUUUACAGUUAGCAUCAAGCAUGCAACUCAAACUCAAAACAGAGUGUACACUAUUUUAUUAUCUUUUAAUUAGUGAUGUAUGUUUAAUUAAAGUUUAAAUUGUAUGUGUAUAAAGUAUGUCAUAUAGAUUUAAAAUCUCAUUAUAAGUUGACAUGUCCACGCAUUCAAAAUAUGUUAUAAUGGCUAUAAUGUAUAGUGUGCAUGUUAAUUAAUUUAUAUGGAAGUUAUUAAUAUGAUUAAUUAAUUUUGAUUAAAUACGAUUUAAUAAAAUUAAUUAUAAAUUUAUUUAAUUUAAUUAGAAGUUAAAUAAAUUAAAAUCCAUAUUUAUUAGAGUCAUUUUUAAAAAUAGUAAAAUAAAUUAAAAUAUUUAUAAACUAUAAUAAAAUUUUGAAUUCUAUUACCGUAGUAUAUCAAUGAAUCAGUAAAAAUUUACUAUAGGUUGUAAAUAUUUUGUAAAAGCUACUAUUUUUUAAAAAAAAAAAUCCUAGUUUUAAUUUAAUUAAAUAAAAUUAAACUAAACUAUUUUUGAUUGAGAUAAUCUUAGUGUCAUUCAAAUUACUCACAAUAGUGUAUUUCAUGAACGAGCAAAGCACGUUGAGAAUGAUUGACACUUUAUUCGCCAUCAUCAUAAAGCAAAACUCUUCAUCUUCAAUUCAUCUCCACCACAGAACAACCAGCUAAUAUCUUUACGAAAGCUUUUCGUUCUCUUUGCUUCACUCAAUUACUUCACAAAUUCAAGUUGGUCUCUAUUCUAAAUUAUGAAAUUACUUGAUAUAUUUUUCUUAUCUUACUCUCUUUUUAUAUAUAAUUAUCUUUAUAUUAGUUCUGUAAUAUAGUCAAUUUUGGCCAUAGAAAUUACUUACCAAUAAUUUCAAAAAUAUGAUGACAUGAAUGCUAUCGUACAAUUCUCUCAUUUGUAAGAAUAGAAAAAAGAAAUCUACAAAUAUAACCAAAAAAAAAGAAAAAAACCGUCCAAUUCUCUAAUAGUCUAUUAAAUUAUUUUUAUGAGAAAAUAGUUUAAAUUAUUUGUUUAUUUUGGAAAAUUGGAUGACAAAACAAUUAGAAAAAAAAAUAGCUAAAGCACCUCUUCCUUGGCAAAUACGACAAAAUGAUACAUAUAUCAAAUGACUAUAGCUAUCCGUUUUUAAAUUUACUAUUUUAGUAAUUUAGAAAAUAGAGUGAUAUAAACCCUAAUUGUUUUUACUAUUUUUACAACACUUUUUUUUUUUUUGUAACAAUUUAUCAAACACUGAAAAAAUUAGAAAUAACAAAACAAAAACAAAUUUGGAUUGUGCAAUUAAUUUUCUUUAUUGUUGGGAGAUAAUUUUUUAAAUAAAAUAUUUAUUAUUAUGGAAUUUUUUAAAAUAUAUAACAAAAAUGUAAUAUAUUUAUAUCGUAUUGAUCAAAUUUGAAAACGAAAAAAUUCCAUAGACCUACAAUGAAAAUACAAAAAAUACCAUAGUCAAUAUAUGAUUAAUCAGUCACACGCACGCAUGUAAUUCUUGUUCUAAACGAUCAUGAUACACGAUCAUGUUGGAAAUGAUACACAAUCGUGUAGGUAAUAUCAACACAAUCAUGUAAUUAGUAUCAACAGGAUAGUGUAGUUUUUUUAACGAUGAGAAAAACGCUUCAAAUCUAAACGAUCGUGUUGACCACGCUAAACAGUCGCGUUGACUAUGGUAAGCGAUCACUUAGAUCAUAUCCACACGGUCAUGUAAUUCUUUUCAAAACGAUGGAAAAAUGGCUUCAAAUUUAAACGAUUGUGUUGAUUAGAUAAGCGAUCGUUUAGAUUAUAUUCACACGAUCAUGUAAUUCUUUUUAAACAUGGAAAAAGGACUCCAUAUCUAAACGAUUGUGUUGAUCAUCCUAACUAAGUGAUCUUUUAUAUAUAUGAAAGUAAUAUCUAAACAAUCUUGAUAUUCUAGAAGAUGAGUUGGAAGAAAGAAAUAAAAAAUAAAGAUGAAGAAAAAUAUAAGAAAAAAAAUCUGAAAGAGAAGUUGUAGAAAUCUGGAAAAGAAAAUGAAUAAAUCGAAAAGAAAGAGAAUGGAUUAAUUGUUCACGAUAUCAAAAGCAAAUCUAGAAUUUAAGAAAAUAUUUUACCAGCUUUAUGAACUUUUUGUUUUUGUUAGCAGUAAAUAUUUUGGUUUUUUUUAUUACAUUUAUGAAAAUGAGUAGAAACAUUUCUAAAAAUAGCAAAAUAAAUUAAAAUAUUUAUAAAAUAUAACAAACUUUUGUAUUCCAUCAAUAAUAGUCACAUAUAUAUUUCUAUUACUGUCUAUCAAUACCACUUAUAGAAGCGUAAUACUCACUAUCAAUGUUUAAUACUGAUAGAAUCUGAAAAUUUUGUAAAUAUCUAAAAUCACCCGAUACGUCAGAAAUAUUUUGUUAAAUUUGAUAUUAUUCAACAUGCUUCACGUCAUUUCAAACUAUUCAGGACAAUAGUUAUAAUGCAAACAUUUAAUUCAAUUAAAUGCAAACUGUUCGGUGUAUAUAUAUAUAUUUAUGAAUUAACCAGCUGUCCUAAAACAUAUAACAUUUGUCACUCACAGCCCCACAACCAAUCCUCUCAAUUAAGACACUUUGAAUUCAAAUUCUUCCCUUUCAAUUCAUGAUUCAUCUAUACAUAUAAAUAUAAGGGGAAAUUUUUAAUUUACCUCUUCAUUUUAUAUAUUUUAUUUAUUUAAAUCUAAAUUAAUAAUUAUAUAUGAUUUAAUCUUUAGCUUCUGUAAAAAUUUCAAUUGACACUACUUUUAAGAUUUGAAUUUUGAUCAAAGUUGCAUGAAACAUAUAAUUGUUUAUGUUAAUCUUAAAUUAUAAUAACAGAAAUAAUUUAUAUCCUUUAUUAAGAUUAAAUAAAUUAUCCAUGUAUUUAAAUCUUCCACUCUCGAAAUAGAAUUUAAAUGUUAAAUUUAUCAAAUAAAUAAGUAGGAGUUCAUGUAUGAAUUUUGUUAAACAAAGUAAUAGAAUAUCUAAAUUGAUUUGUUUAUAGACAUUAUAAAGAUAUCUAGAAACGUUUAAUUGAUGCGAAGAAGGGCACCAUACUAAAGUAUUUAGAAAAAUAUUAGUAAAAUAUCACAUCGAGUGAUAUACUAUUAAUAAUAGUAUAAUGUAAUCUAUACAAAAGUUUUUUUUUUUUUGUUUAUUUUAGUAUAUUUGAAAACAAAUUGAUAUAAUGGUUAUGAUACCAUCUAUAAUUUAAAUUUUAAGGGUUUAAGACAAACUAUUUAUACUUUAUAGAAAAAAUUACUGAAUAUAACUUUCCAAAUUUUUAAAAAUCUACUUUGAUUAAAUUUAAAUUCAUAAAAACUAACCAAAACUAAUUCAUAAAAACUAACCAAAACUAACAAACCAGGUUAAUAGAACUAAAGUAAAUCCACUCUUUACAUAUCUUAAUCAACAACGAGAAGACUUACUUAUUUUUGUAUAUGUUUAGAAGGAGCUUUUGUAAAAAUACUUAUUUUGUAUAUGUUUAGAAGGAGCUUUUGUAAAAAUAGCAAAAAUGUAUGAUAAUAGAAAUCAUGUCAUAAGAUUUUUUAAAUUUAUAAAAUUUGAGGGAUAACUGCCUCAUAGUCUCAUACAAUUACUGUCUGUUAGUCCUACAACAACUCUUGCAACAACUCUAGAUUACGGAUGAUUAUCGUUUAAUAGUAGUCUGAUAUCAUUAACUUUGUCAUAAUACGUCAUAUUCGAAGUAUGCAAAAAAAAUAGUGUUGUCAAACUUAUUUUGAAAUAUUUUUGCAAUUUUUCUUUUUAUAAAAGACAGCAUGAAAAAAUCUAGUAAGUUUUAAUAAAAAGCAAAAAUCUUCCCUAACAAUUUUUUUUUUUUUGGUUGAAAAACUAUGUAAGUUGGAGACAUAAAGAUAUUUGCAACCUAAUCAUCACCAAGAUAUUGUUCAAUUUUACUUUACAGCAACCUAAAAAAGAGAAAAAAGGUGAAACAUUUAACAAAGAAAACACCAAUCUAAAAAUAUCUUUAUAGAAACAUACCAUACCUAUUAUUUUAAUUCAUUAAAAGAAAAAGAAAAGAGAUAUAUGAUCAACAUGAACCUACUUUAAUAACUUUCUUUUAUUGUUUUAUUCAUAGGAAUAACUAUAAAAUUAUUCCAGCUUAAUUUCCACACAUAUGGCCAAAAGAAAGACCCUCUAACACCUUGGAGUGGGAACACCACAUUUGGAAGCAACAUGUUUGGCGCCAGGAGAAUUCACAUAAGGACUCAAAGCUGGGUUCUUUAUGUACCCGCAAAGACAUUGUUGCUGCUCUCUCAAUUUGCUGCAGCAAGUGGCGGAUGGGUCUGCCAUCGACGUGAUUGCCCUGGCACAUGAGCUCAGCUCCGAAGGUCUGCAACUCACCGCCUCUGCAACACGAACUCCGCCAAGAACGGCCAGCACGAAAAGACAAACAACUGUGACUGGAAGAACUUUGUUCAUUGUCUCUUGGUUUUGAUAGAAAUCAGUAAUGUUUGUUGAAGGGAAAGGGAAAAGGAAAAGGAGAAAGAGGAAUAAUAUGGCUUUAAUUGUCUGUUUUUCCCCCCAACUCUUUUUUGUUUGUAUUUAUAGCCACAUAAAGUUGGAAGAGUUGAUAAAAGGGCCAACCCUAUUAUUAAUUUCUCAUUUCCAAUUUCACCUACUUUUCUCUUUGAUUUUAAUUGCUUCCAACAUCCUUUUCCAUAAAGUUAAUAUUGUGAUGAUAACAAUUAACAAAUAUUGUUGGCAUUGAUUUAAAUGUUGGGUUGCUCUACACGUUUGAUCUAUUCUAGAGCACAAAAAUUACCACAAUUAUUUUAACAUUUUUUUGAAUUAUCCUAAAUCAUAAAAGGAAUUAGAGACGAAUAUAUUUUGCUUGUUUUUAUUUCUUUUUACAAUGGUUUGGUAUAAAUAUGCAAUACAAGAUAAUAUUAAAUAUGAAAAGAUUGGGAUAUAAUCAAAUAUACAAUUUGGGCAAAAAUAAAGGGCAGAAAUUGAGGAGUAGAUUAUGAAGAGGAUUGUGAUUUUGGAAAAUAUCCUCUAAUAUCCUCCCUCAGAUUGAUGACUCAAAAUGAGUCAAUAGUUUGUCUCGGAGUUGUAGAAGUGUUGUAGAUGAGAGUGACUUUGUUUGUAGAUCAACAAGUUGAUCGUUGGAAGAGAUGUAACAAAUGAAAGUUUGAAAAAAGUGGUAAUCAAUCUCAAUGUGUUCAGUGCGAGCAUGAAACACGAGAUUAUGAACCUGAGAUAUAGCUAAAACAUUAUCACACCAUAAGGUUGUUGAAGAUUUAAAGUGGAACAUGAAGAUCACAUAGAACUUGUCGGUUCCAGUAAAGAUCUGCAGUGGUAGUGGCGAGUGAGCAAUUUUUUGCUUAUGUGGAAGAACGUUAGACUGUAGGUUGCUUUCUAAAAGACCAAUAGAUAUGAUUAUAACCAAGAAAGACAAUGAAUCCAUAGGUGGAAUGUCGAUCAGAAGUGUCGCUAGCACAAUCAGAGUCAUAAAAGGUUUAUAGAUAUAAUUAAUGAACCCAUGCAAAAUUUUAUCCCAAGGGUUGAGUACCACAUAGAUAUCGUAGGAUGCAUUUGAUUGCAGAGAAGUGAAUAACAGUGGGUUUGUGCAUCAAUUGACUAACACAAUUUAUAGAGAAUGAAAUAUCAUGGUGAGUAAAGUAAGGUAUUUUAAUGAAAGGAGUCAGAUGGAUGGGUCAUUAAAUGACAAAACUGUUGAAAUUUAUGUCAUAAAACUCGUAGUUUGUAGUUUAAAAGUAUAUUUUAUUCAAUAAAGUGGUUAUUGAGGAUUUAUUAAUAGAAUACUAUAAUCUUGAAUCUAAAUAAACUAAGGUCCUUAUGCUACCUAGUGUAGACUUGAAUUUACAUAAAUGUGGAUCAAGUUCAAGUAUAUAGCCCAAAUGGUCUAUAGUGUAUGAAUAAGCCUUAUUCUUGUUGUAGUUAGUACAAACGAUAUGAUCCUGAAUCGUUCAUGUAGAGACCAUGGAAGUUGGAGUAUCCUAUGUACAAAGUUUACAUAAGACUGAAAUCAUAAAAUAAUCACUUUUAAGUUAUAACACCAUUGAUUGUAUAAAACUGACUAUUUUGUUUAUUGAUGACCCAUGUAACUUAAUCUUAAUCCUAAGUUAACUAUGAACUUUGUUCACACGAAAUUAUCCUUAGAUCUGCAUAGGUGAGGUAGCUCAACGACACUGACACAAUAAGCCUCCCAUUUUAGGAGUAAGAUUGGGUGGAUGGCUAGGUGUAACGAUCCAAACUUUUCAAACUAAACUGAGGUAGUUACUUUAAUACAAAUGCACUUCUUUUAAACAUGAGUGUUUAUAAAAUAUGUUAAAAUCAAUAAACAUCAAAUAAAUCUUUAUUCAGGCCCUAUUUCAAACAAAAUUAAAGGUUCGAAAUUAUUGUUUAUAAAAUCAAGAAAUAAAUUGUUGUGCUAAACAUGAAAUUCGUUUCAGUCACAACUACUAAAGUAAAACAAAAGAAAACUGUAAGCGGAAGCUAUUUUAAAGAAAAUCCUCCUAUGGCGAUCACGUCUCCUUCUUAUUCCUCGUUGGUCGGUCUCUUAUAUUACUUUUGCCUGAAAGUUAAACAUAAAAGGGUGAGUAUAAACAUACCCAGCAAGAGACACACUACUGGUCCCACUAGGGUAAAAUUAUUAACUUUCUAUUGGAAGGUACCAUGUAUCAUAACAGUCUUGUGAUCCCGUAGGAUGCACAUAAUUAAUCUAAUGCUCAUAAAAGAUGCACAUAUCAGUCUAGUGCUCCCGAAGGAUGCACCUAUCAGUCUAGUGUUCAAAAGGAUGUACAACAGGUGGUGAUCCCGUGGGGCACCUGCAAGACACACUACCCUACAGAUAAAGCUAACAGUUUCCCUCAGUCCAUACUAACAUUUAAAACAGUCAACUCAACUUAGAAUAUAAACUACCAUUAUAUCCUUCUUUCAGCUCAACACAUAUACAUUAAUUUACCCAAACCAAUACAUAAUCAAACAUCAUCAGAACAGUCCCUCAAAUAAUUAAAUUUAUACAUAAGCGUCACUCACCUCAGUUCAGUCAAUUCAAUCUAGUUUGUCAAUUCAACCUACAUUACACUACCUAUGCCUUAACAUAACCGUCAACAACCCACAAUCUAAUCAAUUCGAUAUCCUCAGUUCAGUCAUCAAACUAAUUUUACAUAUCGGUCAACUCAUCUCAGUUCAAUAAAAUUCAUAUAAUAAACAGUCAUCAAAUAUAAAUUUGCUUAUCAGUUAGUCCAUCUAAGUUCAGUGGAAUCCAUAUAGUCAAUACAUCUUAAUUUCAUCAUUGAGUCCAGUAGUAGGAACCCUUACCUUAACUUCAUUUAUUCCACUAAAGUUCAACAAAAACAACCUAAACAUAAGUAAACAGAAAUCAAUGACUUCCAGAAACAAUUUCAUCUAUUCAAUUCAUCCUAUAUAUAUAAUUUCCACAACUUACCCAAAACGUGGAGAAUUGGAGUCCAACCCCACUCAUUUGAAACUCAAGGAAUUUAAGUGUUGUCCACAAUUUGCACCUUGAAGAAACAAUAUCAAUCAAUUUACUAACCCAACCAAUAUUGGUUAUUGAAAACAAUCACCAAAACCCAAAACUACACCCUUACCACAAACCACAACAAGGUAGAAACAACGGCUUUCGAAACCAACACAAAAGAGAUUGUGCAAAAUAGAUAUGCGUGUGGGUUGGCUUGCAACUCGUAAACGGACAACAGAUGUAGACGAAGGCAGAUUGAUUCGAAUCUUCAACAGCAGCUACGCGCAACGGAGAAUUCCACUAUCUCCCUAGUUCGUUUUCAACAUAUUCUUAUGUGAAAUUUAUUGUUUCAAUUCUUUAUUGCUUUGGUUUAACACCGCUUUGGAUUCUUUGCAGCAAAAGGUGGUAAAACCCACUACUUUAGAAGCGUCCCAAACAGUUUGGAAUCAGUGGAGCAUUGCCGUCCAAGAGGGAUCUCACUCACUUUGUCAAAUGGCCCAAAGUUGUUUAAAUUUAGAGAAAAAAUAGAAUUUUGAAGCAGAGGCUAAAAAUUCCACCAACAUUGAAUCUGUUCUAUUUGACUUUCUUUUUUCUCUUUUCUUUCUUGUUGUCAUCAUCAAAAUUUUCAACUAUACGUAUAAAGACGGAGAUAUUUUAUGUGGACAACUAUACGGCCGUCCGAACUACUUUUAACUUAUGUGGCUGGAUCUAAAACUUAGAAGAUUGUCCAAGUUUUCUGUUGAACAAUGCAUGUACCAGAUUUUGUGCAUUCCCAACAUGAUACAUUCUUAUGCUAUGUUGGGAAAGGGGGUUCUCUGUUUAUAAUCACAAUCACUUUAGCCCUUAUUUGGGGGUCAAGGUUGCCUUUCACUUCUCCUCCCUCAUUUUGUAUAAGGGCAAGUAUUUCUUUGUCUAAAAGGGUUCAAACUCUCCUACUAUUAUAAUCAUUCAACAUUCUCUGUAAUGAUCAAUUCUUUAUUCCUCUUAGAUUUAUUAGGUUUUACUUUUAAUUGCUGCAUAUAGUUCUCUUACCUUCGUAUAGACAAAAAGGUGUUUCUGAGAGGUUUUUCUUUGAUAAGUUAAACGCUUGUAUUUUGUUGGAUUUGGCCUAUGGUAUUGAAAAUCUCAAAUCAAUUGAACGCAAUGUCUUGUUUACACAUUUGAAUUGAAACUUUCCUAUACCUAUAUUAUACAUAUUUUUUCUAUUCUUUCCCACAAAUGUGUUAUAUCGACUUAUCUAUUCUACAUAAUUUCACGCAUGGCUAGCACGAUGUUCCCGUUUUCAAGGGAUGCCAAAAUUACUUUUCACUCAUUCUCGUAACUCCAUUGACGGAUAUAUUUCCUAAACCUAAACGGAUCUGCCUGCUCAUGCAUUUCCUAAUCAUGUGAUAAUGUUGAAUCUUCCUUUAUUAUAUAUAUAUAUUAUUGAUGUAAUUAAGAAGUUAUUUAAUAGUAAUAAGAGUUGUUCUUUAAUAGAAAUAUGUACGUUCGUAAAAUGUUCAUAUAUAUAUAAAUGGGUUCAAAAUUUGAGGUUACAAAAAAAAAAUGAAAUAAAUAAUAUAAGGUAUUUUUUUAAAAAAAAAUCAAACCCGCGAUGCCAUAUGUAAGCGUCGAGACUUGUAUAUAAGAUCUCCCGACGACUAAAGAUGGCGAACUCCCAACAUCGUAUACAGUAUCUUCCCGACGCUGCAUAUCUUAGUGUUGUAAAGGCUUCUUUUGAUGCAUUUUAUCCGAGCACAGUUUUGACAGACAUUUUUUGGGAGAUCCUUUUUCAACUCUUUUUUCGUAUAUCUCCCAACGAUUGUGUGCGUUGGAAGACCCCUCAUUUUUUUGUAGUGAAUUUGUAACUCGAAUACUCUUAAUAAAAUUUCUCAAAACUUGUUCUUAAUGUGGACGUAGACCAAAUUAGUCAACCAACUUAUAUCCUUGUGUUCGUAUUCUCUAUUGGUUUGUGUAUUUUAUGGCUAUUGCAUUAUGCUUGGGUUGUGUUAUUAAUUAAUUUAGUCCAUUAAUUAAUACAAAUAAUCAUGUCAGUUUUUAUUCAAGAGUUGAUUGGGCUGCACUAUAUACGAUCCAAAUGAAAAAGUUAAUUCUACGUCUUUUACUUCUCUAGAUAUAUUUCACAUUCUUUUAUAGUAAUGCCAUUACAUAUUUGUAUAAUGAUAAAAAUUGAAGCAUAUAGAACAAAGAAAAUACCAGAUCACUUUCCUUUUUAUUCAUAGUCGUUUGAUAUUGUAGUAUAGGCUAUAUAUAUAUAUAUAUAUAAGAAAAGUCCAUUACAAAGCAUGACCUCUAGCAUUUGGGAUAGGGAACACCACAGGAGGAAAUAAUAGCUUUUGCUCGAGCAGAUUUCACGUAACCUCCCAAGCUUGGAUUCUUCAUAUACUGACAAAAGCAUGGCUGUUGCUCCCUCAGCUUACUGCAACAAGUGGUGGACGGUGCCCGUCGAUGUCAUUGCACCAAUGCAUGGACUCAGCCCAUGGUGUUGCAAGUUAUCGCGUCGGCAACACGAGCUCCAGUGAGAGGGCCGCCAUUGCCACCACCAAAAGGGGAAGACUUGUGAACCCAAGAUUUUUCAUUAUUUUUCUUCUUUUGAUAUAGAAAUGAGGGAUAGGUUUCUAUUUGCCGCACCUUCAAAACAACGUUUUAUAACCUCAUAAAGUGGAAUGUGAGCACCUCACUUCUAUACCAACUUCUCUGUUUUGGCUUAAACUUUUCAAUAAAAUUAAUUUCUGAGUUGUUAACUUUCAAUAAAAUUAAUUUCGAGUUGUUAACUUUAUGAUGGUAACAUCUAUAGUUUGCAUUAAAUAUAUGGUUGGUGGUGGUAAUAGUGACAAACUCCCAACUUUGGAACAGUGACCAAAAGUUCAUAUAAAAAUUAUUUUAAAUACAAAUAAGUACACAAUUAUUUUUUGGAGUUUAAAAAUAACAAAAAAAAUAUAUAUAUAUAUAUAUAAUAAAAUCUUAAAUUGUAAAAAUAACAAAUUUAAAACAGAUAAUCUCUAAUAACUCUCUCGUAAUCUUUUGAUAGAUUUUUUUAUAGUUGAUAUCAUUAAUUACAAAAAAACUUUUUCUAAAUUCUUUUGUCAUCUAAUAUAAUUUUUUUAUUUUUUCUAACUAGAAAAUAUUAAAGCUUUUCACCAAUAUUUGAAAGUUAGGAGGUUGGAAACUUUUACCUUGAUUAGUAGCAUAUGCCUUACAUACUGUUUGCAACAUUUUCUAUAUUUUCUUCUAAUAUUAUCAACUAACAACAAUUCUAAUCGAAGUCGGUAUGUACAAGAAUUUGUUUUACAUUAUUGUUUAAAUACCUGACAUUUGGUUUUUUAAUAUUUCAUAAUUCCAGAAUUCUAUGUUGAAUUUGUGCUCCUUAAUUCACCAAUCUUUGAUCUAAAUACAUGAAUCUUAGGAUUACACGAAUCGAGAGUCCUAUUUGUGGAUCUAAAUGUAUGUAUUUUCUUGGUUGCAUUGCAUUAAUUUUGGCCUUUAUGUUCUUCGUUUGCAUUUUAAUUAAUUGCUUUGCCGGUUGAGUUCACCAUGAACAGGAUUAAGAAACGUAUAACAAGGGUCGUAACACAACGGAAUUUUUUAGAGAAUCUGAAUGAAUGAGUAGAGAAUGUGGUAAUAUUUAAGGUUAUGGUUGAUGCAGAGUAUUGGGAGAACAGUCGACCUCUGGAGGGCCAACAUCCAGUGAGCCUGCAGCAAGAAAAGGAUAUUUCUUUAGCUGGGUGAACAAUUUCUGUUUCCGACGUAACAAAAAUGUCAAUAAAGAUGAUUUAUGUUGAUGGAUUUUCUAUGCAAAGGUAUAACACCAUGUUUCGCGUAAGAAAAAUAUAUCCUUGGAGAGAGUUGAUUGAUGUUAGUGAAACCCAUGAAGUUUGGGUUUCUGCCGACACAAGUUUUAAUUUCUGCUUAUGCAAUUUGUGUGUAGAUUAUUUCAAAAAUAACAUGUUACCAACUGAAAACUACGCAAAGUUUAAUUCAUUUUAAUUAAAUAAAGAAAUGAAAUCAAUAAAACAAUCUAAACAGAAACCAAAAUGUUUAGUAAAAUAUAAUAACCAAUCACCAAAAAAGUAAUUUAUUUGGACCAAUCAUGAGUUUAGGAUAAAUCUAUCAAUAGACAUGUGGCUCUAAAACAUGAAAACAAAAAUAAAGUAGCGAAAGCAUUGUCACAAUAGUUCCAAAUGGCACAAUCACAAUCGUAGAUCCUUCUUACCGGCCUUGUCUUUGUUUGAAAAAUUGAACAAAUACCCAGUAAGAGAUCAGUCUAGUAGUUCAUAGAGCACACAUCAAUAGUAAAAGUUAUCCACUUAAUGCACUACCUAUAAGUGGGGAUCCUAUAGAACACUAUACAUAUAGGGUAUAUAUUAACCUAAUAAUCAAAGUUAAUAGUUGUCAUUAGUUCAAACACAUCCUAGUUUAGUCAUUCUCAAUUCAAUUCAGUCAUAAACAUAACAUGUAAAAUAUAUUCAAUAACCUCAUUCGUAACCAUCAUGUCUCAAGUAUUUCAUUAUGAGUCAUCAAUUAAAUCAGUCAUACUAUCAAUGCCUAUUAAACCAACCCAAUAUAUAAUCAAUAAUAAUCACAUUAUCAAUCUCAGUCUUACUCAUGUCGAGGAUUUGGUGUAAUAAACCCCUUACCUUAAAUUAUAGAGUUUAGGGUGGCAACGUUGUUGCUUGAGAGAAAAUUUUAUGUUAACUUCGAUUGAAAAUUCAUAACUAUUAGGAAAAUACACCUUACAUAAGUCUCUGUGUCUGUUUUACCUUGGUUUUUAGUGUUUUAACUCAUAAUUAUGAAUAAAUGAAGAUAUUAGUGAAUCAUAUAAGAGCCCAUGCAAAAGACUACGCGAGAGAAUAUUGUCUGGUGAGUAUAAUUCUGAGGUGAGGAAUUACGUCAUCACGCGAGAAAGGUUCACUAGAAGACAAGAAUGGUAGUUGGGGUUGAUGUAACUUGACAAAUGCUACAAUCGACACUGACAUGAUCAGAAGAAUAGAUGUUUUCCAUCGAAAGAUGCCUAUAAAAAGACUUCAUCCUUACCAAGUAAAGUGGUCGACUUCGAAAAGAGUCAAACAUCUAAAUGGAUCGACCAAACCCUAAAAGUGGCGGAAAGGAGUAGUCUUUCUGUCCUCUGUAAAAAGUCAUUCUUCUUCUUCUCUGCACCCUUAAAAAGAAGUUUUAUAAGUCUUGUAAGUAAACACUUUUAGAUAGAUCCGUCUUAACCAAGUUUUAUCAUUUGUAUCUCGAGAAGGCAAGCUAGUGUGAGUUUAAGGCACUGAGAGGUGCUCAACUUAAUUAUAAGCUAGAUGGCUUAAUUGCCUAAUAACACGAAGACCUUCCUUGACACUUUUUAAUACAAGUUAGUUCACAUUUUCAUCUCGCCACUAUUUUUGUCCCCUUUUACAUAUUCUAGUGUAGAUAGUAGAUUUAGCUUAGACUUAUUAGAUAGUUAUUUUAUACCGACUAGAUGAAGAGUGAGCCUUAUAACUAAUGUUUUGUAUCAAUUCUCUAUGUUCGACCAUGAAUUAUCCAGAAAACCUAUUAUUUCGCUUCAUUUUUCUGUCAUACAGGGUAAAUACUUUCACUUUUUCUUAUUCAUGUAAAUUUCUCUUGAUAGCAUAUAUAUUGUUAAUUCACACAAAUAUUAAAGUGGUUCAUAAAUGAUAGACAUCUAUCAAUAAUGAUAAACCUACAAAUUUUUUAGUAAUCAACCAUACAAAAACAAUUUAGUGUAUCGACUAUUAAAAUGGUUCAGUCUAUUGUUGAUAGAUCCAAAAAAAUCGUAAAAAUAACACUUACACAUUAUUAAUUUUUUGUGAUAUAGUUACAAAUGUGUGGCAACGAAUUUUAUCACGUGACACUAAUCUUUAAGAAACAUAAAAUUCGCAAACAAAUGAUGGCAAUUUACUUGUUUGACUUUACCAAGCUUUUCAUUAUGUUAAUUAAUUUUCAUUUAUCAGUAUUUGGAUGAUGAUAUAAUUGUGCAGUGAAUAAACUUUAAUUAGUGUUCAAAGUUUUAGGCCUUAAUUAGUUCAAUUUUGAUUAGUGUUUAAAGAUUGCAUUAGUUAAAUUUUGAUUAGUGUCCAAAGUUUUAAAGACUAAGCGUGUCUAGACAGAGGGAUAAUCUAGAGUAGACUUUUUUAAUCACUAUAGUUAAUCUACAAUAUAGUGAUUUGAUAUUGGUUUAUAAGUGGUUCAAAAUAAUGAACUUUUAAGCCUUUUUUUUUUUUAACAGAAAUGAGAAGAGAAGAACCAUAUCAUAUACCUUUGGAUCAUUAGCUCGUAACACUUUUUUUUCAAUCUAUUUCUAAAUUUGUUAUUUUCACAAUUUUAAAAAUAUAAGUGACAUGAACUCUAUUAUUAAAAGUAAUCAUGACCUGAAUGAUUGUUUAAAAGAACUAUAUAUGAUCUGAAUGAUCGUUUAUCAUAAUAAUCACGAUCGUUUACUGUGGUCAACACGAUCGUUAGAUUUAGUUUUUAAAUAUCAUUUAUAUUGGAGUACACGAUCGUUUACCAUAAUCAACACUAAUUAACACUAAUUAACACGAUCGUUCACCAUGGUCAACACGAUCAUUAGAUUUAAGGUUUUUAAAUAUCAUUUAUAUUGGAGUAUACGAUCGCUAACUAUAAUCAACAUGAUCAUGUUCCAUGAUAACACAAUCGUUUGUCAUGGUCAACAUGAUUAUUUUAAUUUGACGUUUUCUUUCCUCUAUUAAAAAAGAAUUACACAAUCGUUUGUCAUUCGUUGAGACGGUAAGACACGAUCGUUUAGAAGAAAAUUACUCGCACGCGACUGUGGUCGAUUAAUUGUGUCUUGACUAAGAUAUUUUUUAUAUUUUCUAUCGUAGGCCUUGGAGUUUUCCAUUUUCAAAAUUGUUCAGUAUAGUGUAAAUAUGUUAUUGUAAAUAUGUUAUUGAUUUGUUAUAAUUUUUUUAAAAACCCUUAUAUAUGUGUGUAUGUGUGUGUGUAUAUAUAUAUAUAUAGACUAUUCAAAUGUGAUAUAAUAUAUUGUUCAAAUGUGUAUAGAUAUAUAUAUACUGUUCAAAUGUGAUAUAAACUAAUAUUGCAAAAAUUAAAGCUCUUAGCUUGAGCUGAACGCACCAAAUUAUAAUAUAGUAAAAGGAGGUUGAGAAACCGAGUAUCUCUCCUGAAUACAAAGUGGAUGAAGUAAUUUUUAAAUAAAUAGAAACGAAAAACAUUUAAAUGACAACCAAAUUUCAUAGAAUAAAAAGAUUUAAUUCGUUUUUGCAGGAGAAGGGCAAAGUUUCUUUUCUUCAAAAAGAGGUAAUGUUGACUUAAUCUUCUAUUAUUUUUAGCUUAAUUAAUAUUUCCAACGAUGGAAUAUAUCUGACAAAAUAACAAAAUUAAACCCUUAAAAGAUAGCACUAGCCAUAAUACCAAUUUGAGAUGUCUAUCUACUGACUUAUUAUUAACUCAUAAUGGGUAAGGCGGUAUAUUAAAACGUAAUAUUGAGCUUUUAAUUUAUAUAGAAAGUAUAGGUUGGUUUUCCCUUUAUUUUUAGUUGGGAUCAGAAUAUUGUAUAUUAGAUUAAACUAAAGAGACAUAACAAUACUUAAUUCUUGUAGAAGAGUCCAAACUCAAGUAAGUAGGGUUUCUAUUUAGAGCAGUCAGCCUCAGUUGGUAAGCUAAUGUUGCAGGAUUUAGCAAUUCUUCUAGCCGCACUAGAAUUCACGAAACUCCUCAAAUCUGGAUCAUUGAUAUAUUCACAGUAGCAUGGUUGUGCCUCCCUCAACUUGUUGCAACAUGUCUGACUGGGCGUCAUCCCAAAAAAUGCUGCUGUGCAUGACGAGAGCUGUGAUGGGUCGCAUUCCACUUGAGCAACCACCGGAGGAGCGCCAUUAAGAAGAGCCACCGUGGUUGCCACCACGAAAAUGCAAACAACGAUUGUGAUAGGAAAAUUCUUCAUUUGAUUGUGUUACGAGGAAGGGAGGAAUAACGAAUUUGUGUGUUUCUGUGCUUUUGCUGAUGCUUUCAACCUCUCCUUUUAUAGCCUCUCAUAGGGAGUAAAUGUGUGCAACAAGUUAAGUUACCACACCUCCUAUUCAAUACUUUAAGUUACCACAAACUCUUCCGCACGAGUUAAACAAGUGAAUUAGUUGUCAUAAAAUUUCGCUUACUAGAUGCCCAACGCAUUAUGACAUGGUUAGAUAGACAUUGAUCAAUGUCUAGGUGGUCACACCUUCACUUAAUCACAUGACGAGACCUGAGAAUGGGGUCUGGGUGAUUGAAACAUCAAUGAUGUACAAAUAGUGUCAUUGGUGAUCAAAAUCUCUCGAUGAUUGUAAAAGAAAGAGAGAUGACAAUCAACUAGGAACAACACGUUAAAAACUCUCUAGAUGGAAGAUAUCUGAGAAUCGAGUAAUCGUCGUGUGAAGAUUUAAAUAUGUUAAAAGGUAUUUUUGAAAAUUUCAAAAAGUGAAAAUUACGUGUCCUAAGCUUCGUUUUUUUGACAUAUAACGUAAAUACUUUCAAUUUUUUUAUUUAUGUAAAAUUCCCCUUGUAAAAUAUAUAUUGUUAAUUCACAAAUAUAUUAAAGUGGUUGAUACAUGAUAGAUACCUCUCAAUAAUGAUAAUCCUACAAACUGUUUAUCAAUCAAUAUAUGCAAAAACAAUUUCGUGUAUUAACAGUAAUGGACUAUUAAAAUGGUCUAUCAGAAACGUUUGAUAGAUAAAAAGAAAAAUCCUAAAAAUAACAUAGUUACAAAUUAUUAAAUUUUUUGAUUGAUAUAGUUUACAAAUGUGGCAACGAAUUUUGUUACCUAACACUUAUGAUUAAAAAACAUAAAAUUAGCAAACAAAAUGGUGACAAUUUACUUGUUUGACUUUAUCAUGCAUUUAAUUAUGUUAAUUAACAUUCAUUUAUCUGUGUUUCGAUGAUGAUAAUUGAACAUUGAUUAAAUUUUGAUUAGUGUUUAAAGUUUUAGGCAUUAAUUAAAUUUUGAUUAAUUGGCAAAAACAGUACAAAUUUGAUAAUGAGACCAAUUUUGAAAAGAAGAGUCUUGGGACAAAUGGAUAUGUGAAAUAUCUAAAUUAUCCUUUAGUUUAAAAAAGCUCUAAAAUUUUGAAACCCACAAUUUCUUCCUCACACAACACAUCCAUCUGUAGAUGAACAAAUUGCAACCAAUGAAUGGAGGGAAUCGAUCAGAUGGAGUGGCGGUGACUUGGGUAGCAACAACCGAUAUCCAUUUGGAUGACUUGGACAACAACAACAAUUUCCCUAAAGCUAAAGUCUGGGUUUUAUGGAUUGUGCAUCAACGAUUUCUACAUCUUUCUUUAUUGCCAACUUUGUGGCCUCGUCCUCCUCCCAUUCCGCUUUCUUGCAUUUCCUAUUCAUUUCUCUCUCCUUCAUGUAAAAUACCAAUGAAUUGUAUUGAAUUUGGUUGCUAUUUUCAUUGAUCAAAAUGAAUAUUUAUACAAUGCUUGAAGAUACAAAUAUGGUAAAAAAUAAUUACAAAUCAAUUUACAACAAAUAGAGGGAUUAUAGGAGUAGAUUUUGUAAUAUGAUAUUAUUUCCUAAUAUCCCACCUCAAACCAAAGAUUCAGAGGGAGUUAGUAGUUAUUUCAAAGGUGAAGAAAUAUGAGAGACAGAAGUAGCUUUUGUGAGUAUAUCAACAAGUUGUUUGUUGGAGGAGAUGCGUCGAACAGAGAUGUCUUUACGAAGAACUUUUUCCCGAACAAAAUGGGAAUCAAUCUCAAUGUGUUUGGUUGACAAAAAUGCCAUUAGUGGAGAAUUGUAUUUCGAGACCAAGAAAAUACUUUAAAGAACCAAGAUCAGAUAUUUUAAAUUCAAGUGCCAAUUGGUUUUUAGAAGAGAAAUAUAAGAGGAGUCUGGGCCAGUGCCAAUAGUAUCAUCAAAACAUACAUGAGUAAGUAAGUAAGAGAAGAUCCAACAUGUCAAAUGAAUAAAGAUGGAUCAACCAGCUGUCCUAAAACAUAUAACAUUUGUCACUCACAGCCCCACAACCAAUCCUCUCAAUUAAGACACUUUGAAUUCAAAUUCUUCCCUUUCAAUUCAUGAUUCAUCUAUACAUAUAAAUAUAAGGGGAAAUUUUUUAAUUUACCUCUUCCUUUUAUAUAUUUUAUUUAUUUAAAUCUAAAUUAAUAAUAUAUGAUUUUAAUCUUUAACUUCUGUAAAAAUUUCAAUUGACACUACUUUUAAGAUUUGAAUUUUGAUCAAAGUUGCAUGAAACAUAUAAUUGUUUAUGUUAAUCUUAAAUUAUAAUAACAGAAAUUAUUUAUAUCCUUUAUUAAGAUUAAAUAAAUUAUCCAUGUGUUUAAAUCUUCCACUCUCGAAAUAGAAUUUAAAUGUUAAAUUUAUCAAAUAAAUAAGUAGGAGUUCAUGUAUGGAUUUUGUUAAACAAAGUAAUAGAAUAUCUAAAUUGAUUUGUUUAUAAAGAUGUCUAGAAACGUUUAAUUGAUGCGAAGAAGGGCACCAUACUAAAAGUAUUUAGAAAAAUAUUAGUAAAAUAUCACAUCGAGUGAUAUACUAUUAAUAAUAGUAUAAUGUAAUCUAUACAAAAGUUUUUUUUUUUUUUUUGUUUAUUUUAGUAUAUUUAAAAACAAACUGCAUUCGUAAUAUGGUUAUGAUACAAUCUAUAAUUCAAAUUUUAAGGGUUCUUUUUAUAUAAACUAUUUGAAUAUGAAUAUGGUUAUGAUACAAUCUAUAAUUCAAAUUUUAAGGAUUCUUGUUUUAAGGGUUCUUUUUAUAUAAACUAUUUACCUUUCAAAGAACCUAUACCUAUUUAUACUUUAUACAACAAAAUUACAAAAUAUCUUUCCAAAUUUUUAAAAUCUACUUUGAUUAAAUUUAAAUUCAUAAAAACUAACCAAAACUAAUUCAUAAAAACUAACCAAAACUAACAAACCAGGUUAAUAGAACUAAAGUAAAUCCACUCUUUACAUAUCUUAAUCAACAACGUUUAGUUCCAACUCUUUACAUAUCUUAAUCAACAACGAGAAGACUUACUUAUUUUUGUAUAUCUUUAUAUGGAGUUUUGUAAAAAUAGCAAAAAUGUAUGAUAAUAGAAAUCAUGUCAUAAGAUUUUUUAAAUUUACAAAAUUAUAAGAUUUUUUAAAUUUACAAAAUUUGCAAAUUAAUUUACAAAAUUAUAAAAUUUUUAAAUUUACAAAAUUUGCAAAUUAAUUUAGAAGGGAUGACUGUCUACUGUCAUACAAUUACUGUCUACUGUCAUACAAUUACUGUCUAUUAGUCCUGCAACAACUCCACAACAACUCUAGAUUACCGAUGAUUAUCGUUUAAUAGUAGUCUGAUAUCAUUAACUUUGUCAUAUUUGAAGUAUGCAAAAAAAAUAGUGUUGUCAAACUUAUUUGGAAAUAUUUUUGCAAUUUUCUUUUUAUAAAAGACAGCAUGAAAAAAUCUAGUAAGUUUUAAUAAAAAGCAAAAAUCUUCCCCUAACAAAUUUUUUUUUUUUUGUUGAAAAACUAUGUAAGUUGGAGAGAUAAAGAUAUUUGCAACCUAAUCAUCACCAAGAUAUUGUUCAAUUUUACUUUACAGCAACCUAAAAAAGAGAAAAAAGGUGAAACAUUUAACAAAGAAAACACCAAUCUAAAAAUAUCUUUAUAGAAACAUACCAUACCUAUUAUUUUAAUUCAUUAAAAGAAAAAGAAAAGAGAUAUAUGAUCAACAUGAACCUACUUUAAUAACUUAAUUAAAAAAAAAAAAGAAACACAUAGAUCGUUUUUUUCUUUUAUUGUUUUAUUCAUAGGAAUAACUAUAAAAUUAUUCCAGCUUAAUUUCCACACAUAUGGCCCAAAAGAAAGACCCUCUAACACCUUGGAGUGGGAACACCACAUUUGGAAGCAACAUGUUUGGCGCGAGGAGAAUUCAAAUAACUACUCAAAGCUGGGUUCUUUAUGUACCCGCAAAGACAUGGUUGCUGCUCUCUCAAUUUGUUGCAGCAAGUGGCGGAUGGGUCUGCCAUCGACGUGAUUGCCGUGAGACAUGAGCUCAGCUCCGAAGGGCUGCAACUCACCGCCUCUGCAACACGAACUCCGCCAAGAACGGCCAGCACGAAAAACAAACAACUGUGACUGGAAGAACUUUGUUCAUUGUCUCUUGGUUUUGAUAGAAAUCAGUAAUGUUUGUUGAAGGGAAAGGGAAAAGGAAAAGGAGAAAGAGGAAUAAUAUGGCUUUAAUUGUCUGUUUUUCCCCCCAACUCUUUUUUGUUUGUAUUUAUAGCCACAUAAAGUUGGAAGAGUUGAUAAAAGGGCCAACCCUAUUAUUAAUUUCUCAUUUCCAAUUUCAC